AAUCUUCUACUUCGGCAGGGCCCUAGCUUGGCAUUUGCUUUCUGGACACUCUUCCUUCACAUGGGUGCUUCCUUGAUGGCUUUUCACUUUUGUCGUUGGUGGAUGCGGGUGUAGAUUGUGGUUCAUCUGGCCUUCUGUGGCCUCCCGUUGCUUUCCUUUUCCUUUUGCCAUUAUUUUGGCUGUUUUUGCUUUCUCAGGCCCGCUCUUGCGGUCCUCUUUUGCAUUCGGCUUCCUUUCACUUACUCUGACUGUUGUCUUAUUGAGUGCAAGUUUUGUGGUGCUGAAUCUUUUGUAAUCAUUGGUUCAAGCUACAUAUUCUUACCCUUUACCAAAAAAAAAAAAAAAAAAAUCAUGCCAGCAAUAUUUUUCUUCAAAAUUUAGCGUAAAUGUUCAAUUUCACAUUAUAAAAGAAUAUUAUGUGCACACGCGAAGUAUAUUUAAAUGUGAGCGUAGAGUGAACUAAUGCAAUGUUUUUUGCCCAAGCCCAAAGUCUUCAAUAUAUUCUACAUGCCACUCCAUGUAAGUAAGAAGUAAGAACAGCACAUGAUGCUUGAAAAAUCAUUGUGAAGCAGUACCAGGACUUACUACUUCAGAGCGAAAUUGUAAGAGCAAGCAGUUGCACCUACAUUUAACUUGUGACUUCAAGUACUUUUUUUCCCGAUAAAUGAAGAAGAGGGAAUACUUACAUGGUGAGCAACUAAAAUGGCAAGCAUGUACAAUUGCAGUCACUUUUGGACAUAAAUACUCUAUUUAUAAGAAAUCCAAGAGAUCAGUGUGUCGUGUAAUAUUAGCCUUAAUCUAUUAUACUGGUGAAUGCACUCGAUCCCAUAAAAGCACCACUACACAAAUCUAGUCAAGCCCAUAAUCUUAUUCGCCUUUCAGAGCACCCUAUAAUUAAAAGAACCUGAAGUUGAAGAUGUCAGGACUGGUUUCACAGGCUUUUGCUUAGGGUUAAAGUACCACUAAAAAAUCAACUUGAAAAUCUUUUGCAGGUUUUGUAAGAGAGAUUAAUUAUGCUUUAAGUUUCGAUUCAAUGAACCAUGAUUUGAAAUGCUUCUUGAUUAUGGCAAUAGAUAGGUAACACAUUAUUUGUUCCCAACUAAUAUAAUGCAUUUCAUAUGAAAUUUCUAGUUUUUUUUUUUUUUUUUGGUGACCCAAGAUUCAUCAGGCCUGACUUUCGCUUACGCUAAGCCAGCCCACGGCCCAAACAAUACGCGGUAUACCUUGGACCAAGUGUCAAUAUCUAAGGGGAAUAGCACAUGACCUCACCACUAUGGCCCCCCACUUAAGACGUGUUAGCAGCUGUAGAAUUUCAACCCUAGAACCUCGACGAUGAAGUGCCCAAAGCCGAACCAACACAGCUGCCCACCGGUGGGUUGAAAUUUCUAGUUUUUGCCUUGUGUUAUGGUCAUAAACUUGAAACAUGGAUCUGCAUGAUUUGUAAGAUAGCUAUUAUCACAUAGGAUACAUAAAAUAGUCUUAAUUCACGUCUAAGUGGUAUAAUUACAACGAAUUGAAUCAAACAAGGUAUGGUUUGAAAGGCUUCACCCUUUUCAACUUAAGUUUGGUUUUCUUCAACAAUUUUCCAAGCAAACAAAUUUGUUUGGAAAAGAUCUACUUCGAGUAGAAUAAUACCUAACUGCAUAUACACUUAAUCAUCAUGCCCCGAGAAUUAGUUAUGGAGAUCAAUCCCUAGAAGCAGCCUUAACACCUCUAACACUUCAAAAAAAAAAAAAAAAACACUACACGGCGUGUUCAUUUCAUAUCAAUGUGGAAUUGGGGGGAAGGCUGAACUGCUACUUGUCAAAACCAGAAGGACCAAACAAUAUCAGUCCCUAGUCUCACUAACAUCAAAUUAUGUUUUCAUUCCCCAAGACAAAGUACUAACUUUCCUAACAUGUGAAGUAGCUGGGGGUGAUCAGUACUUGCAAGAUAUUCAACAAUUCGUUUCCUCAGAAGAACCAUUAAGACAGAGGGAGUCCAACUCCAAUGCCACAGCGUACACAAUGAAUGCCUUUGAUCAGCUAAUCCCCCACACCUAGCCAUUUGAUUAGGUACACCCCAGUGCAUUGACUAUUCAAACAAAUGCGAAAGAGAAGAUUUUAUAGUUUCAUACUUCCUUUCCUCAGCUAAUUUCAACUAGGAUAUUUGAAUAAAAGUCAAUGUUUUUAAAAAUUGUCCGAAAAUGAGAACUAGAUUGGUCAUCAUCGUGGGUUAGUCCAUGAUCGAAGGGGAAUAGCACUGAACACUUGACCAAAACCAAAAAUGGUAGGAAAAAAAGCAGAAUAAGAAAAAAAAAAAAAAACCCAUGCCAUGAUGCUGUCUAUUUUUCACUUCACAAACAUACAGCGUAUAUAUGUGCAUGUGCCCUCAUUUUGGACAUAAGAAUGUCAACAUGGCUCAAUCACGUUGCCCAUCUAAAAUCAACUCGAGAAAUUAUAAAAUCGAUAUGUGAACGUACUCGGAAUUGCUUGAGAACUCGUGAAGCCUUCCUUUCUGUGAAAAGAUGAUCACGGCGACCUCGGCGUUGCCGAGGACCGAGAGCUCAUAAGCUUUCUUCAGUAGCCCAGUCCAGCGCUUUGAGAAGGUGACUUGCUGGCUCGUCGUGUUCUCAAUUCGCCUCAUCUGAACUUUGCCUCUCGCCAUGAUUAAAUUCUUCCUACAUACAUGAUGGUUAUCAACCCUAAAAUGUCAAGUACUCAAACGUAGCGAUGAACAUAACAAAUAUACCUCAACGAUCAAAAAUAAUAACUCACCAGGACUUUCGCAGCGUCAACCAGCUCAAGAUUUAUCUUUUUAUCCACCUCCUAUUGUCUAGACUUUAGACUGAAAUUCUUCAGAAGCUAAAAACACCGCAAGACAAAUCACACUUCUUCAUCUUUUUCCAAACAGACACGAACUAUAUCAUCAUUCGAACACAAGCAAAAACCACAGGAUAAAGAUUUCACAAUCAAAGGUUGGAGAAUUAUAGAUUUGCCCAGGGUAUUAAAUGGGGAAGCUUCUCUACUCUACGCACAAAAAUGAACCACAAUAAAUUCAGACACCCUACAGAAGGCAAAAACCAAAAAACUGGAACGAAAGCAAAGGAUAUUUGGCAGCUCACGGAUCUCUCUUUAUUUUGUGGCUACGAACAUAAAAAGCAAAAAAAAAAAAAAAAUCAUUACUAUUCCAAAUUCAACGAUCUUCUACUCAGGGCAAAUAUGGUGUGAGAUACCCAUCAAAAGGAAAUACAGACAAAAAGGGAAAGAGAUAAGGAGGCAAGCAAAGCAUUCAAGUUCGACCGAAACGGCAUGGUCAAUUUCGUAAUGAAGAGUCGAAGAAGCAGAAGGAUUGUCUCGUUUGGAUAAAGUUAUGAAAAAGAGAGUAGAGAGAGAGAGAGAGAGAGAGAGAGGGAGGGAGAGGAGAUAUUAAGUUUUUUUUUUAAAGAAACGUGUACAUGGCCAGCGGGCUUCAGCUUCGGCUGUUGUGGCCUGUGGGACAUUCGAAUGAGAGAGCACUAAGAAGCGAAACGGGUGAAAAGAAAGAGAAAAAUGUCGUACGAUGGCCAUAAAUUGUGGACAUCAUCGUACCAUGGCGCGCGCUGUUAACGAAUGGGACGUUCACAACUGGGAAAACAUUAUCCCUCACUUAAACUCAGUGAGCCUCCACUCGACCGAUGGAAAGAGGCUCUGUCCUUUUCUUGGGCCUAAUAGGAACAGCCUCGGGGCUCUUCUUCGAUCGGUUCCUCUCCUAAUGGGUUUACAAGCACUAGGAGUACUCGAAAUUAUUACCAUGAUAUAUUCAUGGAUAAAAUAAAUACAGAUCUAUCCUUUAGCUUAUCUUUUCUUCAUGUUCUUCUCAUAAUUCCUCAUUAUUUAGGGGCGUAAAAAAUACCCGAAACUUUUCGAUUUGGAUAAAAGUAAAGAAAUUCAGGAAGUUUGACGCUUCAGUUCAGAUUUCGGAUUUUUUUUUCUUAGGUUAUGCACAUAAGAGAUCAAAAGCUACUGAUUAUGGUGCACUAAUCCAAAAUCACUUAAUUUUCUAAUUAGGAAAUGUGAUUUUGGACAAAACUAUUAUGUUUUGAUAGAAUACAAGUAGAACAAACAUAUCAUGAUAUCAAUAAAAUGGUGGAGCUUGGAGACUUCAGAAACCUUAGAGAUAACAAAGAUUGUGGCUGCAGAUAAAAUCACAGUUCCUAAAAUUGGUGAUAUUAAACAGCUAAAAUCAUGAGUAGACAGAGAAGGCAAAUUAGGCAACCGAUACAUUAUGAUUAUGUAUAUAUUACUCAUGUAUUGAUUUUAAAGUGAUAAGGUAGGAACACAUUAGCAUUCGUCUUACUUUGAGGCGAUAGCUACUGUUGAAUCAUUACAAUGGUUAGAGGUUAUGAGUGAAUGAAUGGAAUCACUCCAUUAGAACUAGACAUGGGAGCUUGUUAAAGUAGCCAAAAGCUAGAAUAUCAUUGGAAACAAGUGGAUCUACAAAUGGAAGGAGAGUAUUAAGGUAUAAGGUGAGACUUGUUGCGAAGGAUUGUACACUAGGGGUGUGCAACUGGAUCGGGUGAACCCGAUUCUCAGACCAACCCGCCCAAAAAACAGGGUCGGGAACUGGUUCUCAAAAUUCAGGACCGGUUCCAAGGGAUUACCCACCCGAGAAUCGGAUUAACUAGAUCGGUUUGAGAACCGAUUUGUAAGCCAAUCCAAAAGUCCAAAACCCUAAUUUGUUUCGCUGUUUCUAUCUUUACCUCUCACACCCGCAGACUUCUUCACAGCGUUUUCCCCCAUCACGCCAUUGCCAAAACCAACUCCCCCUCGCGCUGCUUCCUCAUCUACGUUCAUCUGCUUCCUCGUCGCGCCAUCGCCAUAUCCAGUUCCCUAUCGUGCUGCUUCCUCAUCUACGUUCAUCUGCUUCCUCGUCGUGCCAUCGCUAGCUCGCUCCCAUCACUAAGCCCCUCGCUAGCAAGAAGCUCGUCUACAGAUGUAAUGCCCCAUCAAACCCUUACUCAUUGUCUCAUGUUAACAUGCAUUCUUGCUCCCUUUCUCAUUUCCGUUGGUUGGCGAGUUGAUGAUGAGUUUUGGGUAUGUGAUUCGUCGGAUAUACACCGUCUUAUGGUCUCAGCUCAUUAUGAAACCUAUUAAAUGAAACUUUAGCUAGAAUUGGGUGCAUCGAAAUGCCGGUUCUCUUUGUCGAUAAGUUGGAUAUUCAUUGCGAAUGGCAAGCACAAAGGAGCGGGGUGGGCAUAAAUGGGUGUGCUGCAUGUUUGUGGUUCGAUUGAAAUUUCUUUGGGCUGACUAUUGGCAUGUCCUUAUGGUUCUUCUUGAUUGGCAGCUGCUAAAGACAAAUGCUUGAAAAGAGGCGUGAAGGAGGUUGUUAAAAGCAUCCGGUGCGGUCACAAAGGGUAUGAAUUUAUCCUCUCUUUUUUUUUUUCUAGUUUGAGCACAAAUGCCGGUCAAUGCAAGGUCGAAUGAAAUCUCUGUAGUUGCUUGGAGCCAGUCUUUUGUUCUGCACAGCGUUGGCUAGGGAGUGUUUGGGUUGUUAUUGAGCCCAGAUAUUCGAAAAGAGAUUUGAUUUACUAUGAAAACUAAUAUGUUUUUGUAGAAUCCAUAAUUUUUUUUUUUUUAGUUUUCAAUCAAUGGAUUAAGACAAAGACAUAUCAAUGGAAUAUGGAAGCUGUUUGUGUAAAUCGUCAGUGGAUUUUCGGUUGGGAUUCACUUUGUAUUUCAGUUUUGAGAUUAGAAAAGUUUUAUUUUCUUUGAAAUCAAUUAUUCUUCUGGUUUAAAAGCAUGCAUGGUGAUAUGUAGGAACUUUUGGAUAAGAAUGAGAGUCAUUAGUAUUUUGAUUGAUAGUGUUUUUAAUCGCUAGUUGUGGUUUUUAUGUAGAAUAGGUUGUGAGGUUGCUGUACAUAAUUUUUUAUGCAAAACAGAUUCCAAUAUAAACAAGGUUGACCUUGGAAUCGGAUCGGAAAAAUAGGGUGAGUCGGAUAUAGGGUCCAAUACAAACAAGGUCGAUAUAGGGUCUAAAAAAUGGAAACCGGUUAUAAUAGAGUCGGGUACAAGGUCUAGGUUUAGACCAUACCCACCCUAGACACAAUCACCCCUAUUGUACACAAUGAGAAAUCAUCAUUGAUUACAAUGAGGUGUUUUCUCCUAUUGUAAGGCAUUUUGAUAUUUGAAUAUUACUUGUCUUAAUUGCUACACAAGAUCUUGAACUAGAAUAGCUGGAUGUCAAUAUGGCAGUUUUUUUAUGAUGAGUUAGAGGAGCGCAUUUAUAUGAGGCAACCAAAAGGAUUUGUCAUUCCGAGUAAGGAAUAGCAUAUUUUUUUAUUAGAGAAAUCUUUUUGUGGGUGAAAAUAGUCUCCUAAAUAGUGGUAUAAUCAUUUUGAUAUUUUUAUGACUAGUCAAGACUAUUCAAAAAUCAGUUAAAUGGCUUACUUUAGAAAAUAGGAGGAUAGAUAUUUGAUUUAUCUAUUAGUAGUUGUUGAUGACAUAUUGAUAAUAGUUAAGAUUUUGUAUGAGAUUGAUGUGUUGAAGAGGUAGUUGACUACUAGAUUUUAGAUGAAAGAUUUGGGUACUACAUAAUAGAAAAAAUGUCAAAAACGCUUAUUGGAUUAAUUGUAUGAAAAGCUUUUGUUUUGAAUUGCGCUAUGAGUUUUACUUGCAAUCAAGUUGUUUAUUUAUAAAUACUCUAGGUGUGGGAAACAAUCGAGCAUGUAAGCAAUUAUUAACUCUAUGAUUCUCCAAUAAUUAGUAGAUUUCUUGUUAGCUCUUCUCGUUAAGAAGUUACCAACACAUAGACCAAACCACGUAAAUUUUUAAUGUUUUUUCUUCCUGACUUAUUUCUAUGGGGAUUUUGCAUUUAUUUAAUUCAUAAGUUCCAAUAUUUUCCGCAUUAAAUUUACAACAUUUUAGAUGGACAAGCCACCAUAUCAAUUAUAAAAUACAAAAGAUGAAGACAACAUAGCUAAUGCAAUGUGGAAUCAAAAGGACACUAAAAUAGCACAAGACCUUUGAAUAAAUCACAUAUCGAUAACAUGGGCCCUUAAUUAAAUUGCAUAUCUUUAUUAAUAUAUUAAGCCAAAGCACGCUCCUUACGCAUAUGACCAACAUGCCCCAUUUAUCAUGUUUCCACAUCUCAACAAUCUUGACCCUCUCAACUAUUUCAUAUUUUUUUUUUCAAUAACUAAGUACCUUUUAUAACGCAAAUAUUAACAUAGUUGGAGAACAUCUUCUCUCUACCAACUCAAUACAUAGGCAAGUCUUCAAAACAAAGAUGCAAUCCAACUUCCACUGCUGCUAAUACUAGUUGAGUUUCUUGGACAAAAGGCAACCAUAACAUUCUCAAUGACCUUUAUACAAAGCUAAAAGGCCUUUAAGCUAGAUUUGAAAAUCUAAAUAUCCUAUGAAUCACACAAAAUCUAUCAAUUGAGAUGGCAGAUAUUUUUUCUUUUAGCAAACCAACAACCUUAAGUCGAGUUGACAAAUAGAGUGAGUUUAUCUCCUUGCUACUCACAGUAUUUACACGUAAUGGCUAAUAUUAAGAGAAGUAUGUAUGCGUUUGUCUAAUUUCAGUAAUGGUUAAGUAUUGGAGAAGUAAUGCUAAAUCAUGCAUUGACAUAAUAUACGCAUCGUCAAAUGAUUAAAUAUUUUAACCUAUGCUUCAUUAUUUCGACAUGUACAAAAAGGUAUUUUGAAAAGUCAUCAUUUGGUUUAUUGGUAGUUUGGUUAAAAUGAUCGAAAUAGAAUCAUUGAUUACAAAUAGCAUUUUGCAUAAAAAGAUAAUCCAAUUUUACUUUCUUUUUUUAAAAAGUCAAAAGGGAUUCUUGUCAUUUUAGUCAAUGUUCAUCCUAACAAAUUUCACAUUUAAAAGUACUCACUUAAUAUUGAUUUGCUUCCCCAUGUCACUUUCACAGGUUUAUUUGAUGCACAAAAUCCCUUUUUAUUAUUUAUGAGGACAUUUAGGUACUUUUCUUGGUUUGGGAUUGAGACAUCCAAGACAAUGUUCUUGUUUUAUGAAAAUGAAUUAUUGUAGUAUGAUGUUUUAUAAAAAAUAAAAAAAAAAUCACACUAAUAUUGGAUUAUAGCUAACAAGCCAGCCAUGGAUCUUGAUGUAGACUAGCCCAAAUUAAUUCUUGACAAGUGACCAGGCAGAGGGACUCGUUGUCUUUCAAAUCCAAGCUUGUCCAUAGAUUUUUCCAUCACAAAGAAUGAAAACAAAGGGGAAAAUAGAAAGCUCAUACAUAAUUUUUGUCUCCUUUUUCUUAUUUAUUUGUAUUUCUUAAUAAUUGUUAAGUUGGAUGCACUAUACAUUUUAGUCUUCUCAUGUGUCACGAGAGAAUUAUAAAAAAAAAAUCCUAAAUUUAUUGCAAUUGGGUCAAUUUACUCCUAAACCCAUGAAUACUGGCCAGACGAUUGACGGGCUAACGUUGAUGUGUCAAUUUUUAAUUUUUAGUUUUAUUUUUUCAAAAUUUUAAUUUUUUUUCCUUUGUUUUUUUUCCCCAUCUUCCUCCUUCCUCAAGCUGAUCAGAGGCAUGGGCCGAUAGGGGCGAGCCUUGCCUAACCCCUUGCUAGAUCUGGACACUCAGCCUCACCUAAUCACGGUGAGGGCGAGCUUUACUGACUACUGGCAAGGUCAACCCUCGCCAGACCUAGCCAUGGCAAGCCCAGCGAUGGUGAGGCCGAGCCUCACCAAAUUUGACGAGGCCUCAACAUCGGCCUCACCAAUGGUCGGUGGGGGCGAGCCUCACCAUUGGUUAGCGAGGCUAAGCUAUGGUUAGUGGCGAUCGGUCAAAGAAAGGAGGAAGAAGGGGAAAAAAAGAAAAACAACAAAAAGGAAUAUGUAUAUAUAUACAUACAUACAUAUAUAUAUAUAUAUAUAUAUAUAUAUAUAUAUAUAAGAAUUAUUUAAAAAUACGAAAAAUAUAUUUAAAAAUUGUCAUGUCAAAAUCCACAAGGUAGCCAACGCUAGCUGACAUAAAUGUCGAUUGACUCAAUUUGGUCAGAUGAAUUAAAUUGGCAUAAUUGGAAAAGAUUUAUUACUCAAUUGAUUAAAAAAUAAAUUUAAAACUGAAUUGACACAAUUGUGAUAAAUUUAAUACCUUUAUGGUAAUUUUUCCCAUGUGCCAUUGAUUAUCCUUAAAUGCCUGUCCCUCCAAUCCCCUUCCAAUUUAAGGCAUCGCCUUGGAAACAUGUCAUCACUCACAAGCCCAGAUGGAAGCUAGCUUCUCGGAUGAAAAAAAGUUGGAUCUCGUUGUUUGGGAUGUGUCACGCCCCGAACCCUGAGACACGUGAAUAACUCGCCAUGGUCAUGUAAAUGUGAUAUUUCCAGGUAGUGUCGCCGACCCCAUUAAUUUAUUAUGCGCAUGCAGAACAUACUAAGAAACCCCUGACAAAACUUACGGGAUAGGAAAGUAGGAAAGCAAAUCAUUCAAAAACAAAUAUAUUUUCAUAUAUAAUCAUUCCAAAGUUUACAUACAGCUAAAAAUGGGUCAGUGACUAUGUGCAUAAAAAAAGGUCAGUUUGCAUAAUAGGGAUCGGUCCACCAAAAAGAGGAACAGUUCUAUGACUACUAGUCGAACUCGUUCGUCGAUCCCACAUCUUCCACAUCUGAUUGUACUGGAUUCGGAGACGAUGGGUUGUCCACUCCACCAUCAGGAAAGUCAACUACACCUUCACCCAAAAUGGCAUCCACCACAGCAAGUGGAAUAUCAUAACUAUCGAGUUGACCAAUCCUAAAACCAUUGGCCUCAAAACGGAACCAUGCCUUAAACCUAUGUGGCACCCUAACAUCCACGAUCUCCUGAAUCCAGACGGUAGACCUGAUCAGCUCAAUGUGACAUUCCAAAUUUUCAGUCAUGUUUUCAAUUGAAUAAAUCGGGCAUUUCAUUGAUGCGUCGAUAGGGCUGUUCUCAGAACUGAUCAUUCUAGAAAUAACUAGACUAUCUGGGGAAACCAUUAAGAAUUUUAAGGCAAAUAGACUUGAGCAUUCAACUCUUCUCAGAACUUAUUAUUCUAGAGAUAACUAGACUAUCUGGGGAAACCAUUAAGAAUUUUAAGGCAAAUAAACUUGAGCAUUCGACCAGGAAUCGGCUACUUGACCAUAUUCAUCUUUAGAGGUCAUUAUGGCACAUAUAUAAGUCGAUUCGAGAUCAGAGAUAGUUGGUUCGACGGAGAUGUGCGGCUAAUCGUGGGUGACACCACUAAAUUGGAAAAUUCUCGUCGACCAACACUAGACUGAUUUUCUUAUCAUUUUGAUACCCUAUGUCCAUAUUUGAAUCAUGGAGAAUUUCACAACAAUUGAGAGUCGUCAUUGAGUCGAGUGGGUUCAUUAUGGCUCGAAAAAAAUCGACUACGGGUUAUUUGCAUUGACAAGUUCUGAAAGUUACCUGGUAGUCUAGGUCACGUUAAAAACGCGUCGAAUGGAAAUUAACCGUGAAUUCAAACCUAAUUACAGAAAUUGAAAAUUCUGUAAUGUCACAAGCUAUUUUAGGAAAGUUGACUCAGUCUCAGAAGAUUUUUCAGAGAUUUCGAGAUUUUUACGAAAAAUCGGUUCGGAAGUUGCGGAAAAUUAACGGAAAUUCGUAUGUGCCGAAUUUAAGCAAGUUUGGACUUUCAAGCCGAGCCUUUGAGUGUCAGGGGCUUACAAAAAAUUGUUUGGAAUUUUUCUUCAUUGAAAUCGAAUCUCAAUUUGGGAAAUUGAGUGAAGAUAUUGAAAUUUAAUUGGUGAAUUUCGAAAUUGGAAAAAAAGGGCAGAAUAUUGGGGCUUCAAUUUGAUUAUUCGGUGGAUUAUCUACAAGAAAGUAAUUGGAGACUUGUAGGAUAAGAAUGAGGGCUUUUAAGGGGACAUAAGGGAUAAGUUUGGAGCCUACGGGAGACCAAACAUUUAAUGGAGAUAUUUUGGCUUUGAUUUUUCUCUCUCAUGCAAGACAACCGCAAGCUUAGCCUCUCUCUCCCUUCUUCGUUGCUACUCAUUCCCUUUUUGCCUUCGACGAAGCUCAGCUUUCAUUUUCAUUCCCUUUGCAUUUUCAUUCAUUGAACCUCCUUGCUGCCAUUUGUCUCACGGCUAUCCUCCAUGGGUCAAAGUUAUUUAGCAAGAGUUGUGGUGUUAACUUCUUGAAGCCCACGAACAACCGAAGCCCUUCUUUUUCUUUCGGUUUUGUGCGUUGUCCAGCACCACCGAUCAAAGCAGCUCACGACAGAAGCUGCUCCAUCCAGUGUUCUCCUCGCUCAACUCACGCCAGCACACCUCACGCUCGGUCAACCAAAGCUCACUUUGCGCCCACGCCGUGGACCUUGGAAGCUCCAUCACUCCACCGAAGUUCAUCUUAUCUCCGCUUGUUUCAUCCUACCGAAGCAGCACCGACCCACGCGUCCAUAGCUGCCCUUCCCGAUCAACAACAAGCCACUGAAGCCCCUUGGUUGACCUAUAGCUCCUAUGUUCGUCCAGUGAAGCUGCACGCAUCCAACGCCUCCUCCAGCGAAGCCUUCACGAGUAGCAGCUUCCAGCGAAGCCUUAAGCCAGCUGCCAUCCAAGCCGCACGUUCCCUUCGCCCGCAGAUCCUCAGCCCAAAUAUCUCAAAAGCCAGCAGCGACUUCUUUCCUUGUGCGGCCCAGUGUCUUCAGCCUAGCGGGCCCAUCAUCUUCUAGAAUUCCAACAACUUUAGUCGAGCAAUUGAUCAUUUUAGGCGACCCAAUAACAGCCCGCAGUUUGGCAUCUUCAAGCCCAAUUCCCCGCAAGCCAGCCCAAGUUGAUUAAGAGUAGCCCAUCUUCAGUAGGCCCAACCCAACUUGGGUUUAGCCUAAAAGCAAGAACAAAUCUUAGUUGGGCUGAGAUUUGUUUGGCCAAGUUUAAGGCUUGGCCCAAGUGUCCACUGGCACCGCCGAAAGUUCAGAUUUCGACCGCCGUCGCAUCGCCGUCACAGUUUCCCGGUCCCCGCUUUUAAUCAAGUGAGUAAUCUCACUAAUCCUUGCUUAGUAGACUAAUAAUGCUUAAUGGUUGAUUAUAUUUAAUUAAGUGCAAUUAGUUUGUCAGAUUAGUUUGGAACAAUUAAAUUAGUGACUUAAUGAUGCAUGUUAGGUGGUUAGACAUAGUCAUUAGCAAGUAGAGACGUACUAUUAUUUAUUGAAUAUAUCUCGGGAUUUUUCCCGACCCGUUUCGGGCUCCAAUCAAGCAUUACAUGCCUAAAUUGGAUUUAUUGCUAAUUAAUAAUUAAUUUUCGAAAUUCAUUAUUUAAUUAUUUAUUUUUCCGAAAAUUCAACCGGGAUGGCCAGUGACUAGAAUUUCGUGUUGAUUGUCAUGGUGCAGUCCAUUUAUUUAUUUGAGCUCUUCAUUGUGUUGAAUUGAAUUGAUUGUGCAAUUUGAAGAAUUUUUCCUAAAUUGAUUGAGAUUGAGUAAUUGAGUUGUGAAUGGUCGAGUAUGAUUGUUUAAAGUCAAAAAUCCAUCAGGUAUGUUAAUAUCGUGUGAAAAUUUAGUGAGUUGAUGAGUAUGUGGGGAUUUAUCCCAAGAUUGAUCAAUGUUGGUAUUCAAUUAGAAUUAGUUGAUGAGUAUGUGGGGAUUUAUCCUAAGAUUGAUCAAUGUCGGUAUUCAAUUAGAAUUUGACUGUGAGAGGUUGUGAGUUGAACAUCGGAAGCCGCCGAAGUAUGGCUAUGCUAGUUGGGUCGAGAUUUGCCACUGAAUUUGGAGUUGGCCGCGUCCGUUGGGCCAUAAAUUGCCAUCUAUUAAAAGUCGCGCCUGAUAAGGCCGUAAUUUGCCACCCGAUAGGGGUCGCGCCUAAUAAGGCCGUAAUCUGCCACCUAUUAAAGGUCGCGCCCAUUGGGCCGUAAUUUACUACCUAAAGAUAGGUCGUGUUCUUUUUUUUUUUUUUGGACCGUAAUUUGUUGCCAAUAAAAGUGGUAGAUUAUGCUCGUGAAGUCGUGAGUACAAUUUGAGGCUGAAUAAGGGAAAUGACUGGGAAAUGGUCGAAUUGACAUGAAAUCGACUAGGUCGAUUGAUCGAGAUAUUGAUCUGUAAUGUAAUUGCCUAUUGAACUGUGCUAAUAUGCAGGUGGAAUUUGAGGCCAAGGUAAGUUCUUUGAAUCGUGCGUGUAUAUGCAGUCUGGUUAGCGUAUUGGUUUUCUAAUUGAGUCUUAAUGGGGUAGAACUUGCUGAGACGUAAUCUCAUCCCGGUUGUGGGACAACAUUUCAGGACCCUGAUGAGGAGCCUAAGGAGCAAGAAACCGAAGAGGAGUACUUGAAGGAGAACCCCGAUGAUGAUCCGAGUACGACCCGGAUGAGGAUUAUGAUCCCAUCCUCUUUUGUGAAUCAUGUUUAAAUGCGAAUAGUGUGACUAGAAUGUUAUGAGUAGUCUUGUGAAUAGACUUUGAGUUAUGCCAUGUAUAAAGGUUCGGUUGUGGAUUUCAAUGUGAAAAAUAUGGCAUUAUUUUUCUAUCUCAUUGUUUUAUUGUUUGGGGAUUUAUAACUGCUUCAACAUGUGCUUAAUAAAAGAAAGGGUUGGCGAUACUUAGCCUGGGAUAUCGCAUUAUAAAAUCGACCAAAUAGAAGAAUGUGUGCGUGCCUGAGGAUCGCGUGACAUCCCCUUUUUGUGGUAUCAGAGCGAAGUUCAAGAUUGGAGUGAUAAGGAGCAUUGACCAUGGGAUAGUUGGUAGGAAAUGCCUUUAAAUUCAUGCUGGUGCAUGUUUGUGUUAGCUGAGUGCUAAAAUUGUUUGUUGUUUGGAUUGCUCCGUUUCUAAUUCGGUGUUGAAUUGGAAAUAGGUGUUAGUUGAGUAAAGCUACACUAUGAGCGAUCGGGAGCCGAGAACUCCUGUAAAAAGGACCAGUAGGGUCGUUAUUCGGGAUAAAGCUUUGACUCGUGUCGAGACUCGAGGCGGAAGUGGUCGAGCGCCAGCACAGGCUUGCGCGAGUAGAGUGAUUCCACCUAUCGUAGAUGUUGGGGUAGUAGCCUCUAAUGAUCCUAGGGUGGAUGGGAUCUUGCGUGUUCUUGAAGUAAUGGGUACUAGAAUGGAUCAGCAAGCCGCUACCGUUGAAGCCGCUGCUCAAGUUGCUGCAACUGCCGCUGCUGUCGCAGCCACUGGAGCCGCCCCUGCUACCGCACCUGCAGUCGCACCUGUCGCCAUGAAUGUUGAAGGUCCACCGGGGAUAGUGGUCGCUGCAAGAACAAUCCAUAAGCUAGUGGAGCAUUUCCUAAGACGAAAUCCACCGUUGUUCACCGGGUCUGGAGAUCCCAAAGCUGCUUCUUCAUAGGAUCAGAAGCUCGAGAAGGCAUUUGCACUGCUGAUGUGCAGCGAGACUGAGAAGGUAAUGUUAGCAACUUACCAGCUGGAUGGAGUUGCGAACACUUGGUGGAUGACUAUCCGUGAAACGAUCUUUUCGGAGAGCGUUGUUCAGGACUGGAACACUUUUCUUGAAACCUUCAAUGAUAAGUAUUUCUUCAAGACUACCAGAGAGGUGAAGAUGGCAGAAUUUCAACGUCUUUGCCAGGAUUCCCUAUCUGUUGAUGAGUAUGAAGCGAAGUUUGCUGAACUUUCACGAUAUGCCCUCGAGUUAAUCGAGAACCCUGUGAAUCGAGCGAGAAGGUUCAAAGAUAGAUUUAGACCAAACAUGAGGAGUGCUUUAGUCCUUCUGGAUCUGAAGACUUACAAUGAUCUGUAUCAGAGAGCUCAGAAAAUUGAGAAGGAUCAAAAUGACAGAGCCACCUUGUCUGGAUCAAGGUUCAAUUCUCAUAGAGACAACAUCCACCAAGGAAAGAGGCCUAUGCCUGGAAACAGAUUCCGAAUUUCGCCCAUUAGGGAGGGUGGAAUCGGAAAGACAGGGUCUAGCCAAAAUGGUGUGUGUCGCCUAUGUGGAAGGCAACACGGAUCCACCCCAUGCCAUUCUAGACCAGGUACUUGUUUUGGAUGUGGCCAGCCGAGUCACAUAGUUAGGGACUGUCCCAGAAGACAAGGGAGACCGCAUCAGUUGCCACCACCGCCGCAGAUGGGCCAUAUCAAAGGGUAUGCCCCUCAAAAUGUACCACAAGGAGGACAGCUGAGACCUCCAGUUCAGGGCACCGUGUAUGCAAUUACGCAGGGUUAGGCCGAAGCUGUGCUUGACAUAAUCACGAAUGGACCACCAGUUCAGAGAUGAAUCGAGUUAUGCACUGAGGAAAAAGGGCAAUGUUCCCAGAACAAUUAUAUCAGAGUGGUGCAGCUUUUGGUUAAGUUUAUAAAACUUUAGUUGUUAUAAUGAAGUCAUAUAAAGCAGAAUCAUUAGUUACAGUUGUAAUUGAACCCUUUGCCUACGUAUAACUUUGAUACUAUAUAUCAAAAGGUUUAGCUCGAUGAGCUUUUACUAUAAGGAAUUGUUGUUGCAAUGUGAUAUAGUUUAAUCCGUUGAAGGAUGUUAUAUCAAAGACAACGUUAUGAGUUAGAAUUUUAGAAGAAUAGUGAUUGAGAUGUCCUGUAUCACCCUGGAAAGACGCUUUAGUUGACAAAUCAGAAUGUUUAGAAAAUCCCGCAAGAGGAUACCGGUAAGGGAAAAGUUGACGUUAAGAUUUCGGAAAAUGGAACGUUGAGGUAUCGUAAGUGAUGAUAAGUGUCAAACAGUACGAAACUUGAGGAGGAGACCUUGUCAGGAAUUCACUAUAAUAGUUGUAGUAUUCGACCAUACAGUGGGAGGUAGGUAGACCGAUAUGAAGAUAGUUAUCGUCAGACAGGUUGCAAAUGUCAAAUUUGCUAGUAAGUGAAAGUUUAGUAAUGCAAGUCGAGAGAACAUUUACAAUCACUCGAGAGUCCCGAGUGGGAAUGGAAGUAUAUCGUGAUGGAAUGUUGUGAUAGGUUUACUAAGGAGUCAGAGGAAUAAUGACUCCAGUUGGGGUAAUAGUCGACAAAUCGAUGAAGUCGGCCCACUUUAUUGUUGUAUGGAAGGAUAUUGAUUGGAAUAGGCAUGCCGAAGUGUAUGUGUGUCAGACAGUUCAUCUACAUGGAGUACUAGUGACGAACUUAUAUCGGAUCUAGAACCGAGGUUCCCAGUUUCAGCAGAUCAAUCAAAUAAUUGCUUUUGAGGCAGAACAAAGCAGAGUGUGCAAAACUUCAGUUUGUUGAGAUGAGAUCAGAGAAAGAAAGAUCACAGGCUGAGGGUCAAUUCAGCAGUCAGUAGUUGCAAUUGCCGUGAUUAGUGCUAGAGUACAGAUCGCUCAGAACUGCCAGAAUAAUUGAAUUGUUGACAUUGAAGACCCCAAAAGUUCUAAAUUGGUGAGUACACCUUUUUUGAAGGUGUGAUCAAUGAGGGAUACCUUGCGUUUCAGCAAGGAGGGAAAAUUGAAAUCGAAGUACAUAGGUCCCUUUUGAGAUUCUAAAAGAAAUCGGGAUCUGAUCGUAUCGUCUUGCAUUUCCACCGAGGUGAGCGCAAAUGCAUGACGUCUUUCACAUGUCAAUGUUGAGGACAUAUAAGCCUGACAAGACCCACGUGCUAAAUCUUGAAAAAUUAGGCGUGGACGACAGAGUAUCGUACAUGAAAAGUUCGGUCCAGCUUGUUGAUCAGAAAGAUCAUAUUAUGUGUAUCAAAAAGGUCCCAUUGGUCAAAGUGGUCUAACAACGCCACGAGACUGAAGAAGCAACCAGGGAAAGUGAGACUAGAUGAGACAACAAUACCCCCACCUUUUUGUUUAAGGAUUAAUAAAUGUUUAAAUUUCGAUGACGAAAUUUUUAUAAGAGUGGAAGAGUUGUGACAUCCCAGAUUUUCGGUCAUGUUUUCAAUUGAAUAAAUCAUGCAUUUUAUUGACGCGUCGAUAGAGCUGUCCUCAGAAUUGAUCAUCCUAGAGAUAACUAGACUAUCUGGGGAAACCAUUACGAAAUUUUAAGGCAAAUAGACUUGAGCAUUCGACUAGGAAUCGAUUACUUGAUCAUGUUCAUCUUUAGAGGUCAUUAUGGCACAGAUAUAAGUUGAUUUGAGAUCAGAGAUAGGUUGGUUCGACGGAGAUGUGUGGCUAAUCGUGGGUGACACCACUAAAUUGGAAAAUUCUCGUCGACCAACACUAGAUUAAUUUUCUUAUCGUUUUGGUACCCUGUGUCCAUAUUUGAAUUAUUGAGAUUUUCACGACAAUCAAAAGUCGUCAUUGAGUCGAGUGGGUUCUUGUGACUAAAAAAAAUCGAUCAUGGGUCAUUUGCAUUGACAAGUUCUAAAAGUUACCUGGUAAUCUAGGUCACGCAAAAAACGCGUCGAAUGGAAAUUAACCGUGAAUUCGAACCCGAUUUCAGAAAUUGAAAGUUCUGUGGUGUCACGAGCUAUUUUAGGAAAGUUGACUCAAUCUCAGAAGAUUUUUCGGAGAUUCCAGGAUUUUUACUGAAAAUCGGUUCGGACGUCACAGAAAAUUAACGGAAAUUUAUAUAGGCCGAAUUUAAGCGAGUUUGGACUUUCAAGCUGAGCCUUUAAGUGUCAGGGACUUACAAAAAAUUGUUUGGGAUUUUUCUUCAUCAAAAUCGGAUGUCAAUUUGGGAAAUUGAGUGAAGAAAUUGAAAUUUAAUUGGUGAAUUUCGAAAUUGGAAAAAAAAAAGGGCAGAAUAUUGGGGCUUCAAUUUGAUUAUUUGGUGGAUUAUCUACAAGAAAGUAAUUGGAGACUUGUAGGAUAAGAUUGAGGGCUUUUAAGGGGACAAAAGGGAUAAGUUUGGAGCCUAUGGGAGACCAAACAUUUAAUGGACAUAUUUUGGCUUUGAUUUUUCUCUCUCUCACGCAAGACAACCGCAAGCUUAGCCUCUCUCUCCCUUCUUCGUUGCUACUCAUUCCCUUUUUGCCUUCGAAGCUUUCAUUUUCAUUCCCUUUGCAUUUUCAUCCACCGAACCUCCUUGCUGCCAUUUGUCUCAUGUCUAUCCUCGAUGGGUCAAAGUUAUUCAACAAGAGUUGUGGUGUUAAUUUCUUGAAGCCCACGAACGACCGAAGCCCUUCUUUUUCUUUCGGUUUUGUGCGUUGUCCAACACCACCGAUCAAAGCAGCUCAUGGUAAAAGCUGCUCCAUCUAGUGUUCUCCUCACUCAACUCACGUUAGCACACCUCAUGCUCGGUUAACCAAAGCUCACUUUGCGCCCAUGCCGUGGACUUUGGAAGCUCCAUCACUCCACUGAAGUUCAUCCUAUCUCCGCCUGUUUCAUCCUACCGAAGCAGCACCGACCCACGCGUCCACAGCUGCCCUUCCCGAUCAACAACAAGCCACGGAAGUCCCUUGGUUGACCUACAGCUCCUACGUGCGUCCAGUGAAGCUGCACGCGUCCAACGCCUCCUCCAGCGAAGCCUUCACGAGUAGCAGCUUCCAGCGAAGCCUCAAGCCAGCUGCCGUCCAAGCCACACGUUCCCUUCGCCCGCAGAUCCUCAGCCCAAAUAUCUCAGAAGCCUACAUCGACUUCUUUCCUUGUGCGGCCCAGUGUCUUCAGCCUAGCGGGCCCAUCAUCUUCUAGAAUUCCAACAACUUUAGUUGAGCAAUUGAUCAUUUUAGGCGACCCAAUAACAGCCCGCAGUUUGGCAUCUUCAAGCCCAAUUCCCCGCAAGCUAGCCCAAGUUGAAUAAGAGCAGCCCAUCUUCAGCAGGCCCAACCCAACUUGGGUCCAGCCUAAAAGCAAGAACAAAUCUUAGUUGGGCUGAGAUUUGUUGGGCCAAGUUUAAGGCCCGGCCUGAGUGUCCACCGACACCGCCGAAAGUUCGGAUUUCGGCCGCCAUCGCGGUGUCCUGGUCCCCACUUUUAAUCAAGUGAGUAAUCUCACUAAUCCUUACUUAGUAGACUAAUGAUACUUAAGGGUUGAUUAGAUUUAAUUAAGUGCAAUUAGUUGGUUAAAUUAGUUUAGAACAAUUAAAUUAGUGACUUAAUGAUGCAUAUUAGGUGGUUAGACAUAGUCAUUAGCAAGUAGAGACGUACUAUUAUUUAUUGAAUGCAUCUCGGGAUUUUUCCCGACCCGUUUCGGGCUCCAAUAAGGCAUUACACGCCUAAAUUGGAUUUAUUGCUAAUUAAUAAUUAAUUUUCGAAAUUCAUUAUUUAAUUAAUUAUUUUUCUGGAAAUUCAACCGGGAUGGUUGGUGACUAAAAUUUUGUGCUGAUUGUCGUGCUGCAGUCCAUUUAUUUAUUUGAGCUCUACGUUGUAUUGAAUUGAAUUGAUUGUGCAAUUUGAAAAAAAAUUUCUAAAUUGAUUAAGAUUGAGUAAUUGAGUUGUAUAUGGCCAAGUAUGAUUGUUUAGCGUCAAUAAUUGCUUUGAUGGGCUGUUAAGUGGAGAAGUUUGUGAGAGUGAUUUGAAUAUACUCUUGGCAAAGAUCCAUCAGGUAUGUUAAUAUCGUAUGAAAAUUGAAUGAGUUGAUGAGUAUGUGGGGAUUUAUCCCAAGAUUGAUCAAUGUCAGUAUUCAAUUAGAAUUUGACUGUGAGAGGUUGUGAGUUGAAACUCGGAAGCCGCUGAAGUAUGGCUAUGGCAGUUAUGUCGGUAUUCAAUUAGAAUUUGACUGUGAGAGGUUGUGAGUUGAACCUUGGAAGCCGCCGAAGUAUGGCUUUGUCAGUUGGGCUGUAAUUUACCACCUGAUAGAAGUCGCACCUGAUAAGGCCGUUAUUUGCCACCUAUUAAAGGUCGCGCCCAUUGGGCCAUAAUUUGCUACCUAAUGAUAGGUCGUGUUCUUCGGACGGUAAUUUGUUGCCAAGAAAAGUGGUAGACUAUGCUUGUGAAAUCGUGAGAACAAUUUGAGGCUGAAUAAGGGAAACUACUAGGGAAUGGUUGAAUUGACAUGAAAUCGACUAAGUCGAUCGAUCGAGAUAUUGAUUUGUGAUGUAAUUGCUUGGGUGCUUAUUGAACUGUGCUAAUAUGCAGGUGGAAUCUGAGGCCAAGGUAAGUCCUUUGAAUCGUGCGUGUAUAGGCAGCCUGGUUAGCGUAUUUGUUUUCUAAUCGAGUCUUAGUGGGAUAAAACUUACUGAGACGUAGUCUCAUCCCGGGUUGUGACAACAUUUCAGGACCCUGAUGAGGAGCCUAAGGAGCAAGAAACUGAAGAGGAGUACUUGGAGGAGAACCCCGAUGAUGAUCCGAGUACAACCCGGAUAAGGACUAUGAUCCCAUCCUCUUUUGUGAAUCAUGUCUAAAUGUGAAUAGUGUGACUAGAAUGUUAUGAGUAGUCUUGUGAAUAGAUUUUGAGUUAUGUCAUGUAUAAAGGGUUGGUUGUGGAUUUCAAUGUGAAAAAUAUGGUCUUACUUUUCUAUCACAUUGUUUUAUUCUCUGGGGAUUUAUAACUACUUCUGCAUGUGCUUAAUAAAAAAAAAAGGGCGAUACUUAGUCCUGGGAUAUCGCAUUAUAAGAUCAACCAAGUAGAAGGAUGUGUGCGUGCCUGAGGAUUGGAGCGUGACACCCAAUGACUUCCAGGGUCAGGAAAAUUGUGCACCUUCUCGACAAUGUGCACUGGAAUGCCAUUUUUCUCAAGAGGUCCUGCCAUCUACGGCCCUAAAAUAUUUUUCCCACAACGGGAUGAGACAUUGUUUCAGUAAUUUCAUCCCUCCUAAACCCCUAUUAGAAAGAAAAUACGUUCAAGAGUGGCCUAGCCACACAGCACAGAAGACUUAUCUCGUCUUAAUUCCUUUCUGCAUGUUGGUACAAUUCAUAUCACUUAAUCACAUGUAGUAGUAAGAACUUAAACCAUUGGAACACAAUCAAUUUCACAUAAUUCACAAAUCAUAGCAAGCGUUUCAAUUAUUAGUUACUACCACACAAGGGCAUAGCCUACUCGCAGUUCGGACAUCUACUGGCAUAUAGCUAGGCAUCGCCUCCCCACCUUGGAGCGCAGCUUCGUCAGUACGUCGACGGCGUUCCCGAAAGAGCAUGGGCUCAGAAUCAACUACAACCUGCAUCCGUUGUAUGGAACAUCCCAUAUAAGGGCAAAUCCAACUCAAUAGCUCAAGAUAAUUCUUCUUAAUUAUCACACAAUAAUUCAUAGUCAGCCCAAGGCACUUUGCAUUAAAAUAAUAAUCCAUAUUUUUCACAAUCAACAUCCAAUUUGCAAUAUCCAAUCAUUACAUUCAAAAUCUGAGCACAUAGCAGCGAUUGACACGAAAUUCUGAGAAUUUAGGGUCCUAACAAACUUUUUUGAAUUUAAUAAAUAAUUAAAUUUAUUCUGAAAAUUAAUUAAAUAAUAUUAUUUUAAUAAUUUCGAACAUAAUAUAUUAUUAAAUUAAUAAAAAAUUUCAAAAUAUUUAAUUAAAUCAAAAGUAAAACAUUUAUGUCUAAUCAUGAGUUAUUCUAAUCUAAACAAUCAUUUAACCCUAAUUAAACAUAUUUUACUUAAAUCACAUCUCUUAAUCUAAUCCACAUUUAAAUAAAUCUAUCUACCAACCUAAUCUCAAUCAACCUAAGCUAAACACACUUAAGGCAUCAUUAACCCUCUAAUAAAGAUUUAGUGAGCUAAACUCAUCGGAAUUGCUCUCCAGUGAGUCUCCAGCGAAGCUAACGGUGAGGCGGUCGACAAAUCUACACGGAGCAACACCAAAUGAGAACCAAAAGGCGUCCAAAGUAAGCCUUGAAGAACCGGAUCUUGUUGGAACUUCUAGCUACUGACCAAGCUCGGAGGAGGGCGGCACAGUGGUCGGUUGGACGCGAAACUGGCGGAAGAGAGAGUCGGCAGCUCGGGCAGUGGGUCAUGGCGGCUAGGCGGGCCUCUGGCAACCUUGGCGACAAUGAACGAGCGAUUAGACGGUCGGACGAUGAUGCUAGGUGGCGAACGAAGCAGUGACGGGAGGGCAAAACAACUUGCACGCGGGACGGCACGCGCGAACGAGCGGUGACGUGCAGCAGCAUCGAGUGAGCGGACGGAGGGGCGAACGAAGGGGGUGGUAGGCUUGCUGGUUCCAACCAGUUGCUUCUCUCUCUCUCCUCCAAAUUCAAAAGCAAAGACCAAGGUUAAAGAUGAUGGAGAUGGAUGAAGUGAUAUCCCACCUUUCCAAGAGCUAAUCACCACUAUCCACUUGUCAAGAUCUCCUUCAAUUUGGCCCAACCACCAUGACAUCACCUGAUAUCAUCUUCCACUAACUCAACCCUCCACAACACCUUCCAAUGGGUGCAAAUUUCAUUUUCCGCCGGGGCAUAAAAUCUUGUACAACAACUUCUUCAAUUCCAUUAAAUUCUCUUCCAAUUGAAUCAAAUUGAAGUCCAUAAAAUUAAUCCAAUGUUACCACACUUCAAUUCACAUCUUCACUUGUCCAUAAAACCGACUUAAGUCCCAAAAGCAUGACCAAGGGCGGGCCUACUAAUUUCUCGAGCCAAAUUAGCCAUUUCUUGAUUAAUUUGUUAAAAAACUCUAAUUGCAUGAAAAAUAUUCCGAAAAUGAGUCAAUGAUUUUAAAAUGAUUUGUGACACACCAUGACUUCCAAUUUUUGAAUUCAAUCUCAAUUUCACGAUUAAUUUUACUUCGGCACGAUACUAGCGCGUCCUAAUCUACUUGGCAGCUUUUAGAAAUUUUCAUGCAUUUGACAUGUGGUUGAUUAAUUCAAGCCACAAUGUACAUCUUUGACACAUUGACCAAUCUUGAUUGUCGGGGUAAUCUCAAGGUUUUAAAUACGGACACUGGGUACCCAAUCAACAGAAAAGUCGAUCUAGUGUCGAUAGAUAAGAAUUGUGCGAUCUGGUGGAAUCACCCACACCUGAUUACAAGCCUCUGUCGAGUCGACCUAUCUCCGGUCUCUAAUCGAUUUUUAAUUGUGCCGAAAUGACUCUUGUAGAUUAGUUUGGUCGAAAGACUUCCUAGUUAAAUUCUCGAAUCUAUUGCAUUAGAAUCUCUUAACGGCUUCAUCUGAUAGACUAGUUUUCAUAUAAGUGGCCGACUCAAGGAAAAUAACUAUAUGCGUGACAAUAAAAUGCUCGUAUCAAUUUAUUGAAAAUAGAAUUGAAAAAUCGGGAUGUUACAGGAUGGGUUACAAAUUUACUAAGUAGCCUCAUGUUGCAACAUUACAAUUUUGAUUCCAGAAUAUUUCAGAUGCCCGUGACCUUUACGUCUGCCUAUGUCUACGCUAAGGGAAAUUAUAAAGGUGAUGAAUGAAAUUUUUUUGGCUUAGCCAACCUUUAAGGGGUAUCCGACCAAAAACAAAACCUUAAAGAGGCGUCCUCAGACCCAAAAAUAAAAUAAAUUGAAAACCUCAAAGAGGUAUCCAAUGAUGUUGAAAUGCACGCAAGCAAUUCAAAAAUAUGCUCAACAGAGACGUUUGUUCCUUGGAAUCAACCGAUGUGUAACUCAAAUGUGAAGCCCAAGGUGCAGGCAAGUUAUUUCCUUCAUUUCACUUAAUCUUCCUCAUAUAUGUAUGUCAUUGUUCAUUUCUAAUCUGAUCUUUCUUUGCCUUCGCUAUUCUUACUCGUGGAUCUUGGAAAUGACUACCAUGAAUCCCAUGCAUAUGUUGCCGUGGCAGUGUUAAGGGGAAUCUAGCUGAGUAAAGAUAUCACCGAGUUAUAUCACCAUAAAUCUUAUUUUAUUCUAUUGAACAUGUAUUAUUAGGGUGAUGGCGAACCAAUUUAACUCUCUGCCAAUCCGAUGAACAAUCUGGUCUCACCAUCUGUACUCCGGCUGCUCCGGCUAUGUAUUGCUGUUGCUCUCGGAUGAGUUGUUGAUUGCCCGGGAUUUGCAAGACACUGAAAUUGGAAGAAAGAAAGAAAGGACCCAAAAUUAUUUUAAAUUUAAUAAAAUGAAAAAUGCAAUUGAAUGGUGAUGGAGAACCUGAAAACCUUCACUCAAUUAAAAUGGGAAAAAGCUUCAAUGCAAUUUGAGAUUUACAAGCAGAGAACAAGCCUUUCACGGGAUCUAAUUAGGUGACGAAGCAUCUGUCUAUGCACUCAGAUCUAUUAAUGGUCACUGGGAGAUCUCAACUUUCCAAACAUCCGACUCUAGAAGAGGUUCUCUCGUCCAUGGUUGGAAAAAAAAAAAAAACUCUAAUAGUGGCUAGCUAGGCCAGACAUGACUACAAGCUUUGGUUCCACCUAUAGUCAAUGUCUAAAGUACAGACUAUAUCAUGAAAGUAACAUAUUCUAUGUUGUAAUUUUUUUAACAAUGGUCAUAUUAAAAGGCUAUUAGUUUUUGUUAUCGAGUUAGAAUUUUCUAAACAAUCCACUAAUGGUUACAGAAUCAUAGAAAGACAUAGGAACUUUCAGUCCUUCAACAAUCCCACGUUAGAAGUAUAGAAUUGUACAUGAUGAUGGUAAGUUGAGUAGUACUUUUCUCAACAUUAAUUACUCAAAACAUUGUGCUACUAAUUUUUAUUGCCACAUUGGCAAUUACUAACUUCGUGAUAUUUUCACCGGGAAAGUUGAAUUUAUCCCAACAACUCUAGAAGUGAUUCUCUUCCGUUCUCAAAAAAGACAAGAAAAAAAAAAGCUCGAAAAGUGAUUAUGUAUGCCAAAUGUGCUCACUAAUAACUUUUGCUGCAUCUAUAGUCCACAGUUGGAAAACCCAAUAUAUUCAUCCGUGAAAUAAAUAUUCUCAAAAUUGUGAUAUUCACAACGUAGGUCACUAACUUAGUGCUAGUAAUUUUUUUUCUUUUCAAGUCAGUAACUUUCCAAGCACAUCAAGUAAUGGUCAUGGGAGCACAAAAAGACAGAUUUAGGUCCGUCUACAGUCCUAUAGUCCAAUACACAGUUGUGUCUCUUGAUCACAAUUCCCAUAUAAUUUGUUUUCCCAGCAUGAGUUCGUAACUCUGUACUAGUAACUUCCAUUAUGGAGUCAAUCACUUUCUUAACAGAUCAAGUGCGGGAUCAUAGAAGGACACAGAUUUGAGUUUGUCUACAAUUCCAUGUAAAAAAGAAAAAUAGAAUUCUAUCUUGUGACAGUAAAUUUAUCAGUGUGGUGAUAAUUUUCUCAAAUUGGAUUAGUAGCUUAGAAGUAGUAUUAAGUUUCAAACAGGUCAUACGGUCUCAAGAUCGUAGAAUUCUUCGGUGAUGUUCAACCUAUCUGCUCAUUCUAAAUUACCCUAUCGAAAACAAAACUCCUCACCGAUAGAGAAAGGUUCAACAUAAAUACCAGUACAUAACCCUGAAAUUAAGUAUCUCUCAUUAUGUAUUGUCCUUUUCAUAAAAACUGAUAACGUUGCAGCACUCUUUAAAUGUUUUAACACCGGGACUAAUAGAAAGCAGGACAAAUUGAUGACCAGCAAAUUUAACCAGCACAACAAACUGUACAGCACACAAUCUACUAAUAUUGGUUUGAUGGACAAAAGCAACAAGCUUCUUCACUACACAAGCCUAUUAGAACAUUAGGGCAAAAAACAUUAUUAAUCAUUAAAGACCUCUCUUUCUGGUCUUAGCAGAUCAUAAAACUGCAUUGUUAGAUCAUACAUGAAAAUUAUUGAGAGAUUCUAUUGCAGGUUUCCCAAGUUUUUGGAUAGUAGUUAAUAUAUGCACAGAAGAGUGAUGAUGCACGGCAAGUAAUAGGAAGGAAAUUAAAGCACCGAUGGGAAAGAGGGCGACACCUUUGCAAGAAGCUUUGCAUUCUCUUCUUUCAAAGACCUCUCCUGAGGUAAACCAAAUAAAGUUGCUAGAUUAAUAUAACCAGGAAAUUAACAACGCCUGAUGAGAUCGGAUAUGCAAUCAUCAUAUUUGUCCACUUACCUUUGCUUGCAACUGCUGUAUUUGAUCGUUCAAUAAUUGAGCCUGUAAAAGAGUUCCGUAGAAAUAUUUUAACUUUCGUGUGUGCAUGUUGUCCCCAUGCCUUUCUUAUUACAAAGUAAGAAAAAAAGAAAAGAGAGAAAAUAAGUUGAAAUGAUGAACGGUAGUAAUGAAAGGACAAUGCUUUGCAACUUAUCCAGAAACAUAGUUCAAGUGAGAAGUAGUACAUGGAAAUCGGCAAGGUUAACAUAAUAAAAAAACUCAUGGUAUUCUAUUAUUUCGUGUUAUAAGUAUCAAUUUGUGUGAAUAAGUGUCAAGAAAUCAUUUAUAAAAAAUGAUCGAUGACUUUUUUUUUUGUCAGAGAAGAAAAGCCAGUUAUCUAACCAAACCAAAUAAACUUGUUAACUAAUCAAAGAAGAGUUGGUAACACUGAAUUAGUUGGUUACUUAAUCAGAGAAAAGUUAGUAACUCCUAUAAUUAUGAUUGGUAAUUUGUAGUUGGGUUCAUAAGUAAGGCAAAUAUUUAUGUGUGCACGAGUCUCAUAAGUGAAGGGUGAAGACGAGUGAGAGUAUUUUUUUCAACAGAAUUUAUUUUAUAACUAAGAAAGUGAUAAAGAGAAGAAAGAUCUGCUGAAGUUGUUGGCAAAUAAAACAGAAGAGAGAGUAGACGUCACUCUCCACCAUAAGACAAUGUUUCCACUAUCUCAAGAGUAGUCAAAGGAAGGGUUAGAGCAGGAAAAAUUGCACUAAGAAAGACCAUAAGUUAGUCCCAAAAAAAUAAGUCUAUAAGUCUAUAAAGUUAGUCAAAUAGAGUUAGUAACCAAAAAGAGUUAGUGAUUUAAGCAAAACAGAGGUCUAUAAGUCAUACAAAGAAAUAUCUGAAAAUAUAUAUAAGAGCUAAUAAAUUUAAAGGAAUGGCAAGAAAAAAUAAAUAAAAUUUACUAAAAAAAUAAGAGAGAUUGAUAAUUGCACAUUGUUGAAAAGAGUUGGUGAUUUCAUAAAAGUGUUAGUAAGUUACCAAUAAGUCACCUAGAAAUCAGGUAAUUGAAAAUUUUUAUUUUUUAUCAUGGUUUUUUGUCACUUACAACUCUUUCAUAGGUUUAUCAAAAACUAUCCAAUUUAUUUUGGAAAGAUGAACAAUAGAGUCGUCCAAAUAACUCUAGGAAAAAUAAUGAUAGAAGAAUAAUCGUGAUAUUUUCCUUGUUUAUUGGCAAAAAAAAAGAACAGGUCGAUAACUAUGAAGAAAAAGGGUGAUUUGUAAAUGUGCUUUCAUUCUUUCUUAUAAGGUAGAAAACGCCAUGUAUGCUCGGAGAAAAUUGAUUCUCUCCUUUCAGAUGCCAAGUUUAACGUUUUUAGUCUAUUCAGUUCCAAUCUUACAAUGCGAUUAGAGUCUCUAUCGAAAUUGGUAUUUUGGCUCCUGUAUGCAUAUGGUCAGUCUUGUUAGUUAUUUGAGAGAAAUUGUUUCUCAUUGUUUUCUUUCCCUUCUCACCAUAUCCAUGCCUCCAAACACAACGGCUAUUCGAUGAAAGUUCUCAAGACAUCUACUUCGCUCAGAGAAAAGGACAAAUAUGCUAAAGACACAUGUACCUUUCUUUCCCUAAUGCUGCUCAAACUUCGCUCGAGCUGAUCCCCUAUCUCUUGGAUUUCGUCCAUCGAGCAAGAUCCAAGACAUUGUCCUGAUAGCUUCCUGUUGUAAAAAAGAAAAGGAGUACCAUAGUUUAGGGAAUUAGAUAUCAAGAAUCCAUUUCAAUCCACAAUAUAUAAGAGAGAAGUCUCAAAAUUUGUGGACCGUAGAGAAACUUCAAGAAGCUCAAUCUUCCUCUCCAUAUCAGUGGUUUCUUGCUUCAGACGCUGCACAUAUAUGGAGAUUGUGAUAUUUAUGAAUCUAGUGAACGGAACCAUACAAACUGAACAAAUUUGAAAUUAGUAAUGGAUAAAACCAAUCAUAGUGAACAAAUCUGUAACACCACAGGAUCCUGCAAAACUAAGAUUGGUACUAUAAGAACCCUAACGUUCUUGCAAAAUUUGUAGCUGCCAUAGUGAAUUCUAUGGCUUACCACCUCAGUAAUUCUUGAGAUCAAAAGUAGGGUUCUUAUCAAGAACGCGAUUCGGUAUUAUUACAACCUGUAAAUACAUACAUAUACGUUCACACCAACAAUCAAUUUUAAGACUUCCUUCAAGAAAACAAUAAGAUGUAAAUGCCCAAGUGGUGGAUGAUGAGUGGGAUUUCAGAAGCUGAAAGAAUUUUAGAGGACCAGUCAAUGUCUUCAGGACAUGUACAAAGACCAAAAUAGCACUUUUAAUGUUAUAUUUAACUUGAAACCUAUUUUUCUCUCUAUACAUAUCAGCAGUUUCUCCUCUCUGCUUUCCAGUCAUUGCCAAACCACACGAAUAACAGUGGUAAGGCUGCAAUAAUAUUACGGGUCAUUUAUCCAACCAUAACAGUGGAAGAGUUUUCCUGAUGUAGGCUAUAUUAAUUGAUAUUAUAAUUUACCAUUUUAUGGAGUUUGGUCUAAGGUGAAAGAGAAUGUUUUUUAAUUAAUCUAAUAUGGGGUUGGUUAGUGUGGGCCGAAUUGAGCCUGGCCGUAAUGAGAAGACCUAGUUGGAAACUCUAUAAAUAGUGCUCAAAUCUCUCUUCUAACCCUAAUUCUCAAAAGUAUCCUCACAUAAAAAGCAUUUACCUAGAAAGGGUGAGGGGGCUGUCUCAUUAAGCCAGUGAUACGGAGGGCAAUAGAAGAGAAAAACUUGAAUUGAUCUAAAAGAAAUUCAACAAUUGACUUGGCAUAAAGUAAGUUUAUCCACAACUUAUCGUGGAUACACCCUCUCAUUAAUAGAAAACUUACCACAUUAAAGAUGUAUUCAGAAGUUGAAUGUCACUUGACUCUAUCCCUCUUUGUAUAGUGAUACCAUCAUCAUUAGUAUGAUCCCUACUUUGUGGUUCUAGUGAUCCACUAGAUCAUGUAUGCAAGUAGAUUGUUGCGUAAUUCUUUGCAUACGAGGCGACUAUUUAUGUAUACACAAGUAUAUAUUACUAGAUUGUAGGGGAAAUAGGAUUUCUUGCCAUUUGUGUUCAUAUAUAGACUUCUUUCUAAGUCCCAUCCUGAAAUAAGUUAUGUAAUGUGAUGUUCUAUGUUAAUCCACACACACACGGGAGAAUAAAAAAGAAAAAAAAAAACAGAGGAAGUUGCGUUCUUACAUACAGCAAAAUGAAUAAAAAUUGAACUGCUCAGCUUGCUUAACCUCUACAUAAUGUGCUUACGAAUGCAACUAAUGUAUCAUCAUGGAAAGGUUAGAGAACUGACCAGAAUAUAUUGUUCCAUACUAGCCUGGUAUGUAGCCGCAUCAUUUGUAGAUCUACGAUAUCGAUCAAUUGUCUUUCGAAUUCUGAAAAAUUUGCAAAGAUAACAUAUGAGCUCAGCCACUGGGAAUACAUUCUCCAAAUUAAUCAGGUUUCGUCAAAACUAAAAUAAUCAAACACUAAACAAAUUAAUAAUCAUUUUUGUGAAUCAUGCAUGACUUCCAGUGAAUAUGUAUCACCAUCACUCACUAACAGAAUAUGCAAGGAGCAUAAGCCUCUGCAAGAAGCUUUUAGCCUCUCAGCAACUAAUUUGCAACGAUCUGAAGUACUUGGAAAAGUCUUGGUUGCCCACCUUAUACUUUGUAAAUAAUUGAUGCUAGAGAGAGUGUAGAAAAGUAGAAAGUAACACAAAUGAGAACUUAAAUGAAUAGGUCACUUGCCACUCAUAGGAAUUCAUCUAAGAGAUAAGAGCAAAACACAAAAUCCUUAUUAUUCUCAAGCCAAAGUCUAAAUAAGUUACGAAUCAAAACAAGUCUACCUCCUCAUUCAUCAUAGCAUGCUUAUAUAGAUGAGUUUGGAACAACUCUUCAAGCAUGAGUAAUUACCAAGACUCCUUGAAAAGACAAAAAGACUUAUAGGAAAGACAAAACAAGUCUUACUAGAAAAUAACUAUAAUUAAAUAAGGACGCCAUAAACUUAAAUGGCAUUUACUAAACCUUGAAAAUAUGAGAAUUAAAUGUAGUUGGUUGUAAGUAUCCUAAUUUUACUAGUUCUGAAUUAAUGGAAUGCUCCGGCAUCAAUAAUCAUGCCAGCAAUAUUUUUCUUCAAAUUUUAGCGUAAAUGUUCAAUUUCACAUCAUAAAAGUAUAUUAUAUGCGCACCCAAAGUAUAUUUAAAUGUGAGCGCAGAGUGAGCUAAUGCACUGUUUUUGCCCAAGCCCAAAUACUUCAAUAUAUUCUACAUGCCACUCCAUGUUAGUAAGAACUAAGAACACCACAUGAUGCUCGUAAAAUCAUUGUGAAGCAGUACAAGGACUCACUACUUCAGAGAGAGAUUGUAAGAGCAAGCAGUUGCACGUACAUUUAACUUGUGACUUCAAGUACUUUUUUUCCCGGUAAAUGAAGAAGAGGGAAUACUUACAUGGUGAGCAACUAAAAUGGCAAGCAUGUACAAUUGCAGUCACUUUUGGACAUAAAUACUCUAUUUAUAAGAAAUCCAAGAGAUCAGUGUGUCGUGUCAUAUUAGCCUCAAUCUAUUAUACUGGUGAAUGCACUCGAUCCCAUAAAAGCACCCCUACACAAAUCUAGUCAAGCCCAUAAUCUUAUUCACCUUUCAGAGCACCCUAUAAUUAAAAGAACCUGAAGUUGAAGAUGUCAGGACUGGUUUCACAGGCUUUUGCUUAGGGUUAAAGUACCACUAAAAAAUCAACUUGAAAAUCUUUUGCAGGUUUUGUUUGAUUCAGAAGAGAGAUUAGUUAUGCUUUAAGUUUCGAUUCAAUGAACCCUGAUUUGAAAUGCUUCUUGAUUAUGGCGGUAGAUAGGUAACACAUUAUUUGAUUUCCUGACUAAUAUAAUACAUUUCAUAUGAAAUUUCUAGUUUUUUUUUUUUUGGUCACCCAGGAUAUGCCGGGUUCGACUUUCCCUUACAAUAAGCCAACUCAUGGCCCGUACAGUUCGCAAUGCACCUCGGACCAGGCAUCAAUACCUGAGGGGAAGCUAGCACAGCACCCCACCACCAUGGCUCUCCACUUAAGAUGUGUUAGAAGCUGCAAAAUUUCGACCUUGGGACCUCUACGAUAAAGUGUCCAAAGCCGAACCAACAUUGCUGCCCACCAGUGGGUUGAAAUUUAUAGUUUUUGCCUUGUGUUAUGGUCAUAAACUUGAAGCAUGGAUCUUUAUGAUUUGUAAGAUAGCUAUUAUCACAUAGGAUACAUAAAAUAGUCUUAAUUCACGUCUAAGUGGUAUAAUUACAACGAACUGAAUCAAACAAGGUAUGGUUUGAAAGGCUUCACCCUUUUCAACUUAAGUUUGGUUUUCUUCAACACUUUUCCAAGCAUACAAAUUUGUUUGGGAAAGAUCUAGUUCGAGUAGAAUAAUACCUAACUGCAUAUACGCUUAAUCAUCAUGCCCCAAGAAUUAGUUAUGGAGAUCAAUCCCUAGAAGCAGCCUUAACACCUAUAACACUUCAAAAAAAAAAAAAACACUACACGGCGUGUUCAUUUCAUAUCAAUGUGGAAUUGGGGGGAAGGCUGAACUGUUACUUGUCAAAACCAGAAGGACCAAACAAUAUCAGUCCCUAGUUUCACUAACAUCAAAUUAUGUUUUCAUCCCCCAAGACAAAGUACUAACUUUCCUAACAUGUGAAGUAGCUGGGGGUGAUCAGUACUUGCAAGAUAUUCAACAAUUCGUUUCCUCAGAAGAACCAUUAAGACAGAGGGAGUCCAACUCCAAUGCCACAGCGUACACAAUGAAUGCCUUUGAUCAGCUAAUCCCCCACACCUAGCCAUUUGAUUAGGUACACCCCAGUGCAUUGACUAUUCAAACAAAUGCGAAAGAGAAGAUUUUAUAGUUUCAUACUUCCUUUCCUCAGCUAAUUUCAACUAGGAUAUUUGAAUAAAAGUCAAUGUUUUUAAAAAUUGUCCGAAAAUGAGAACUAGAUUGGUCAUCAUCGUGGGUUAGGCCAUGAUCGAAGGGGAAUAGCACUGAACACUUGACCAAAACCAAAAAUGGUAGGAAAAAGAAGCAGAAUAAGAAAAGAAAAAAAAAAACCCGUGCCAUGAUGCUGUCUCUUAUUUGCACUUCACAAACACACAGCGUAUAUAUGUGCAUGUGCCCUCAUUUUGGACAUAAGAAUGUCAACAUGGCUCAAUCACGUUGCCCAUCUAAAAUCAACUCGAGAAAUUAUAAAAUCGGUACUUGAACGUACUCGGAAGUGCUUGAGAACUCGUAAAGCCUUCCUUUCUGUGAAAAGAUGAUCACGGCCACUUCGGCAUCGCAGAGGACUGAGAGCUCAUAAGCUUUCUUCAGUAGCCCAGUCCGGCGCUUUGAAAAGGUGACUUGCCGGCUUGUCGCGUUCUCAAUUCGCCUCAUCUGAACUUUGCCUCUCGCCAUGAUUAAAUUCUUCCUACAUACAUGGUGGUUAUCAACCCUAGAAUGGCAAGUACUUAAACGUAGCGAUGAACAUGACAAAUAUACCUCAACGAUAAAAAAUAAUAACUCACCAGGGACUUUGGCAGCGUCAACCAGCUGAAGAUUUAUCUUUUUAUCCACCUCCUAUUGUCUAAACUUUAGACUGAAGUUCUUCAGAAGCUAAAAACACUGCAAGACAAAUCACACUUUUUUUUUUUCCAAACAGAGAUGAACUAUAUCAUCAUUCGAACACAAGCAAAAACCACAGGAUAAAGAUUUCACAAUCAAAGGUCGGAGGAUUAUAGAUUUGCCAGGGUAUUAAAGGGGGAAGCUUCUCCUACUCUACGUCAGAAAAAUGAACCACAAUAAAUUCAGAAACCCUAAAGAGGGAUGAGAGCGCAAAGGCAAAAACAAAAAACCUGGAAGGAAAGCAAAGGAUAUUUGGCAGCUGACGGAUCUCUCUUUAUUUUGUGGCCACAAACAUAAAAUGAACAAAAAAAAAAAAGACCUUACCAUUCGAAAUUCAACGAUCUUCUACUUAGGGCAAAUAUGGUGUGAGCUACCCAUGAAAAGGAAAUGCAAACAAAAAAGGAAAGAAAUAAGGAGGAAAGCAAAGCAUUCAGGUUCAACCGAAACGGCAUGGUCAAUUUGGUAAUGAAGAUUCAAAGAGGCAGAAGGAUUAUCUUUUUUUGAUAAAAUUAAGAAAAAGAAAGUAGAGAGAGAGAAGAUAUUUUGCUUUUUUUUUUUUGGGUGAUCUCGUAGUUCCUACGGGGUGGAGACGAUGGGGUCAAAACGUAUAUUAUGCCAAUGGGUUUCAGCUUCGGCUGUUGUGGCCUGCGUGACAUUCGAAAGAGAGAGCUGUAAGAAACAAAACAGGUGAAAACAAAGAGAAAAAGGUCGUGCGCUAACUAUAAAUUGUCGACAUCAUCAGACCAUGCCGUGUGCUGUUACCGAAUGGGCCGUUGACAAGUGGGAAAACAUUAUCUCUCACUUAAACUCAGUGGGCCUCCACUCGACCAAUGGAAAGAGACUGUCCUUUUCUUGGGCCUAAUAGGAGCAGCCUCUGGGCUCUUCUUCAAUCGGUUCCCCUCUUGAUGGGUUUACGAGCACUAAAUUCAUGGACAAGAUAAAUACAGAUCUAUCCUUUAGCUUAUCCUUUCUUUAUGUUCUUCUUAUAAUUCCUCAUUAUUUAGAAGUGUAAAAAAUACCUAAAACUUUUCGAUUUGGGUAAAAGUAAAGGAACUUGGAAAGUUUGACGCUAUAAUUUGGGUUUCGAUCUUCUUCUUUUUUUUUAAUUAUGUAUUAGGAGAUCAAAGGCCACUAGUGCACUAAUCCUAGAUCUUUUGAUUUUUUUUAUUAGCAGAAUUGUGAUCUUUGACCACCCAACCACCCAAAGGAAAUGUGAUCUUUGAGAAGAUUACUAUGUUUCGAUAGAAGACAAGUAAAAUAAAUAUAUCACGGUGUCAAUAGUGAAGUAGAGCUUGAAAAUUCAGGAAACCUUAAAGAUAAGAAAGGUUGAGGUUGUAGAUGAGAUUGUGAUUCCUGAAAUCAAUGAUAUUAAUCAGCUAGCAAAAUUGUAGCACUCUAUAGUCAUGAGUAGAUAAAGAAGGUAAAUUGGGCCACAGAUACAUUGUGAUUGUGCAUAUAUUACUCUCGCACAUUGAUUGUAACUUAUUUUGAGGUGAUAGUGCUAAAUCGUUAUAGUGGCUAAAGGUUAUUAGUGAAUAGAUGAAAUCACUCCAUUGAAACUAGAUGUGACAGCUUGUUAAAGUACCCAAGAGCCAAAACAUCAUUGUAAACAAGUGAAUCUAUAGACGGAAAGAGGCCAUUAAGGUAUAAGGUGAGAUUUGUUGUAGAGGGGUGUACACUACGAGAGAGCAUUAUUGGUUAAAAUGAGGUGUUUUAUUCUAUUGUAAGGAAUCCUUAUAUUUGAAUAUUACUUGCCUUAAUUGCUACACAAGAUCUCGAGCUGGAAUAGCUGGAUGUCAAGAUGACAAUUUUUUAGGAGAAGUUGAAGGAGUAGAUUUACAUGAGGCAGCCAAAAGGAUUUGUUAUUCUAAGUUAGGAAACCAUGUUUGUUUAUUAAAGAAAUCAUUUUAUGGGUGGAAACAAUCUCCUAAGUAGUGGUAUAAUCAUUUGAAUGCUUUUAUGAUUAGUCAAGAUUAUUUGAAAGUCGGUUGGACAGCUUACUUUAGGAUUAUGAAGGAUGAAUCUUUGAUUUAUCUAUUAUUAUUUUUUGAUGACGUAUUGAUAAUAGUUAAGAUUUUGUAUGAAAUUGGUGUGUUGAAAAGGUAGUUGAAUGUUGAGUUUUAGAUGAAAGAUUUGGGUAAUACAUAAAUGAGAAAAAUGUCAAAAAUGCUUAUUGGAUCAACUGUAUGAAGAGCUUUUGUUUCGAAUUGUGCUGUGAGUUUUACUUGCAAUUGAGUUGUUUAUUUGUAAAGACCAUAGGUUUUGGUGUACUUUAAGUAUGGGAAACAAUCGAGCAUGUAAGUAAUUAUUAACGCUAAAAUUCUCCAAUUGUUAGUAAAUAAUUUGCUACUAGCUCUUCUCGUUAAGGAGUUACCAACACAUAGACCAAACCAUGCAAAUUCCUAAUGUUUUUUCUUCUUGACUUAUUGCUGUGGUGAUUUUGCAUUGAUUUAAUUUGCAGGUUCCAAUAUUUUCCACAUUAAUUUUACAAAAAUUUAGAUGGACAAGUCACCAUAUCAAUUAUAAAAUACAAAAGAUGAGGACAACAUAGCUAAUGCGAUGUGGAUUCAUGAGGACACCAAAAUAACACAGGCCUUUGAUUAAAUCACAUAUCGAUAACGUAGGCUUUUAAUUAAAUCGCAUAUCUUUACUAAUAUAUUCAGCCAAAGUACGCACCUUACGCAUAUGACCAAAUGCCCCAUUUAUCAUGUUUCUAUGUCAUAACAAUCUUGACCCUUUUGACUAUUCCACAUUUUUUUCAAUGACUAAGUACAUUUUAUAGCGUUAACAUCAACAUAGUUGGAGAGCAUCUUCUCUCUACAAACUCAAUAUUAAGGCAAGUCUUCAAAACAAAGAUGCAAUACUAAUUGAGUUUCUUGGACAAAAGGCAGCCAUAACAUUCCCAAUGACCCUUUUACAAAACUAAAAGGCUUUUAAGCCAAAUUCAGAAAUCUAAAUACCUUACGAAUCACAAACAUUUAUCAGUUGAGAUGGUAGACAUUGUCUCCUUUAGCAAGCCAACAACCUUAAGUCAGGUUGACAAAUAAAGUGUGUUUACAAACUCUAUCAUAUAUUUGCAAUUGUCUCCCCGCCACUCACAAUAUCUACACAUAAUGGUCGAUACUGAGAGAAAUAUGUAUGCAUUUGUCUAAAUUUAGUAAUGGUUAAGUAUUUGAGAAGUAAUGCUAAAUCAUGUAUUGGGAUAAUAUACUCAUCGUUGAUUGAUUAAACGUUGAUUGAUUAAACAUUUUAACCCGUGGAUCAUUAUUUCAACAUGUAUAAAAGGGUAUUUUGGAUUUGAUUUAUUGGUAGUUUGGUUAAAAUGAUUGAAAUAGAACUACCCGUUACAAAUAACAUUUUUCAUAAACAAAUAAUCCAAUUUUACUUUAAAAAAAUCAAAAAGGAAUUCUUAUAAUUUUGGUCAAUGGGUAAAGAAAAUUUUACAUUUGAAAGUACUCUCACUUAAUAUUGAUUUGCUUCCCCACAUCACUUUCACAGGUUUAUUUGAUGCAUAAAAUCCGACACCCGAACUCCUAUAGUGUCAAAAGUUGGCAUAAAGGGACAUUUAAGUGUUAAAAGUUACAAAAGUGACACUUAAGUGUUAAAAUCGAAGAGAAAUUGAUCACUUAAGUGCUACUCCGACAAAAAUAUGGCCAAAACGCUGAUAUGUUAAUUUUCCGACAAAGCGAGUGCAAAACGGCGUCAUUUUUUAUACUGACGUGGUAAAAAAUUUAAUAUAAAAAUUAAUUAAAUUAAAUUUAAAACUAAAUUAUUUAAAAAUAUAUUUAAAAAUAUAUAAUUAAAAAAAAAGGGAGGCGGCUAAGGGCCUCCCUGCCACCGCCGGGAAGGGCUAAGAUGGAGAGGGGAGGGUCGGCCGAGGUCGUCGAACCCUAGCUAGGGGCCGGCGACCUUGGCCGACCGGCAACGAGGGUCGGUGACCCUCACCCAACCAGGCCAAGGGCCGCUGCCCGCCGAGGGGCUGCAACUCUCGCCCAAAUCUAGGGCAAAGGCUCGCGGGCCCUCACCACUAGUCGCCAACUGUGACAUCGUGAUUUUUCUAAUUCUGUCUUUAAUAAAAUGAGACGAGCAUUUCAUCUUCACACAUAUAGUUCUUUUCCAUAAGAGUCGGCCACUCAUCUGAAAAAUAGUCUAUCAAAUGAAGUCAUUAAAAGAUUAUAAUGCAUCAAACACGAGAAUUUUACCAAGAAGCAACCUUUCGACCGAGCCAAUCUGCAAAAGUCAUUACCGAAUAGUUAAAAAUCGAUUAGAAACCAAAGAUAGAUCGACUCGACCAAGGCAUGUGAUCAAGUAUGGGUGAUUCCACCAGAUUGCAUGAUUCUUGUAGAUCAACACUAGACUAGCUUUUUUGUCGUUUUGUUACCUUGUGUCCAUAUUGAAACAUUGAGAUUACCACGACAACCAAGAGUCGCCAAUGUAUCAAAGAUGUACGUUAUGGCUUGAAUUAAUCAACCACAGGUCAAAUGCAUGAAAAAUUCUUAAAGCCAUACGGUAGAUCAGGACACGCUAGUAUUGUACCGGAAUAAAAUUAACCGUGAAAUUGAGAUUGAAUUCAGAAAUUGGAAGUCCUAGUGUGUCACAAAUCAUUUUAAGAACAUUGACUCAUCUUCGAAGGAUUUUUCAUGCAAACCGAGUUUUUCAGAAAAUUAAUCAAAGUAUGGUUAAUUUGGCUCGAGAAUUUAGUAGACCCACUUUUGGUUGUGCUUUUGGGACUUAAUAUGGUUCUAUGGUCUAGUAAAUUUGUGAGUUGAAGUGUGGUGACAUUGGAUUGAUUUUAUGAACUUCAAUUUGAUUCAAUUAGAAGAGAAUUGAAUGAAAUUGAAAGAAUGUGUUGUACAAGAUUUUGAAUUUUAUGCCACGGCGGAAAAAAAAAUUGCACCCAUUAAAAGAUGUUAUGGAGGAUUUGAGUUAGUGGAGUGUGACAUCAUGUGAUGUCAUGGUGGGGCCAAAGUGGAGAAGAAAUUGACAAGUAGCAAGUGCUAAUUGGCUCUCAAAAAGUGGGGAUUUCACUCCAAUCUCCAUCUUCUUCCUUGGGAGUUGGAGAGGAGAGAGGGAGGCUGAGCAGAAGACCAGGGACGACAGUUCCUUUGACUGCUCAUCCAUUCACUCGUCUGGUCGCUCGCACGUCGCUGGAGUCCGUUGCCAUCGCUGUUACGGCUCGUUCACGCUUGCUACUCCGUUCGUCCGCACACAUGUUGCUGCGCUCGCCAAGCUGCCGGUUUCGUGUGGUCUCGACGUUCUCCGAAGCUCCCUUGACGCCGUUGAAGCCGUGCCACCACCGUUCGGUCCCCGAAGUAGCCGAGGCCGCCGUCGCUCGCCGAAGUGUGCUAUCUCACGCGAGCUGCUCUAGCUGUGAGUCCCUGUUGCUCCGCCUUCGUCCAUCGUCCAAUGUCAUCAUCCAUUCGUCCAGGCCGCGUCUCAGCCUCUCCGCCAUCACUUGAGCCAGCAUGGUGGUUGUCCAAUUUGCUAGAGAGUAACCACGAGCCAGCCAAGGUCAGCUCAUCACCGGUGUCGCUUCUCCUUUGCUCGCGUGCUCAGCCAGCUCGCACUUUGCUCGGCCAGCUCGCACUUUGCUCGGCCGUUGCUCGUGCGACCCUGACCUUCCAGCACCGCCAUCCGUCGCUACCCUUGAUUGCCCGCCACCGUUAAAGCCAGCAAAGACUGCCGUGAGCCACCGCCAGUCGCUGCCUGAGCUGCCGCCGUCCAUCCCUGCUGUGUCCGCGCCCAACCAACCGCCGAACAGCUCUCCUCCAGCCAAGAUCAUAAGCUAAGUUCCAACUAGGUCAUGGAACUUCAAGGCCUGUUUUGGGUGCCUUCCGAUCCUCUUUUGGUGUCGCCCCGUGGAGGUUUGUCGACUGCCUUGUCAUUGUCUUCGCCGAAGACUCAUCGGAAAGCGAUUCUAGUAAGUUUAGCUUCCUAAACCUUGAUUAGUGAGUUAAUUAUGCUUAGAGAUGUAUAGUUUAUAUUAAAUGUUGUUAUGUGGUUAGUUUAAUUUAUUUAAGUGUAAAUUAGAUUAAGAGUAUGAUUAAUUUAAAAUAGGUUUAAUUAAGGCUAAAUAAGUUUAUAUUAGAAUAAGCCUUGAUUUUAUUUUAAUGAAGUAUUUUUGGAUUAAAUAAAUAUUUCUAAAUUAUUUAAUAUUUUAAUAAUAUAUUAUUAUUCUAAAUUAUCAAAAUAUUAUUAUUUAAUUAAUUUUUGAAAUAAAUUUAAUUAUUUAAUAAAUUCCGAAAAUUAUUUUUGGACCUUCAAUUGUCAGAAUUUCAUGCUGAUUGCAAAUGUGCUUUUUGUUAUUUAUUUGAGUGCCAAUUUAUGAGAAUCGAGUAAAAGUGAUUAUGAGAGAAUUAUCCCAAAAUUUGAGAAUAUCGAUAUUUUAUGGGGAAAUGACCAUGGAAGGUUGUGAGUGGACUUAGAAAACUGUAGAAGUAUGGCCGUGCCAAUAGGGCUGAGAUUUACCACCGAAUUUGGAAUUGAUUGUGCCCAUCGGGCCGUAAUCUACCAUCUAUUAAAGGUCAUGUCGAGUGGGGCCGUGAUGCUACUAAAUCUAAACUUGCCGAGUCAGGCCGUGAUCUACCAGCUAUUAAAGGUCGUGUCAAGUGGGGUCGUGAUGCCACUAAAUCUAAACUUGCCAAAUGGGGCUAUGAUAACCACUAAAUUUAGAUUCGUCUGUAGGGCCGUGCUUGAGGGUCAAGAAUGAAUAGUUAGAAUGACCGUGUAAUGACCUUGAUGACAUGUAAUCGACCGAGUUGAUUGAUCGCUGAGUCGAUCCGAGUAAUUGAAUUGUUUGAAUUCUAUUAUUAUAUAUGCUUGAGUAAUAUAAACUGUGCUAAUCUGUAGGAAGAAAAUGAGGCAAAGGUAAGUCUCAUUGUUUGUGAUGGUGUGGCUAGGCCAUCCUUGAGUGUAUUUUCUUUCUAAUAGGGGUUUAAGGGGUGAACUUGCCCAGACAAUGUCUCACCCUGUCGUGGACUCAACAUUUUCAAGUCCUUAGAUGGCGGUCAUGGAAGUCAUGGACAUUUGUGGAGAUGGAAAUUGAAGAAUCGGCGAAUGUGUCUGACUAGAUCGUAGGACAAUUCCCUUUUUGUUAAGCCGGUCUAUUUUGUAGACAACCCUGUGUUGUAUAUAAACAUGUGUUUAUAAGAAAGCUUGUUUGGUUGUGAUUAAUUGCCUGCUUUUCUAUCCCAAGUUAAAUGUUGUUAGGAGAUUUGUUUCGCUUCCGGAAGCGUAAAAUACAUGAAUGGGUCAGUGACACGUCCUGGAAAGUCGCAUUUUUUUUUUAUUGAGUUGAGUAGGAUAUUCGCGUGCUCGAGGUUCAGGGUGUGACACCGAGCCUUGGCCAGGGCCCAGCGACCCCGGUCGACCCUCCCCUCUUCGUUGCCGGCCCUUUCUGGUGGCAGUGGGGAGGUAGCCGUCCCCCCUUUUUAAAAAUAUUUUUAAUAUUUUUAUUUUCUUUUUAAAAAUUUUAAAUAAAUUUAGUUUUAAAUUUAAUUUAAUUAAUUUUUAUAUUAAAUUUUUUUACCACGUUAGCACCAAAACGAUGUUGUUUUUGCAUUGUUUUGCCACAUCAGUGUGUAAAACGAUGCCGUUUUGCACUCGUUUCGCCGGAAAAUUGACACGUUAGUGUUUUUGCCGGAUUUUGGCCGGAAUGGCAUGUAAGUAAUUCAUUUAUCUCCGAUUUUAGCAUUUAAGUGUCAUUUUCGUAACUUUUGGCACUUGAAACGAUCUUUUAUCCUUAAAAUCCCUUUUUCUUAUUUACGAGGACAUUUAGGUACUUUUCUUGGCUUGGGAUUGACUCAUCCAAGAUGAUGUUCUUGUUUUAAGAAAAUGAAUUAUUGUAGAAUGAUUUUUUUAUAAAAAAAAUCACAUUAGUUUUGGUUUAUAGAUGAGAAGCUGGCCAUGGAUCUUGAUGUAGACCAACCUAAAUUCAUUCCUAACAAGUGACCAAGGAGGGGCCGUCAUCUUUUGAAUCCAACCUUGUCCAUAGAUUUUUCUAUCACGAAAAAGGAAAACAAAGGGAAAAAUAGAAAGCUCAUACAUAAAUGUUACUUCGCUUUUCUUAUUUAUUUGUAUAUCUUCUUACGAUGCACUGUACAUCUUAGUCAUCUCAUGUGUCACGGGAAGAUAAUAAAAAAAGUUCUAAACUCAUUACAAUUGUGUCAUCUUGAUGUAGACCAACCUAAAUUCAUUGCUAACAAGUGACCAAGGAGGGGCCGUCAUCUUUUGAAUCCAACCUUGUCCAUAGAUUUUUCUAUCACGAAAAAGGAAAACAAAGGGAAAAAUAGAAAGCUCAUACAUAAAUGUUACUUCGCUUUUCUUAUUUAUUUGUAUAUCUUCUUACGAUGCACUGUACAUCUUAGUCAUCUCAUGUGUCACGGGAAGAUAAUAAAAAAAGUUCUAAACUCAUUACAAUUGUGUCAAUCUUAUCAACAACUUCUUUUUAUCAAUUUAAUUUUAAACAUUUUGCAAUUAUGUUCAUUCAGUUCAUUCAGCCACACUAACAUGAAUGCUGGCUGGCGUCGGCCAUCUAGUGUCAACCAUCCUACAAAUGCUGACGUGAUAAUUUUUAAUAAUUUUUUUUUCUUUUUUUCCCCAUCUUCCACCUUCCUCUAGCCGAUUAGAGGCAUGGGCCAGCCAGGUCAACCUCGCUAGCCAAUGAUGAGGCUCACCUUCACUAGCCACUAGCAUGGGUGAGCCUUGCCCAACCAUGGUGAGGCCUUGCUAGAUUUGGCAAGACUUGACCUCACCCAGCCAUGGUGAGGGCGAGCUCCACUGGCCACUAGAAAGGUCGACUCUCACCAAAUCUAACCAUGGCUAGGUUGAGCCUCGCCAAAUUUGGCGAGGCCUUGACAUCAGCCUUGCUAGUGGCCAAUGAAGGCGAGCCUUGCCAUUGGCCAAAGAGGCUAACCUAUGGCCGCUAGCAAUCAACCAAAGGAAGUACGAAGAAGAAGAAAAAAAAAUAUUUAAAAAUUGUUAUGUCAAUAUUCACAAGAUAGCUAGCGCCAACUAGAUGCUAGUAUCCACAUCAACAUCGACUAACUAUAUUUGGUCAGAUGGAUAAAAUUAACACAAUUGCAAAAGUUUUAUAACUGAAUUAAUUAAAAAUAAAUAAAAGAUUUAAAAUUGAAUUGAAUUGACACAAUUACAAUUAGUUUAAAACUUUUUAUGAUAAUUUUCCCCACGCAUCACUAAUUAUCCUUAAGGCUACGUUUGGUCGUCGAGAUAAUAAUUAGGAUAGGAUAGGAUAAAGUAGGAUAUUAAAUCCUCUGGAUAAUAAAGGCGUACAUAUCUAAUCCUAUCAAGUGUUUGGCGCACUUCAGGAUAAGAUUAAAAAAUAUAUAUAAUAUUCAAUUAAAUUAUAAACUUAAAAAAUAGAAAAUUCAAUUAAUUAAAGGCCAUGGAAAAGCCCUAGAUCUAGGAAUUGUGGCCACCUUUGCAAUGGCCACCAUUGAAAAUGGCGAGAUGCGAAGAUGGGAGAAGAAGUGGAAGAAGAGGGCUAACAAUGAAUCGGAGAGGCGGAGGCAUCCAUUUGACAUAGAUGCUUAUGAUAUCUUCUCUUUUUGUUAAGUUCUUUCUUUCCUUAAAAAAAAAUUCUUAUCCAAUCCGGGCUUAUCCCACCCCCUCCCCCGGAUUUUUUAUCCGGCGUUUUAUCCGGAUGUAUCCAGGUUUGUCCAAUCCAAUGGACAUUCCCAAACAUUGGAUAGGAUAACAAAUUAUCCUAUCCAGACUCAAAUCCGGACUACCAAACGCAGAUAACACAAAAUGGAAGCUAACUUCUUAGAUGAAAAAUGUUGGACCUCGUCUUUUGGGAUGAGUUACAAAUCUAUUGAGUAGCCUCAUGUUGCAACAUGUCAAUUUUGAUUCCAAAAUAUUUCAGAUGCCCAUGACCCUUACGUCCGCAUAUGUCAACACUGAGGAAAAUUAUAGAGGUGAUGGAUGAAAUUUUUUUGGCUUAGCCAACCUUUAAGGGGUGUCCGACCAAACACAAAACCUUAAAGAGGUGAUGUUGUAAAAAUGCACGCAAGCAACUCGAAAAUAUGCUCAACAGAGACGUUUCUUUCUUGGAAUUAAUCGAUGUGUGAUUCAAAUGUGAAAACCAAGGUGCAGGCAAGUUAUUUCCUUUGUAUCGCUGAAUCUUCCUUGUAUAUGUCUGUCAUUGUUCAUUUCUAAUAUGUUCAUUGCCUUUGCUACUCUUACUCGUGGAUUUUCCAAAUAACUACCAUGAAUCCCAUGCACAUGUUGUCGUGGCAAUGCUAAGGGGAAUCUAGCUGAGUAAAGAUAUCACUGAGUGAUAUUGUCGUAAUUCUUAUUUUAUUCUAUUGAACAUGUAUUAUUAGGGUGAUGAUGAACCAGUUUAACUUUUUGGCAAUCCGACGAACAACUCGGCCUCACCAUUUGUACUCCGACUGCUCUGACUGUGACAUUCCGAUUUUCCAAUUCUAUUUCAUUAAAUUGAGACGGGUAUUUCGUUGGCAUGCAUAUAAUUCAUUUCCUUGAGUCGGCUACUCAUGUGAAAACUAGUCUAUCAGGUGAAAGUGUUAAGAAAUUCUAAUGCAUCAGACUCGAGAAUUUGAUCGAGAAGCGACCUUUCGACCGAGAUAAUCUACAAGGGUUAUUGCGGCACAAAUAAAAAUCGAUUAGAGAUCGGAGAUAGGUCGGCUCGACAAAGACAUGUGAUAAGGUGUGGGUGAUUCCACCGGAUCGCACAAUUCUUGUCGAUUGAUACUGAACCGACUUUUCUAUCGAUCGGGUACCCUAUGCCCGUGUUUGAAACCUUGAGAUUACUCCCGACAACCAAAAGUUGCCAAUGUGUCAAAGAUGUACAUUGUGGCUCGAGUUGAUCAACCACAGGUCAAACGCACAAAAAUUUCUAAAGGCUACCCGAUAGGUUGGGCCGCGCUUGUGUCGUGCCAAAGCGAGAUUAACCGUGAAAUUAAGAUCGAAUUCCGAAAUUGGAAGUCCUGGUGUGUCACAAACUUUAUUAGGAACAUUGGAUUAAAUUAUGAACUUUAAUUUGGACUCAAUUGGAAGAGAAUUGAUGGGAAUUGAAGAAAUUAGGUGAACAAAAAUUGGACCUCGGCGGAAAAUGAAAUUGAACCUAUUUGACUAAAGUUGUGGAAGGUUGGAGUUAGUGGAUGAUGACAUCACAAGUGAUGUUAUGGGGUAGGCAAGAUUGGCUAGGGUGGUGAUAAAUGGAAGGUGGGGAUGAGCUCUUGGAAAGGUGGGAUGUCACUUCCCCCUUGUCCCCAUCAUCUUCUUCAUUUGAACUUGGAAGAGAGAUAGAGAGAAAGAAAAAGCUGAAGUAAAAACCAGCAACCACCCCCUUCGUCCGACCCCUCUUCGCCCAACGGUUGCUCGCUCGGCCGGCCACCUUUCGCCCGCAUUCCUCGUCGCUCGCCGUUCGCCGGAGCUCACACCGUCGCCGUCUCGCUCGCAUUUUGCUGCUCCACCCCCACCGCGCCUUCAUCGUCGUCGUCCUUCCUCACCAGUAGCUGCUCGUCGUUCGCCAGCCACCGUCGGAGCUAGCAAGACUGCCAGAGCCACCGCCAGUCAUUGCUCGAGCUAGCAUCAGUCCUCCUCCGCCGUUCCUCCGCCUGUUCAGCCGCCAUGCCGCCUCCCUCCAAGCUCGGUCGGUGGAUGGAAAUUCCAGCAAGCUCCGGCCCUUCUAAGCUCGAUUUGGCCGCCUUUUAGUUCUCAUUUGGUGUUGAUCCGUGUAGGUUUGUCGUUGGUGUCGUCAUGCUCUUCGCUGAAGACUCGUCGGAAAACGAUUCCGGUGAGUUUAGCUCACUAAACCUUGAUUAGUGGGUUAAUGAUGCCUUAAGUGUGUUUAGCUUAGGUUGAUUGAGAUGAGGUUGUUACAUUAAUUUAGUUAGAUGUAGAUUAGAUUAAAGUGAUUAAUUAAGGUAAAGUAUGUUUAGUUUAAAGAUUAUGUAGGUUUAUUUUAAUAUAAGCAUUGAUGUGACUUAAAGGAAUUUGUUUAUGAUUUAAAUAAAUGUUUCGAAAUUAUUGGAUUAUUUAAUAAUAUAUUAUAUUCCGAAAUUAUUAAAAUAUUAUUAUUUAAAAAAAAUUCAAAAAAUUAUUUUUGAUCCUAAUUGCUCAGAAUUUCGUGCCGAUCGCUACUGUAUAUUUAGAAUUUGAAAUUGAUGAGUUGUUAAUGCAAAUUGAGUAUUGAUUGUGGAAAAUAUGGAUUUUAUUUAGAAAAUCUCAAAUGUCGAGUUUGGCACCGGAAUUGAAUUUUUAAAGAUUAAUAUUGUAAUUGAAAUAUGUGAAUGAUGUGCAAAGUGCCUUUAAUUGAUUAUGAGAUUGUCGUGUGAUAAUUAAGUGGAGUUUUCUUGAGCUAUUGAGUUGGAAUUGCCCUUAUAUGGGAUGCCCCAUACAAUGGAUGUGAGUCGCAAUUGAUUUUAGGCCCAUGCUCCUUCGGGAACGCCGUCGAUGUACUAACAAAGCCGCACUCCAAGGUGGGGAGGCGAUGCCUGGCUUUAUGUCAGUAGAUAGCCGAAUUGUGAGUAGGCUAUGCCCUUGUGUGAUGGUGAAUAAUAAAUUGGAACGCUUGCUGUGAUUGAGAAAUUGAGUGAAAUUGAUUGUGUUCCGACGGUUUACGUUCUUAUUAUUAUUUGUGUUGAAGUGAUAUGAAUUGUACUAACCUGCAGGAAGGUAAGAAGGCGAGGUAAGUCUUCUGUGUUGUGUGGCUAGACCACUCUGAGGCGUAUUUUCUUUCUAAUAAGGGUUUAGGAGGGGUGAACUUGCUGAGACAAAGUCUCAUCCCAGUUUGGGGAAAAUAUUACAGGGCCGUAGAUGGUGGUACCCCCGAAGAAGAGUGGUCUAUCGACGGAGAUUGACCAGAUGACGCAGAGUGCUCCUGACCCUAGAAGUCCUUGGGUCUAUCAGUUGGUUAAGUCCAUUGUCUGGGUCCAGGUGAUCGUGGAUGUCAGAGUACCUCAUAUGUUUAGGGCUUGGUUUCGUUUUGGAGUUGAUGGCGUUAGAGUUGGCCCACUGGAUAGCAUGGACAUUCCGUUGACUGUGAUGAAUGCCAUUUUGGGUAAAGGCGUGGCGGAUCUUCCCAACGGUAGAGUGAUCAACGCAUCGCCCCCAGCCUCUUGGGUGACGAAUCCUGAGGAUAUAGGAUCGUCGAACGGGGCUGACUAGUAGUCUUAGGACUGUCCCUCUUUUUGGCGGACCGAUCCAUGUUAUGUAGACUGAUCCCUUUUUGAUGCACAUAAGCUCUGACCCAUUUUUUGUGCAUAUAGUAUCUGGAUCCUAUUGGUGUAUGUAAACCCUGGAAUGAUGAUGAUAAUGAUAUAUGAAAGUAUGUUUGUUUGAUUUUGAAUUGAUCUUCCUGUUGUACUGUUGACACCUAAUUUAAAUUUAGUUUUUUUUUUAGAAAUUAAAAAUAGAGCAUUUGGUUUUAGAGGGAAAUUUUGAAUUUUCUUUUGAAUAAUAAAACAUUUGAUUGUGGAACAAAUCUCCUCAUUUUGAAUUAAAAAAACUCAACCGUGUGAUUUUGAAGCCACUAUUUUGUUGAACGGUUGAGCGAAUAUGUGCAAAUCUUCACCUGCAAAAACAAAUUCGAGUGUUUCCUCUAUAAAGAGAGGAUACAAAGCUUCAGUAAAAAGGGGGGGCUUCUAUUUGUCAAAAAAUUGAAAAGUGAAAAGAGAGGAAAGGGAAUAAAGGUUUCGUUUUUUUUAAAAGGAAAAGUUAGCCGAAGCUUUUUUGGGUUUUUCUGCUGAAGUACGACAGCAACAGGGGGGUAGAGAAGAAACAUCAGAAAAGCGAUGUGAGGGAGACGUGAGAGAGAGAGAGAGAGAGAGAGAGAGGAAAAAGAAAAAAGAAAAAGCAAAACACAGCAACUAUUCAUCUUCUCCUCUGCGACUGCCGUUCGUCGAACACCUCGCUCUCUACUUGCCCGUCGCUGCACUCGGUGCCUCAGCCUCGACGACCACGCCUCCACAACUCGCAGCCCAGCUGAUUCCGAGCCGGCCCGCCGUGCCCCCGCUGUUGUCGCGUCUCUGACCACCCGAGCCGGAUCUGCAGCCCUCCACCUGAUGACCCGAAGCCCUACAUCAACGAAUCACAGCAAACCACCUCCCUACCGGACACCGCACCGCGCCACCCUCUGCUCAGUCCCCGCACCUGCUCGAAGCUCGAUCUGCCGCACCAGAACGCUGACUCGCCCCCAACUUGUCUGCGACCCGCGACCCAGCAGAUCCCGAGCCGGUUCACCGCACCUCCGCUGCUGCUGCGCCCUUGAUCACCCGAGUACCAGCAGCCCCCUGUCGCUCGAGUCGAGCCGCUCCACCCACAGCUCGAAGCCCACCGUACCCGACGCCUGCGCCUUGCCUCCGGCAACCCGCGAGCCCAAACGCCUGCAGUGCUCAUGUCCAGCUCCACUCGUCGAACUCCCCUCCGACGAAGUCACUGCCUUGCUGCACCGCGACACCAUUGCUCUGCGCCUCUACUCAAGCCCGAACCAGUCACUGAUUUUUUUUUUCCUAUAGCUCCGAAUUGCCGGACCUCGCCGGAGCUCCGCACCUCCACAACCUCCAAUCGACGGUGACGCCACCGUUACAGUUGCCGCCCUUCACUAGAGCCGGUGACCAGCCACACGAGCACAAGCCGUGCUUGGGAAGAAAAAGAACAAAGGAAAAAACAAAAGAAAAAGGAAAGGAAAUUAGGUAGUAUAUUUUUAUUUUUUUAUUUUUUACUUAUUUCAUGUUAUGUUAGCUUACUUUUAAUUUUAAUUAUUUGAAUUGUAGUAUUGUAUGUCAAUAUUUGUAGACCUUGUAGACAUUAGGAGUUUUAUCCCAAAUUAAGGUAACUAUUAAUUUGACCCGUAAGAAGUCGGGUUAUUUCUUUUUAAUUACUUUAAUUUCCAGGAAUUUUGAUAACAUUUCAAUCAUUAAAUCAUUAUAGAGUUAAAAUAAUUGUUAAUUUAAUCCGUGAGACAACGGAUUAUUUUUUCGGUUAUUUUAAUUCUUAUCUUCAUUAUUUUUAAAAUAAUUACUUGCUUGGAAAGAUCAAAAAAUCUAAAAUAAAAAAAAAUCUAAAAGUACAUAAAAAUCUAAAUAUUGCAUUAGAGCAUUUAGGUUUACUAAAUUAGAAUUGCAUUUAUAGGAUUAUAAUUUUUAGAUUAUACUUUUAGAUGGGUGAUUUUUGUUAGGGCUAAUUUUAAAUAAUGUUGGCAUGUCUUGAUUUUUUUUUUAUAUAGCUUUUAAGAUAAGAUAUAGUUUAAGUUAAAUUGAUUUCUAAAAUAAAUUAGAAUAUUAUUCACUUUAAUUAGUUUAAUUAUUCUUUAUUAAUUCUGAAUUUCAAUAAAAAAAAAUCCAAAAACUAUUAGGUACAUAUUAAUUAAUUUGCAUAAUAGGUUUAAUUAGAAUUUGAUUAGUAAAAUGGUCAUAUCUAGAACUUAGGUACUUAGUGUAACAUCCCGAUUUUCCGAUUCUAUUUUCAAUAAAAUGAGACGGGCAUUUCGUUGGCACGCAUAUAGUUCUUUUCCUUGAGUUGGCUACUCAUGUGGAAACUAGUUUAUCGGGUGAAGCUGUUAAGAGUUUAUAAUGCAUCAGACUCGAGAAUUUGACCAGAAAGCGACCUUUCGACCGAGCUAGUCUGCAAGGGUCAUUACGGCACGAUUAAAAUCGAUUAAAGAUCGGAGAUAGGUCGACUCGACAGAGGCAUGUGAUCAGGUGUAGGUGAUUCCACUAGAUCGCACAAUUCGUGUCGAUCGACACUAGAUUGACUUUUUUAUCGAUUGGGUACCCUGUGUUCGUAUUUGAAACCUUGAGAUUACAACCGAAAGUUGUCAAUGUUUCAAAGAUGUACAUUGUGGCUUGAGAUUAUCAAUCAUAAGUCAAAUGCAUGAAAAUUUCUAAAGGCUACCCGGUAGGUUGGGCCGCGCUAGUAUUGUGCCAAAGUGAAAUUAAUCGUGGAAUUGAGAUCGAAUUUAGAAAUUGAAAGUCUGGGUGUGUCACAAAUCAUUUUCGGACCAUUGGCUUAUCUUUAGAAGAUUUUUCAUGUAAUCAGAGUUUUUCAGCAAUUAAAUCAGAAAAUGGUUAAUUUGGCUCGAGAAAUUAGUAGGCCCGCAUUUGGUCGCGCUUUUGGGACUUAAGUUGAUUAUAUAGACAAGUGAAAAUGUGAUGUGUGGUGACAUUGGAUUAAUUUUAUGUAUUUCAAUUUGAUUCAAUUGGAAGAGAAUUAAGUGGAAUUAAAGAAUUUGAUGUACAAGAAUUGGACCCCGGCGGAAAAUGAAAGUGCAACCAUUGGAGAAGUUGUGGAGGAUUUGAGUGAGUGGAAGAUGACAUGGGAUAAUGUCAUGGUGGUUGAGGCCAAGGGUUUGACAUGUGGACUUGACACGUGGAUGGUGGGGGACUGGCUCUUGGAAAGAAGACCCAUCAACAUCAUCUUCUUCCUUUGGACUUGAGAGGAGAGAGGGGGGGGAGCUCCGAUCGGAAGCCAGCCGAGCUCGUCCGCCCGUUUGGCCACUCGUCGCCGUCACCGCCGCAUGCCGUCGCUGCUCCUCGGCCGCGCGCGCUCGCCCUCAACCUUUCCUCACCCUCCUCAGCUACCGUCGGAGCCUUCUCUCCAGCUUCGUUUACUGCCCGAGAUCCUAGAUCUGGGAUGGACGCCGAAGCAGCCCGUGCCAUGCGUGACGCCACUGCCCUCCGCCGUGCUUCACGCCAUCGCUCCACCGCUGCUCCACUCAUCUCGGUCUCCUUCUCGCCUAGCUCACUAUUCCAGAGCUGCUGUCCAGCUCUGUUCGAUCAGAGUAGGCCACAGCUUAGCCGCCUCCAGCCACCGUGAGUCCCGCCGGAGCCGCCGCCUCGCCCGCCAAGCUGCAGCUGCCGCUUCUCCACUGUUCCUCGCGCCCGAACCGCCACUGAGCAGCCUCCGUCGGCCUCAACCAGCAGCUGCAGAAAAUGGGUAUUGCAGCUCGCUCGUGGCCUAUUUUGACCGCCUUCCCGAGCCCGGAUGCUCGGCCCGGCUUGAGGAAAGUCGCUCCUCGCGUCGUCCUCGUCAUUUUGGUCCGCUCGGCUCACUAAUCCGGUGAGUUUAGCUCACUAAAUCUUGAUUAGACGGUUAAUGAUGCCCUAAGUGUGCUUAGCCUAAGUUAACUAAACUUAGGUGAUUAAAUUAGUUUAUUUUGUUGAUGAUUAGAUUAUGAUGUUUAAUUAAAUUAAAGUGUGUUUAGUUUAAAGUUAAGUAUGUUUAUUUUUAAUAUAAAGCCUUGAUGUGACAUAAUAGGUUUUAAUUUUGAAUCAUUUAAUUGCUUCGAAAUUCUGGAAAUCUAUAAUAUUAUAUUAAUUCCGAAAUUAUUAAAAUAUUAUUAUUUUAAAAAAAACGGAAAAAAUAUUUUUGACCCCGGUUGCUCAGAAUUUCGUGUUGAUCGCUGCUGUAUAGUCGGAUUUUGAAAUUGAUGAUUGGAUAUUAUAAAUUGAGAGUGGAUCGUGAAAAAUAUAAAUAUUAUUAUUUAAUUAUUUUCGGAAUAAAUUUAAUUAUUUAAUAAAUUCCGAAAAUUUUGUCAAGACCCUAAACUCUCAGAAUUUCGUGCCGAUUAUUGCUGUGCAUUUAGAAUUUGAAUUUGAUGAUUGAUUGUGGCAAAUGAAGUGUGAUUGUGAUAAAUAGGGAUUUUUUAUAAAAUCCUAAGUGUGGAAAUUGAUGAGAGAUUGGCCGUGAUGAACCACCUAUUAGAGGUCGUGCCUAAUAGGGCCGUGAUCGACCACCUAUUAGAGGUUGUGCCUAGUGGGGCUAUGAUGGACCACCUAUGAGAGGUCGUGCCCAGUGAGGCCGUGAUGGACCACCUAUGAGAGGUCGUGUCCAGUGAGGCCGUGAUUGACCAUCUAUUAGAGGUCGUGUCCAGUGAGACCGUGAUGAACCACCUAAUUAAAGGUCAUGCCGAGUGGGGCCGUGAUUGCCACUGAUUGUUAAACCUUCCUAUAAGGCUGUGAUUGAGAGCAAUGAUUGAUUUGCUAGAAUGACAUGUAAUCGGCCGAGUCUAUUGAUCGCUGAGACGAUCCAAGUGGUUGAAUUGUUUUGAUAAUGUGGUUGUGCCACAGUUGUUUUGUUAUCAUAAUUGUACGUGGUUGAAUUAUAUAAAUUGUGCUAACCUGCAGAUGAAGACUGAGGCGAGGUAAGUCUUCUGUGUGAUGUGGCUAGGCCACCCGGAGCGUAUUUUCUUUCUAAUAGGGGUUUAGGGGGUUGAACUUGCUGAGACAUCGUCUCAUCCCGGUUGUGGGAUUAGAAUUUCAGGUCCCUGGUGGACGGAGCGGCCAGAUAGCUUUGGCUGGCCUUGAGGAGUUGCAGAAGUGAAGUCAUAAGGAUUGGAGAAUGUCCGAUUUGUAGGUCGUAGGACAGUUCAUUUUUAAGAGCAGGUCUUUUGUAGACUUUUGGCUAUAGGCCUUCGUCUGUAACUCCGUUAGUUUAUGUAAGUGAUUGGUUGUGAAAUUAUUUCCUGCUUUUCUAUCUCAUAUUUUAUUGUCAGGUGUUUUAUAAUACGUUUCGCUUGCGCAAUAAUAAAUGAAUGGGGUUGGCGACAUUAACCUGGAAACGUCACAUUUGAAUGACCGCAGUGGGAUGUGCGCACGCUCAGGGUUCCGGGCGUAACACUUAGGUCCAUACACAUUUCAUAUUAAAGCAACACACCUAGAUAUUUUUAGAUUAAGUCAAUUUUCAUUUAGUAAAACAAAAGAGGAACAAAAAAUGUUAUGCAUGCCAUACGAGUUAUAGUUUAAUUAUUAUUUUUAAUAAAAAGGAAAAUGCUAAAAGAUGAUCAUUGCACCAUUAAGUUACUUUCUUUUCAAUAAAAAACAUUAUGUCAUUAAAAAAGAAAAAAAAAAAAGAGAAGAUCAUUUCCUUGAUUAGUUAAUAGGUUAAUUCAUAAUUAAUCUCAUUUCAUAUUAUCAUUAUUUAGCAUAGGUUGUAUAUAUGCAUUAAAAAAAGUCAUUAAAAAAAUCAUAAAAAGAGCAUGUAUAUAGAUUUAUCAUGUCAUUCAUCCCAUAUCAUGUAGCACAUGCAUAUUUAGGAUUAUAUAAAUUAGAUUGCAUACAUAUAGUGAUAAGUUUAAAUCAUACCAUAUGAAUUGCAUCUCGCAUGUCUUUAAAAUAAAUCCACGUAUAUUAAAUUUAGAUUAAGAUUGUAUAUAAUUGACAUUUAAAAAAAAAAUUAGGUGUCUUGUCAUUUAGAAAUCAUGUUUAAGGCAUGCAUUUUUAUUAGCAUUUUUCAUUGAAUGUUAUUUUAUUGAUUGUACACCCGCAUGACCACCAUUUGCAUGUUAGUAGUUUAGGUUAAAAUUAAUUAAUAUUGUCUGCUAAAUAUUUUUGAAAUUAAAAUAAAUGGUACUGAAAGGGCGUUAGAUUAAUUUAGCGUAAUCAUGUCCCCGGACUUAUUGAAUCUAUGGUUCGUAAAAAUAAAGUAUUCUCCCAUAUUUUAUUUGGGUUUCUAAUCGACCUUAAUUGAUUAGUGGCGGCUCCAAAUUGAAUAGAAUUGCAUGUUUAAAUAGAUUAAUUCCAAGUCGUGAUUGGUAGGACUUGGGAGGGUUCACGCCAAGUCUUCAGACUUAGUAAUCCAUUAACCUAAACUUUAGGAUUGCCCUGAAAAUUUAGGUCGCGACAUGUCCUAUCUCGUAUGUUUAUGUCAAGGGUUUAUUAGUACGUUCCGCAUGCGCAUAAUAAUUGAAAUGGAUUUGGUGACACUACCUAGGAAUGUCGCAUUUAUAUGACCAUGACUGGUUGUUCACGUGUCUCGGGCUUCGGGGUGUGACACCGACUAUGUAUUGUUGUUGCUCUCGGAUGAGCUGUUGAUUGCCCGGGAUUUGCGAGACAAUGAAAUUGGAAGAAAGAAAAAAAGGACCCAAAAUGCUUUUAUAUUUAAUUAAAUAACAAAGGCAAUUGAAUGGUGGAUGGAGAACCUGGAAACCUUCACUCAAUUAAAAUGAAAAAAAAAUGCUUCAACACAAUUUGAGAUUUACACGCAAUGAACAAGCCUUUCAAUUAGGUGACGAAGCAUCUGUCUAUGCACUUAGAUCUAUUAAUAGUCAUUGGGAAAUUUCAAACUUUUCCCAACAUCUGACUCUAGAAGAGGCUCUCUCCUACAUGGUCGGGGAAAAAAAAACUCUAAAAGUGGCUAGCUACGCUAAACAUGACUACAAGCUUUGGUUCCACCUAUAGUCAAUGUCUAAAGUAUAGACUAGCAUCUCAUGAAAGUAAUAUACUCUAUGUUGUUGUAAUUUUUUCAACAGUGGUCAUAUUAAAAAGUUAUCAGUUUUUGUUAUCGAGUUAGUAAUUUCUAAACAGAUCGACUAAUGGUUACAAAAUCAUAGAAAUACACAGAAACUUUCAGUCCUUCAACAAUCCCAUGUUAGAAGCAUAGAAUUGUACAUGAUGAUGGUAAGUUGGGUAGUAGUUUUCUCCAAAUUAAUUACUCAGAAACAUUGUACUACUAAUUUUUAUUGCCAUAUUGGCAAUUACUAACUUUGUGAUAUUUUCACCAGGAAAGUUGAAUUUAUCCCAACAACUCUAAAAGUGAUUCUCUUCCAUUCUCAAAAAAGACGAAUAAAAAACAUAAAAGCUCGAAAAGUGAUUAGGUAUGCCAAAUGUGAUCACUAAGAACUUUGGCUGCAUCUAUAUCCCCAGUUGGAAUUCCCAACAUAUUCUUCCGUGAAAUAUUCUCAAAAUUGUGAUAUUCACAACACGGGUCGCUAACUUAGUGCUAGUAACAUUUUUCUUUUCCAGUCAGUAACUUUCCAAGCAUAUCAAGUAAUGGUCAUGAGAGCAAAAAUAGACAGAGUUGGGUCCGUCUACAGUCCUACAGUCCUAUAGUCCAAUACACAGUUGUAUCUAAAAUUUGUUUUCCCAACAUGAGUUCGUAACUCUGUACUAGUAACUUCCAUUACGGAGUCAAUCACUUUCUUAACAGAUCAAGUGCGGGACCAUAGAAGGACACGAAGAUUUGAGUUUGUAUACAAUUCCAUGUAAAAAGAAAAGUAGAAUUGAAUAUUAUGACUGUAAAUUUAUCGGUGAGGUGAUAAUUUUCCCAACUUGGAUUAGUAGCUUUGAGCUAGUAACAAGUUUCAAGCAGAUCAUACAGUCUCAAGAUCAUAGAAUUCUUCGGUGAUGUUCAACCUAUCUGCUCAUUGUAAAUUACCCUAUCAAAAACGAAACUUCUCACGGAUAGAGAAAGGUUCAUGUAAAUACCGGUACAUAACCCUGAAAUUAAGUAUCUCUCGCUAUGUAUUGUCCUUUUCCUCAAAACUGAUAAUGUUGCAGUACUCUUUAAAUGUUUUAACACCAGGACUAAUAGAGAGCAGGACAAAUUGAUGACCAGCACAAUAAACUGUACAGCACACAAUCUCCUAAUAUUGGUUUGAUGGACAAAAGCAAAAGCUUCUUCACUACACAAGCCUAUUAGAAAAUUAGAGCAAAAAACAUUAUUAAUCAUUAAAGACCCCUCUCUCUCUCUCUGGUCUUAGCAGAUCAUAAAACUGCAUUGUUAGAUCAUACAUGAAAAUUAUUGAGAGAUUCUAUUGCAGGUUUCACAAAUUUGUGGUUAGUAGUUAAUAUAUGCACAGAAGAGUGAUGAUGCUUGGCAAGUGAUAGGAAGGAAAUAAAAGCACCGAUGGGAAAGAGGGCGACACCUUUGCAAGAAGCUUUGCAUUCUCUUCUUUCAGAGACCUCUCCUGAGGUAAACCAAAUAAAGUUGCUAGAUUAAUAUAACCAGGAAAUUAACAAUGCCUGAUGAGAUGGGAUAUGCAUUCAUCAUAUUUGUCCACUUACCUUUGCUUGUAGCUGCCGCCGUAUCUGAUCGUUGAAUAAUUAAGCCUGUAAAAGAGCUCCGUAGAAAUAUUUUAACUUUCGUGUGUGUGCAUGUUGUCCCGAAACCUUUCUUAGUACAAGGUAAAAAAUAAUAAAAGAGAGAAAAUAAGUUGAAAUGACGGACGAUAGAAAUGAAAGGACGAUGCUUUGCAACUUGUCCAGAAACAUAGUUCAAGUGAAAAGUUGUUCAUGGAAAUCGGCAAGGUUAACAUAAUAAAAAACUCAUAGUAUUCUAUCAUUUCAUGCCAAAGAGUGCGCACUAUUUUUUUGUUUCAUGUAAAUAAGUAUCCACUCAUGUCAAUAAGUGUAGAAACCAUUGGUAAAAAUUGACCGAUGAUCCUUUUUUUUUUGGUCAGAGAAGAAAAGCCAGUUAUUUAACCAAACCGAAUAAAUUUAUUAACUAAUCAAAUAAGAGUUGGCAACGCAGAAUUAGUUGGUUACUUAAACAGAGAAAAGUUAGUAACUCCUAUUAUCAAGAUUGGUAAUUUCUAGUUGGGUUCGUGAAGGGUGAAGAGGAGUGAAGUAUUUUUAUCAACAGAAAUCAUUUUAUAACGAGGAAAGUGAUAAAGAGAAGAAAGAUCUGCUGAAGUUGUUGGCACGUAAGACAGAAGAGAAAGAGUAGACCUCAUUCUCCACCAUAACACAAUGUUUCCAUUAGAGUAGUCAAAGGAAGGGUUAGAGUAGGAAAAAUUGCACUAAGAAAGACCAAAUAAGCGUUGGUAAGUUAGUCCCGAAAAAAUAAGUCUAUAAGUCUAUAAAGUUAGUCAAAUAGAGUUAGUUACCCAAAAAGAGUUAGUAAUUUUAGCGAAAAAUAGGUCUAUAAGCUAUUCACAUAAAUAUUUGCAAAUACAUAUAAGAGCUAUUAAAUUUAAAGGAAUGGCAAGAAAAAAUAAAUAAAAUUUAAUAAAAAAUAAGAGAUGUUGAUAAUUGCACAUUGUUGAAAAGAGUCGGUGAGUUCAUACAAGUGUAAGUUACCAAUAAGUCACUUAGAAAUCAGGUAAUUGAAUACUUUUUUUAAUCACGGUUUUUUGUCACUUACAACUCUUUCAUAGGUUUAUCAAAAACUAUCCAAUUUAUUUUGGAAAGACAAACAAUAGAGUCGUCCAGAUAACUUCGGGAAAAAUACUGAUAGAAGAAUAAUCAUGAUCUUUUACUUGUUUAUCGUGGGAAAAAAAAAAAAAAAGAAUAGGUCAAUAACUAUCAAGAGAAGGGGUGAUUUCUGAAUGUGCUCUCGUUCUUUCAUAUAAGGUAGAAAACGCCAUGUAUGCUUGGAGAAAUAUUCAUUCUCUCCUUUCAUAUGCCAAGUUGAACAUUUUUAGUCUAUUCAGUUCCAAUCUUACCAUGUGAUUGCAGUCUCUCUUGAAAUUGGUGUUUCGGCUCCUGUAUGGAUAUGAUAAAUCCUGUUAUUCAUUUAACGGAAAUUGUUUCUCAUUGUUUUCUUCCCCUUCUCACCAUAUCCAUGCCUCCAAAUACAGCGGCUACUCUAUGAAAGUUCUCAAGACAUCUACUUCGCUCAGAGAAAAGGACAAAUAUGCUAAAGACGCAUGUACCUUUCUUUCCCUAAUGCUGCUCAAACUUCGCUCGAGCUGAUCCCCUCUCUGUUGGAUUUCAUCGAUUGAGCAAGAUCCAAGAUAUUCUCCUGAUAGCUUCCUGAUGUAAAAAAGAAAAGGAGCACGAUAGUUUGGGAAUUAGAUAUCAAGAAUCCAUUUCAAUCCACAAUAUAUAAGAGAGAAGUUUCAAAAUUUGUGGACCGUAGAGAAACUUCAAGAAGCUCAAUCUUCCUCUCCAUGUCAGUGGUUUCUUGCUUCAGACGCUGCACAUAUAUGGAGAUUGUGACAUUUAUGAAUCCAGUGAACGGAACAAUACAAACUGAACAAAUUUGAAAUUAGUAAUAAAUAAAACCAAUCAUAGGGACCAAAUUUGUAACACUACAGCUAAGACUGCUACUAUAAGAACCCUAAUGUUCUUGCAAAAUUUGUAGCUGCCAUAGUCAAUUCUAUGGCAUACCACCUCACUAGUUCUUGAGAUCAAAGGUAGGGUUCUAAUCAAGAACGCAGUUCGAUAUUAUUACAAUCUGCAAAUACAUACAUAAAGGUUCAACACCAACAAUCAAUUUUAAGACUUCUUCAAGAAAACAAUAAUAUGUAAAUGCCCAAGAAGGGCAUGUUUCUGAGGCAUAAAGUGGUGGAUGAUGAGUGGGAUUUCAGAAGCUGAAACCGUUUUCGNNNNNNNNNNNNNNNNNNNNNNNNNNNNNNNNNNNNNNNNNNNNNNNNNNNNNNNNNNNNNNNNNNNNNNNNNNNNNNNNNNNNNNNNNNNNNNNNNNNNNNNNNNNNNNNNNNNNNNNNNNNNNNNGCCAAAAGUCCUUUAUCUAACCAUAACAGCACUUUGAUUUCGACCAAAAUAAAUAAAUAAAUAACAGCACUUUGAUAGCACAGCUUUGGUGGCUCUCUCAAAUUAUUCCCACCUGUACUAGACUAACAUUUUGAGAUACCUGACUUUUGCUGUAAAGUAUGAAAUUUGGAUGAGUUUUCUAGAAUUUGGUUCACGAGAGGUAAUGCAUACUUAAAAAGAAUAAUUCUAGACAUAUUAAGGCUUGUCUCCUAAAUUUUUUUACUUUAUGACCCCCCAAAAAAAAUUCAUUUACUAAUUGAUGAUGUAGAUUCCUGAUAGGUACUUAAACGAGUUUACUAACUUAAAUAACAUUUAUGCAACGGCACAUCGCUUAGCAAACCAAUGUAGAAGGUAUUCCCCCCAUUCCUCAUGCUUAAGAACCAUGAAGCAUCUCUCAUGUACAAAAUCACAUGCAUCACAUAUAUGUAUUUAACCUAGUAAACGUUCAAUUUUUCAUUUUCUAUUUUUAUUAUUCUUUCAAAGUGAAACAUUUACUGCUAUUUUUCACCCAAAAAAAAAAAAAACAUUUACUGCUAUCACUCAGACAAGAGAUGUACUUAUGAAUGAACGCUCCAAGUUGCUAUCCCCAUUAAUGGUCAUAUUCUGUUGAUGCAGACAAAAAGACUUACAAAGUUAAAAUUUGAAAUAUUGACGUUUUCACUCAGCUUUGGUGACAAUGGAUGUAAUGAAAAUCAACAACUCAAAUAAGAGUUGAAAAUGAUUAGGAUUCUUCUUCUAGUUGAAAUAGCGAUCUUAUCAAUUAAGAUUUGAGCACUGUUAGGAUUUAAUUAAGUUCAAUAUUCUAGUGGUGGGACAUUGUAUUUCUUGUAUAGAUGUUUCCUAUUUCAAUCAGGUUUCUUAUUGAGAAGUUUCCCAUACUAAGUAAGAGUAGGAUUUCUAGAAUAAUUUAGCAAUUUUUUUUUUUUAAUUCGUGAUGCGAUAAUACUCUUACAUGUGAUGCCUAAGAAACCCCAUUUGUGAUGCUCAGGCUGUUUUAUGUCUGAUGCCUAAAAAAUUACCUAAUUUGAGUUGUCGUCCAUUGAAAAUUCUCUUCAAGUUCUUAUUAAGUUGAACUCACUGCUUAGGGAGAUAUCAUCCACUAUAUCAAUUUUGUAUAAUGGUAGAGAUGAUAUGUCCUGAAUAGUGAGCUUCAAAGAAAACUUGAAGAGAACAAACGAUUCAAAAUGAAUAAGUUUUUUCGGCAUCACAUCUAUACUUUCUAAGCAUCUCACCUAGGGUUUCAAAAGUGCCACACUUCAGAGAACGAUUCCAUCACACAAGAAAGAAAUACAAUCCUUAAAAACCUUUCUAGGAUUAAUGAUACUCCCACUAGGAAGACUCCAAACAAGAAAUAGAACUGAAAUAGAAUUCAUCUACAAAAGAAUUUAAUGUUCCAUUUGUGACGUAAGUAGAAAAUUUAAGAAAAUCCUGAUGGUACUCAAAUCCUAAUUGAGAAGACUAACACAAAAAUCAACUAAAAGAAUAAUCCAAAUCCUAGGUGUCACAGGCCAGCAACGACCAUCAUCAUCAAAUCUUUCUAAAAACAUCGGCCUGUUUGAUAUUGUUGCCUUCAUUACUGGCUAUAGUUCAUGAUUUAUCCUCAAUAUAAUAGACAUCAUCACAACAAACUCAAGCAGAAACUGAUUUCGAAGGUUAAAAUAAUACGUUGAGAAUUGAGGUCAUUUCUUUUCAUCUCUUGCAAUGAAAUAACACUUAUAGAGUGCCAUGUCACUUGUUAAACCAGCUCAGAAAGUGUUCCUAGCAUUCGUCAUGCUUAAGGACCAUGAAGCAGCUCUCAUGUGCCAAAGCACAGGUAUCAUGUCUAUGCAUUUUAACAUCAUGAAAGUUCAAUUUUCCAAAGCGGAACGUGUUUUGCUAUAACUCCGCCAAAAGAUGUAUCCAUGAAUGUGCCUUCCACGUUAGUGUUCCCAUCAAUAGAGAUAUACUGUUGAUGCAGACAAAAGGAUUUACUAAGUUGAUAUUUGAAUAUCGAUGUUUUUACCAAGCUUCAGUGAGUAUGGAUGCUGUGAAAUUCUACAACUCAAUGACCUAAAAGAUCAUAUUGAGAUCAAAUUGGAAUUGAUUCAGAAGUAUGAAGUAACAAGUUGAGAAUUGAGAUCAUAUCUUUUCAUCUCUUGCAAUGCAAAUAAACCACACAAAGAAGCAUCUUCAUCAAACAAGGGAAUUAUAAAAGUGAACUUCUAAAGAGAUUCAAAGAGAAAAGGUCAUUGAUCUGCAGGAAAUAGGAAGCUUCAUGAUCCAUAUUGUUCUGCAUCUAUUUAGACAUUUCGUAGAACAAAGGUUGUAAAGUAGUCCCUUGCGAGCUGCGAAUUGUGAAUUAGAGAUAUAAUUUUUUUUUUUUUUAACAUGAAGAAUUAGCAAAAAAGAUGCAUAACCAUUCAUCAUCUUAGUUCUAUCCAGCCUGGUAUUUUUAGAUUUAGCAUUUGACUAAUAAUAUAAUAUGUGGAGCCAGGAGCUGUCCCUCUCAUGAAUUACUCAUUUCUUCAUUCUAUGGUUUCACUUGAAUUGAUAAAAAAAAGAAAUAACAAUAAUUGACUUGGCAUAAAGUAAGUUUAUCCGCAACUUAUCUUGGAUAUAUACACCUUCUCAUUAAGAGAAAAAUUACCACAUUAAAGAUGUAUUCAGAAGUUGAAUGUCACUUGACUCUAUCCCUUUUUGUACAAGUAUAUCAUCAUCAUUAGUAUGAUAUCUACUUUCUGGUUCUAGUGAUCCAUUUAAAUCAUGUAUGCAGGUAGAUUGUCGCGUGAUUCUUUGCAUACCAGGCGACUAUUUAUGCAUACACAAGUAUAUAUUAUAAGGCUGUUGGGGAAAUAGAAUUUCUCGUCAUUUGUGUUCGUAUAUAGACUUCUUUGUAAGUCCCAUCCUGAAAAAGUUAGGUAAUGUGAUUUUAUAUGUUAAUUCACACACACACAAAAAGAGGAAGUUGGUUUCUUACAUACAGCAAAAUGAAUAAAAAUUGAACUGCUCAACUUGUUUAAUUAAACUGAGAAUCUCACUGAACUCCUUACGAAUGCACCUAAUGUAUUAUCAUGGAAAGGUUAGAGAACCGACCAGAAUAUAUUGUUCCACAUUAGCCUGGUACGUAGCCGCACCACUUGCAGAUCUGCGAUAUCAAUCAAUUGUCAUUCGGAUUCUGAAAAAAUUGCAAAGAUAACAUAUGAGCUCAGCCACUGGGAAUACAUUCUCCAAAUUAAUCAGUAUCACCAAAACUAAAGUAAUCAAACAUUAAAAAAAAUUAAUGAUCAUUUUUGUGAAUCAUGCAUGACUUCCAGUGAAUAUGUAUAACCAUCACUCACAAACAGAAUACGCAAGUAGCAUAAGCCUCUGCAAGAAGCUUUUAGCCUCUCAGCAACUUAUUUGAAACGAUAUGAAGUACUUGCAAAAGUCUUGGUUGCCCACCUUAUACUUUGUAAAUAAUUGAUGCCACAGAGAGUGUAGAGAAGUAAAAAGUAACACUAAUGAGAACUUAAAUGAAUAGGUCGCUCGUCACUCAUAGGAAUUCAUCUAACAGAUAAGAGCAAAACAAGAAAUCCUUCUUGUUCUCAAGCCAAAGGCUAAAUAAGCUAUGAAUCAAAACAAGUCUACCUCCUCAUUUAUCAUAGCAUGCUUAUAUAGAUGAAUUUGGAACAACCCUUCAAGCAUGAGUAAUUACCAAGACUCCUUGAACAGACAAAAGACUCAUAGAAAAGACAAAACUAGUCUUACUAGAAAACAACUAUACUUAAAUGAGGACUUCAGAAACUUAAAUGACAUUUACUAAACCUUGAAAAUAUAAGAAUCAAAUGUAGUUGGUUGUAAGUCUCCUAGUUUUACUAGUUCUGAAUUAAUGGAAUGCUCCGGCAUCAAUAAUCGUGCCAGGAAUAUUUUUCUUCAAAUUUUAGCGUAAAUGUUCAAUUUCACAUUACAAAAGUAUAUUAUGUGCACACGCGAAGUAUAUUUAAAUGCGAGCAUAGAUGCAAUGUUUUUGGCCUAGCCCAAAGUCUUCAAUAUAUUCCACAUGCCACUCCAUGUAAGUAAGAAGUAAGAACAGCACAUGAUGCUCUAAAAAUCAUUGUGAAGCAGCACAAGGACUCACUACUUCAGGGAGAAAUUGUAAGAGCAAGCAGUUGCACCUACAUUUAACUUGUGACUUCAAGUACUUUUUUUCCCGGUAAAUGAAGAAUAGGGAGUACUUUCAUGGUGGAGCAACUAAAAUGGAAAACAUGUACAAUUGCAGUCACUUUUGGACGUAAAUACUCUAUUUAUAAGAAAUCCAAGAGAUAAGUGUGUCGUGUCGCAUUAGCAUUAAUCUAUUAUACUAGCGAAUGCACUCAAUCCCAUUAAAUCACCACUACACAAAUGUAGCCAAGCCCCUAAACUUAUUCACCUUUCAGAGCACCCUAUAAUUUAAAGAACCUGAAGUUGAAGAUGUCAGGACUUGUUUCACAAGCUUUUGCUUAGGGUUAAGUACCAUUAAAAGAUCAACUUGAAAAUCUUUUGCAGGUUUUGUUUGAUUCGGAAGAGAGAUUAAUUAUGCUUUAAGUUUCGAUUCAAUGAACCAUGAUUUGAAAUGCUUCUUUAUUAUGGCAGUAGAUAGCUAACAUAUUAAUUGAUUUCCCGACUGAUAUAAUGCGUUUCAUAUGAAAUUUCUAGUUUUUGCCUUGUGUUAUGGUCAUAAACUUGAAACAUGGAUCUGCAUGAUUUGUAAGAUAGCUAUUAUCACAUAGGAUACAUAAAAUAGCCUUAAUUCACGUCUAAGUGGUAUAAUUACAACGAACUGAAUCAAACAAGGUAUGGUUUGAAACGCUUCACCCUUUUCAACUUAAGUUUGGUUUUCUUCAACAAUUUUCCAAGCAAUCAAAUUUGUUUGGAAAAGAUCUACUUCGAAUAGAAUAAUACCUAACUGCAAAUACGCUUAAUCAUCAUGCCUCAAGAACCUACAAUGUGGAAUUGGGGGGAAGGCUGAACUGUUACUUGUCAAAACCGGAAGGACCAAACAAUAUCAGUCCCUAGUUUCACUAACAUCAAAUUAUGUUUUCAUUCCCCAAGACAAAGUACUAACUAUCCUAACAUGUGAAGUAGCUGGGGGAGAUCAGUACUUGCAAGAUAUUCAACAAUUCGUUUCCUCAGAAGAACCAUUAAGAAAGAGGGAGUCCAACUCCAAUGCCACAGCCUACACAAUGAAUGCCUUUGAUCAGCUAAUCCCCCACACCUAGCCAUUUGAUUAGGUACACCCCAGUGCAUUGACUAUUCAAAAAAAUGCGAAAGAGAAGAUUCUAUAGUUUCAUACUUCCUUUCCUCAGCUAAUUUCAACUAGGAUAUUUGAAUAAAAGUCAUUGUUUUUAAAAAUUGUCCGAAAAUGAGAACUAGAUUGGUCAUCAUCGUGGGUUAGUCCAUGAUCGAAGGGGAAUAGCACUGAACACUUGACCAAAACCAAAAAUGGUAGGAAAAAAAGCAGAAUAAGAAAAAAAAAAAAAAAACCCAUGCCCUGAUGCUGUCUCUUAUUUGCACUUCACAAACACACAGCGUACAUAUGUGCAUGUGCCCUCAUUUUGGACAUAAGAAUGUCAACAUGGCUCAAUCACGUUGCCCAUCUAAAAUCAACUCGAGAAAUUAUAAAAUCGGUACGCGAACGUACUCGGAAGUGCUUGAGAACUCAUAAAGCCUUCCUUUCUGUGAAAAGAUGAUCAUGGUGACUUCGGCAUCGCAGAGGACUGAGAGCUCAUAAGCUUUCUUCAGUAGCCCAGCCUGGCGCUUUGAGAAGGUGACUUGCUGGCUCGUCGCGUUCUCAAUUCGCCUCAUCUGAACUUUGCCUCUCGCCAUGAUUAAAUUCUUCCUACAUACAUGGUGGUUAUCAACCCUAGAAUGGCAAGUACUCAAACGUAGCGAUGAACAUAACAAAUAUACCUCAACGAUCAAAAAUAAUAACUCACCAGGGACUUUGGCAGCGUCAACCAGCUGAAGAUUUAUCUUUUUAUCCACCUCCUAUUGUCUAAACUUUAGACUGAAGUUCUUCAGAAGCUAAAAACACUGCAAGACAAAUCACACUUCUUUUUUUUCCAAAUAGACAUGAACUAUAUCAUCAUUCGAACACAAGCAAAAACCACAUGAUAAAGAUUUCACAAUCAAAGGUUGGAGAAUUAUAUAUUUGCCCAGGGUAUUAAAUGGGGAAGCUUCUCUACUCUACGCACAAAAAUGAACCACAAUAAAUUCAGAGACCCUACAGAGGGAUGAGAGCGCGAAGGCAAAAACCAAAAAACUGGAACGAAAGCAAAGGAUAUUUGGCAGCUCACGGAUCUCUCUUUAUUUUGUGGCCACGAACAUAAAAAGCAAAAAAAAAAAAAAUCAUUACUAUUCCAAAUUCAACGAUCUUCUACUCAGGGCAAAUAUGGUGUGAGAUACCCAUCAAAAGGAAAUACAGACAAAAAAGGAAAGAAAUAAGGAGGCAAGCAAAGCAUUCAAGUUCGACCGAAACGGCAUGGUCAAUUUCGUAAUGAAGAGUCGGAGAAGCAGAAGGAUUGUCUCGUUUUGAUUAAGUUAUGAAAAAGAGAGUAGAGAGAGAGAGAGAGAGAGGAGAUAUUAAGUUUUUAUUUAUUUAUUAAAUAUUCUUUGCCAGCGGGCUUCAGCUUCGGCUGCUGUGGCCUGUGGGACAUUCGAAUGAGAGAGCACUAAGAAACGAAACGGGUGAAAAGAAAGAGAAAAAGGUCGUACGAUGGCCCUAAAUUGUGGACAUCACCGUACCAUGGCGCGCGCUGUUAACGAAUGGGACGUUCACAACUGGGAAAACAUUAUCCCUCACUUAAACUCAGUGAGCCUCCACUCGACCGAUGGAAAGAGGCUCUGUCCUUUUCUUGGGCCUAAUAGGAACAGCCUCGGGGCUCUUCUUCGAUCGGUUCCUCUCCUAAUGGGUUUACAAGCACUAGGAGUACUCGAAAUUAUUACCAUGAUAUAUUCAUGGAUAAAAUAAAUACAGAUCUAUCCUUUAGCUUAUCUUUUCUUCAUGUUCUUCUCAUAAUUCCUCAUUAUUUAGGGGCGUAAAAAAUACCCGAAACCUUUCAAUUUGGAUAAAAGUAAAGAAAUUCAGGAAGUUUGACGCUUCAGUUCAGAUUUCGGAUUUUUUUUCUUAGGUUAUGCACAUAGGAGAUCAAAAGUUACUGAUUAUGGUGCACUAAUCCAAAAUCACUUAAUUUUCUAAUUAGGAGAUGUGAUUUUGGACAAAACUAUUAUGUUUUGAUAGAAUACAAGUAGAGCAAACAUAUCACGAUAUCAAUAAAAUGGCCAGCUCGCCCCCAUCACUAAGCCCCUCGCUGGCAAGAAGCUCGGCAAGCGCACCCUCAAGCUCGUCUACAGAGGUAAUGCCCCAUGAAACCCUUACUUGUUGUCUCGUGUUAACAUGCAUUCUUGCUCCCUUUCUCCUUUCCGUUGGUUGGCAAGUUGAAAAUGAGUUUUGGGUACGUGAUUCGUUGGAUAUACAGUGACUGAUGGUCUUGACUCUUUAUGAAACCUAUUCAAUGGAACUUUAGCUGGAACUGGGUGCAUCGAAAUGCUGGUUCUCUUUGUCGAUGAGCUAAAUAUUCAUUGCAAAUGGCAAGCGCAAGGGGGCGGGGUGGGCUUAAAUGGGUGUGCUACGUGUUUGUGGUUCAAUUGAAAUUUCUUUAGGCUGACUAUUGGCAUGUCCUUGUGGUUCUUCCUGAUUUGCAGCUGCUGAAGACAAAUGCUUGAAAAGAGGCGUGAAGGAGGUUGUUAAAAGCAUUUGGCGUGGUCACAAAGGGUACAAAUUUAUCCUCUUUUUUUUUUUUCUAGUUUGAGCAUAAAUGCCAGUCGAUGCAAGGUCGAAUGAAAUCUCUGUAGUUGCUUGGAGCCACGUCUUUUGUUCUGCAUAGUGUUGGCUGGGGAAUGUUUGGGUUGUUGUUGAGCCCAGAUAUUCGGAAAGAGAUUUGAUUUACUAUAAAAACUAAUUUGUUUUUGUAGAAUUCUAAUGUUAUAUAAUUUGUUUUCAUUUUUCAAUCAAUGGAUCAAGACAAAGACAUAUCAAUGAAAUAUGGAAGUUAUUUGUGUAAAUCGUCGGUGGAUUUUCAAUUGGGAUUCACUUUUUAUUUCGAUUUUGAGAUUAGAAAAGUUCUAUUUUCUUUGAGAUUGAUUAUUCUGCUGGUUUGAAAGCGUGCAUGGUGAUACGUAGGAACUUUUGGAUAGGAAUGAGAGUCAUUAGCAUUUCAAUUGACAGUAUUUUUAAUCGCUAGUCCUCGCGAUUUUUAUGCAAAAAGGUUGCUGUUCAGAAAUUUUUAUGCAAAACAGAUUCUAAUAUAAACAGGGUUGACCCUAAAACCGAACUGGAAAAUUAGGGUGGGUUGGGUACAGAGUUCAAUACAAACAAGGUCGGGUACAUGGUCCAAAAAAUGGGAACCAAUUAUAACAAGGCCGGGUACAGGAUCUAGGUCUAGAUCCUACCCACCCUGGACUCGAUCAUCCCUAUUGUACACAACGAGAAAGCAUCAUUGGUUACAACAAGGUGUUUUCUCCUAUUGUAAGGCAUUUUGAUAUUUGAAUAUUACUUGUUUUAAUUGCUACACAAGAUCUCGAGCUAAAACAGCCGGAUGUCAAUAUGGCAAUUUUUAAUGAUGAGUUAGAGGAGCGCAUUUAUAUGAGGCAACCAAAAUGAUUUGUUAUUCUGAGUAAGGAAGAGCAUAUUUUUUUAUUAAAGAAAUCUUUUUAUGGGUGAAAACAGUCUCCUAAGUAAUGGUAUAAUCAUUUUAAUGUUUUUAUGACUAGUCAAGACUAUUCAAAAAUCAGUUAAACGGCUUUAGAAAAUAGGAGGAUAGAUAUUUGAUUUAUCUAUUAGUAUUUGUUGAUGACAUAUUGAUAACGGUUAAGAUUUUGUAUGAAAUUGAUGUGUUGAAGAGGUAGUUGACUACUAGAUUUCAAAUGAAAGAUUUGGGUACUACAUAAAAGAAAAAAUGUCAAAAACGCUUAUUGGAUCAAUUAUAUGAAAAGCUUUUGUUUUGAAUUGUGCUAUGAGUUUUACUUGCAAUUGAGUCGUUUAUAUAUAAAUACCGUAGGUUUAGGUAUACUCUAGGUGUGGGAAACAAUCGAGCAUGUGAGCAAUUAUUAACUCUAUGAUUCUCCAAUAAUUAGUAGAUUUCUUGCUAGCUCUUCUCGUUAAGAAGUUACCAACACAUAGACCAAACCACGUAAAUUUUUAAUGUUUUUUCUUCCUGACUUAUUUCUAUGGUGAUUUUGCAUUUAUUUAAUUCAUAAGUUCCAAUAUUUUCCACAUUAGUUUUACAAAAUUUUAGAUAGACAAGCCACCAUAUCGAUUAUAAAAUACAAAAGAUGAAGAGAACAUAGCUAAUGCAAUGUGGAAUGAAAAGGACACUAAAAUAGCACAAGGCCUUUGAAUAAAUCACAUGGGCCUUUAAUUAAAUUGCAUAUCUUUAUUAAUAUAUUAAGCCAAAGCACGCACCUUACUCAUAUGACCAACAUGCCCCAUUUAUCAUGUUUCUACAUCACAACAAUCUUGACCCUCUCAACUAUUUCAUAUUCUUUUUUUUUUCAAUAACUAAGUAAAUUUUAUAACGCAAAUAUUAACACAGUUGGAGAGCAUCUUCUCUCUACCAACUCAAUACAAAGGCAAGUCUUUAAAACAAAGAUGCAAUCCAAUUUCCACUGCUGCUAAUACUAAUUGAGUUUCUUGGACAAAAGGCAACCAUAACAUUCUCAAUGACCUUUAUACAAAGCUAAAAGGCCUUUAAGCUAGAUUUGAAAAUCUAAAUAUCCUAGAAAUCACACAAAUAUCUAUCAAUUGAGAUGGCGUAUAUUUUCUCUUUUAGCAAACCAACAACCUUAAGUCAAGUUGACAAAUAGAGUGAGUUUAUCUCCCUGCUACUCAUAGUAUUUACAUGUAAUGGCUGAUAUUAAGAGAAGUACGUAUGCGUUUGUCUAAUUUGAGUAAUGGUUAAGUAUUGGAGAAGUAAUGCUAAAUCAUGCAUUGACAUAAUAUACACAUCGUCAAUUGAUUAAACAUUUUAACCUAUAAGUCAUUAUUUCAACAUGUACAAAAGGGUAUUUUAAAAAGUCAUUAUUUGGUUUAUUGGUAGUUUGGUUAAAAUGAUCGAAAUAGAAUUACUGAUUACAAAUAGCAUUUUGCAUAAAAAGAUAAUCCAAUUUUACUUUUAAAAAAAUUCAAAAGGGAUUCUUGUCAUUUUAGUCAAUGGGAUUCAUCCUAACAAAUUUCACAUUUAAAAGUCCUCACUUAAUAUUGAUUUGCUUCCCCACAUCACUUUCACGGGUUUAUUUGAUGCACAAAAUCCAUUUUUCUUAUUUAUGAGGACAUUUAGGUACUUUUGUUGGUUUGGGAUUGAGACAUCCAAGACAAUGUUCUUGUUUUAAGAAAAGGAAUUAUUGUAGUAUGAUGUUAAAAAAUCACACUAAUAUUGGAUUAUAGCUAACAAGCCAACCAUGGAUCCUGAUGUAGACUAGCCCAAAUUAAUUCCUGACAAGUGACCAGGUAGAGGGACCCAUUGUCUUUCGAAUCCAAGCUUGUCCAUAGAUUUUUCCAUCACAAAGAAUGAAAACAAAGGGAAAAAUAGAAAGCUCAUACAUAAAUUUUGUCUCCUUUUUAUUAUUUAUUUGUAUUUCUUAUUAAUUGUUAAGUUGGAUGCACCGUACAUUUUAGUCAUCUUAUGUGUCCCGAGAGAAUUAUCAAAAAAAUCCUAAACUUAUUGCAUUUUGGUCAAUUUAGCCCUAAACCCAUGAAUACUGGCUAGACAGUUGAUCGGCUAUGUGACAAUUUUUUAAUUUUUAAUUUUAUUUUUUCAAAUUUUAAUUUUUUUUCCUUUGUUUUUUUUUUCCCAUCUCCCUCCUUCCUCAGGCUGAUCAGAGGCAUGGGCCGACAAGCAUGGGCCAGCAGGGGCGAGCCUUGCCUAACUAUAGUGAGGCCUUGCUAAAUCUGGAGACUCAGCCUCACCCAAUCAUGGUGAGGGCGAGCCUCACUGACUACUAGCAAGGUCAACCCUCGCUAGACCUAGCCAUGGCAAGCCCAGCGAUGGUGAGGCCGAGCCUCACCAAAUUUGAUGGGGCCCAACAUCGACCUCGCCAAUGGUCGGUGGGGGCGAGCCUCACCAUUGGUCAGAGAGGCUAAGCUAUGGUCAGUGGCGAUCGGCCAAAGAAAGGAGGAAGAAGGGAAAAAAAAUAAAAAUAACAAAAAGGAAUAUAUAUAUAUAUAUAUAUAUAUAUAUAUAUAUAAGAAUUAUUUAAAAAUACGAAAAUUUUAUUUAAAAAUUAUCAUGUCAAAAUCCACAAGGUAGCCAACACUAGCUGACGUCAAUGUCGAUCAACUCAAUUUGGCCAAAUGAAUUAAAUUGGCAUAAUUGGAAAAGAUUUAAAACUCGGUUGAAAAAUAAAUUUAAAACUGAAUUGACACAAUUGCAAUAAAUUUAAGAUAUUUCUGGUAAUUUUUCCCACGUGCCAUUGAUUAUCCUUAAAUGUCUGUCUCUCCAAUACCCUUCCAAUUUAAGGCAUCGCCUUGGAAACAUGUCAUCACUCACAAGCCCAGAUGGAAGCUAGCUUCUCGGAUGAAAAAAGUUGGAUCUCGUUGUUUGGGAUGAGUUACAAAUCUAUUGAGUAGCCUCAUGUUGCAACAUGACAAUUUUGAUUUCAGAAUAUUUCAGAUGUCCAUGACCUUUACAUCUGCCUAUGUCCACGCUAAGGGAAAUUAUAGAAGUGAUGAAUGAAAUUUUUUUGGCUUACCCAACCUUUAAGAGGUGUCCGACCAAAAACAAAACCUUAAAGAGGCAUCCUCAGACUGAAAAAUAAAAUAAAUUGAGAACCUCAAAGAGGUAUCCAAUGAUGUUGAAAUGCAUGCAAGCAAUUAAAAAAUAUGCUCAACAAAGACAUUUGUUUCUUGGAAUCAACCGAUGUGUAACUCAAAUGUGAAGCCCAAGGUGCAAGCAAGUUAUUUCCUUCAUUUCGCUGAAUCUUCCUCGUAUAUGUCUGUCAUUGUUCAUUUCUAAUUUGAUCUUUCUUUGCCUUCGCUAUUCUUACUCGUGGAUCUUGGAAAUGACUACCAUGAAUCCCAUGCAUAUGUUGCUUUGGCUGUGCUAAGGGGAAUCUAGCUGAGUAAAGAUAUCACCGAGUUAUAUCACCAUAAUUCUUAUUUUAUUCUAUUGAAUAGGUAUUAUUAGGGUGAUGGCGAACCAGUUUAACUCUGUGCCAAUCCGAUGAACAACCCGGUCUCACCAUCUGUACUCCGGCUGCUCCGGCUAUGUAUUGUUGUUGCUCUCAGAUGAGCUGUUGAUUGCCCGGGAUUUGCAAGACACUGAAAUUGGAAGAAAGAAAGAAAGGACCCAAAAUGCUUUUAAAUUUAAUAAAAUAAAAAAUGCAAUUGAAUGGUAAUGGACAACCUGGAAACCUUCACUCAAUUAAAAUGGGAAAAAGCUUCAACACAAUUUGAGAUUUACAAGCAAAGAACAAGCCUUUCAUGGGAUCUAAUUAGGUGACGAAGCAUCUGUCUAUGCACUCAGAUCUAUUAAUGGUCAUUGGGAGAUCUCAACUUUCCCAACAUCUGACUCUAGAAGAGGUUCUUUGCUCCAUAAUCGGAAGAAAAAAAGAAAAAAAGAAAAACUCUAACAGUGGCUAGCUACGCCAUACAUGACUACAAGCUUUGUUUCCACCGAUAGUCAAUGUCUAAAGUACAGACUAUAUCAUGAAAGUAACAUACUCUAUGUUGUAAAUUUUUCAACAGUGGUCAUAUUAAAAGGCUAUUAGUUUUUGUUAUCGAGUUAGAAUUUUCUAAACAAUCGACUAAUGGUUAAAAAAUCAUAGAAAGACACAGGAACUUUCAGUCCUUCAACAAUCCCAUGUUAGAAAUAAAGAAUUGUACAUGAUGAUGGUAAGUUGGGUAGUACUUUUCUCAACAUUAAUUACUCAAAACAUUGUGCUACUAAUUUUUAUUGCCACAUUGGCAAUUACUAACUUCGUGAUAUUUUCACUGGGAAAGUUGAAUUUAUCCCAACAACUCUAGAAGUGAUUCUCUUCCGUUCUCAAAAAAGACAAGAAAAAAAAAAGCUCGAAAAGUGAUUAUGUAUGCCAAAUGUGCUCACUAAGAACUUUUGCUGCAUCUAUAGUCCACAGUUGGAAAACCCAAUAUAUUCAUCCGUGAAAUAAAUAUUCUCAAAAUUAUGAUAUUCACAACGUAGGUCACUAACUUAGUGCUAGUAACCUUUUUCUUUUCAAGUCAGUAACUUUCCAAGCACAUCAAGUAAUGGUCAUGGGAGCACAAAAAGACAGAGAUUUAGGUCCGUCUACAGUCCUAUAGUCCAAUACACAGUUGUGUCUCUUGAUCACAAUUCCCAUAUAAUUUGUUUUCCCAGCAUGAGGUCGUAACUCUGUACUAGUAACUUCCAUUAUGGAGUCAAUCACUUUCUUAACAGAUCAAGUGCGGGAUCAUAGAAGCACACAGAUUUGAGUUUGUCUACAAUUCCAUGUAAAAAAGAAAAAUAGAAUUCUAUCUUGUGACAGUAAAUUUAUCAGUGUGGUGAUAAUUUUCUCAACUUGGAUUAGUAGCUUAGAAGUAGUAUUAAGUUUCAAGCAGGUCAUACGGUCUCAAGAUCGUAGAAUUCUUCGGUGAUGUUCAACCUAUCUGCUCAUUCUAAAUUACCCUAUCCAAAACAAAACUCCUCACCGAUAGAGAAAGGUUCAAUAUAAAUACCAGUACAUAACCCUGAAAUUAAGUAUCUCUCAUUAUGUAUUGUCCUUUUCAUAAAAACUGAUAACGUUGCAGCACUCUUUAAAUGUUUUAACACCGGGACUAAUAGAAAGCAGGACAAAUUGAUGACCAGCAAAUUUAACCAGCACAACAAACUGUACAGCACACAAUCUACUAAUAUUGGUUUGAUGGACAAAAGCAACAAGCUUCUUCACUACACAAGCCUAUUAGAACAUUAGGGCAAAAAACAUUAUUAAUCAUUAAAGACCUCUCUUUCUGGUCUUAGCAGAUCAUAAAACUGCAUUGUUAGAUCAUACAUGAAAAUUAUUGAGAGAUUCUAUUGCAGGUUUCACAAGUUUUUGGAUAGUGGUUAAUAUAUGCACAGAAGAGUGAUGAUGCACGGCAAGUAAUAGGAAGGAAAUUAAAGCACCGAUGGGAAAGAGGGAGACACCUUUGCAAGAAGCUUUGCAUUCUCUUCUUUCAGAGACCUCUCCUGAGGUAAACCAAAUAAAGUUGCUAGAUUAAUAUAACCAGGAAAUUAACAACGCCUGAUGAGAUCGGAUAUGCAAUCAUCAUAUUUGUCCACUUACCUUUGCUUGCAACUGCUGUAUCUGAUCGUUCAAUAAUUGAGCCUGUAAAAGAGUUCCGUAGAAAUAUUUUAACUUUCGUGUGUGCAUGUUGUCCCCAUACCUUUCUUAUUACAAAGUAAGAAAAAAAGAAAAGAGAGAAAAUAAGUUGAAAUGAUGGACGAUAGUAAUGAAAGGACGAUGCUUUGCAACUUGUCAAGAAACAUAGUUCAAGUUAGAAGUAGUACAUGGAAAUCGGCAAGGUUAACAUAAUAAAAAACUCAUGGUAUUCUAUUAUUUCGUGUUAUAAGUAUCAAUUUGUGUGAAUAAGUGUCAAGAAAUCAAUUAUAAAAAAUGAUCGAUGACUUUUUUUUUUUGUCAGAGAAGAAAAGCCAGUUAUCUAACCAAACCAAAUAAACUUGUUAACUAAUCAAAGAAGAGUUGGUAACACAGAAUUAGUUGGUUACUUAAUCAGAGAAAAGUUAGUAACUCCUAUAAUUAAGAUUGGUAAUUUCUAGUUGGGUUCAUAAGUAAGGCAAAUAUUUAUGUGUGCACGAGUCUCAUAAGUGAAGGGUGAAGACGAGUGAGAGUAUUUUUUUCAACAGAAUCUAUUUUAUAACUAAGAAAGUGAUAAAGAGAAGAAAGAUCUGCUGAAGUUGUUGGCAAGUAAAACACAAGAGAGAGAGUAGACGUCACUCUCCACCAUAAGACAAUGUUUCCACUCUAUCUCAAGAGUAGUCAAAGGAAGGGUUAGAGCAGGAAAAAUUGCACUAAGAAAGACCAUAUGAGCGUUGGCAAGUUAGUCCCAGAAAAAUAAGUCUAUAAGUCUAUAAAGUUAGUCAAAUAGAGUUAGUAACCAAAAAGAGUUAGUGAUUUAAGCAAAACAUAGGUCUAUAAGUCAUACAAAUAAAUAUCUGAAAAUAUAUAUAAGAGCUAAUAAAUUUAAAGGAAUGGCAAGAAAAAAAAAAUUUACUAAAAAAAUAAGAGAGAUUGAUAAUUGCACAUUGUUGAAAAGAGUUGGUGAUUUCAUAAAAGUGUAAGUAAGUUACCAAUAAGUCACCUAGAAAUCAGGUAAUUGAAAGCUUUUAUUUUUUAUCAUGGUUUUUUGUCACUUACAACUCUUUCAUAGGUUUAUAAAAAACUAUCCAAUUUAUUUUGGAAAGACGAACAAUAGAGUCGUCCAAAUAACUCUAGGAAAAAUAAUGAUAGAAGAAUAAUCGUGAUCUUUUCCUUGUUUAUUGGCAAAAAAAGAACAGGUCAAUAACUAUGAAGAAAAACGGUGAUUUGUAAAUGUGCUUUCAUUCUUUCAUAUAAGGUAGAAAACGCCAUGUAUGCUCGGAGAAAAUUGAUUCUCUCCUUUCAGAUGCCAAGUUUAACGUUUUCAGUCUAUUCAGUUCCAAUCUUACAAUGCGAUUAGAGUCUCUAUCGAAAUUGGUGUUUUGGCUCCUGUAUGCAUAUAUGGUCAGUCUUGUUAGUUAUUUGAGAGAAAUUGUUUCUCAUUGUUUUCUUUCCCUUCUCACCAUAUCCAUGCCUCCAAACACAACGGCUACUCGAUGAAAGUUCUCAAGACAUCUACUUCGCUCAGAGAAAAGGACAAAUAUGCCAAAGACACAUGUACCUUUCUUUCCUUAAUGCUGCUCAAACUUCGCUCGAGUUGAUCCCCUAUCUCUUGGAUUUGGUCCAUCGAGCAAGAUCCAAGACAUUGUCCCGAUAGCUUCCUGAUGUAAAAAAGAAAAGGAGUACCAUAGUUUAGGGAAUUAGAUAUCAAGAAUCCAUUUCAAUCCACAAUAUAUAAGAGAGAAGUCUCAAAAUUUGUGGACCGUAGAGAAACUUCAAGAAGCUCAAUCUUCCUCUCCAUAUCAGUGGUUUCUUGCUUCAGACACUGCACAUAUAUGGAGAUUGUGAUAUUUAUGAAUCUAGUGAACGGAACCAUACAAACUGAACAAAUUUGAAAUUAGUAAUGGAUAAAACCGAUCAUAAUGAACAAAUCUAAAACACCACAGGAUCCUGCAAAACUAAGAUUGCUACUAUAAGAACCCUAAUGUUCUUGCAAAAUUUGUAGCUGCCAUAGUAAAUUCUAUGGCUUACCACCUCAGUAAUUCUUGAGAUCAAAAGUAGGGUUCUUAUCAAGAACGCGAUUCGGUACUAUUACAAUCUAUAAACACAUACAUAUACGUUCACACCAACAAUCAAUUUUAAGACUUCCUUCAAGAAAACAAUAAGAUGUAAAUACCCAAGGAGGGCAUGUUUCUGAGGCAUAAAGUGGUGGAUGAUGAGUGGGAUUUCAGAAGCUGAAAGAAUUUUAGAGGACCAGUCAAUGUCCUCAGGACAUGUACAAAGACCAAAAUAGCACUUUUAAUGUUAUAUUUAACUUGAAACCUAUUUUUCUCUUUAUACAUAUCAGCAGUUUCUCCUGUCUGCUUCCCAGUCAUUGCCAAACCACAUGAAUAACAGUGGUAAGGCUGCAAUAAUAUUACAGGUCCUUUAUCUAACCGUAACAGUGUAAGAGUUUUCCUGAUGUGGGCUACAUUAAUUGAUAUUGUAAUUUACCGUUUUAUGAGGUUUAGUCUAAGGUGAGAUAGAAGGUUUCUUAAUUAGUCUAAUAUAGGGUUGGCCAGUUUGGGCCGAGUUGAGCCAGGCCCGUAAUGAGAAGACCCAGUUUAAAACUCUAUAAAAGUGCUCAAAUCUCUCCUCUAACCCUAAUUCUCACAAGUAUCCUCAUAUAAGGAGCAUUUACCUAGCGCUAAAGGGUGAGGAGGCCAUCUCAUUGAGCCAGUGAUAUGGAGGGCAAUAGAGGAGAAUAACUUGAAUUGAUCUAAAAGAAAUUCAACAAUUGAUUUGGCAUAAAGGAAGGAUAAUUUACUUGGCAUAAAGUAAGUUUAUCCGCAACUUAUCGUGGAUAUAUACACCCUCUCAUUAAUAGAAAACUUACCACAUUAAAGAUGUAUUCGGAAGUUGAAUGUCACUUGACUCUAUCCCUCUUUGUACAAGGAUAUCAUCAUCAUUAGUAUGAUCCCUACUUUGUGGUUCUAGUGAUCCAUUUAAAUCAUGUAUGCAGGUACAUUGUUGCAUGAUUCUUUUCAUACGAGGCGACUAUUUAUGUAUACACAAGUAUAUAUUAUUAGAUUGUCGGGGAAAUAGGAUUUCUCACCAUUUGUGUUCGUAUAUGGACUUUUUGUGAGUCACAUCCUGAAAUAAGUUAUGUAAUGUGAUGUUAUAUGUUAAUCCACACACACACGGGAGAAAAAAAGAAGAAAAAAAGAAGAAGAGGAAGUUGCUUUCUUACAUACAGCAAAAUGAAUAAAAAUUGAACUGCUCAGCUUGCUUAACCUCUACAUAAUGUGCUUACGACUGCACCUAAUGUAUCAUCAUGGAAAGGUUAGAGAACUGACCAGAAUAUAUUGUUCCAUAUUAGCCUGGUAUGUAGCCGCAUCAUUUGUAGAUCUACGAUAUCGAUCAAUUGUCUUUUGGAUUCUGAAAAAAUUUGCAAAGAUAACAUAUGAGCUCAGCCACUGGGAAUACAUUCUCCAAAUUAAUCAGGUAUCGUCAAAACUAAAGUAAUCAAACACUAAACAAAUUAAUAAUCAUUUUUGUGAAUCAUGCAUGACUUCCAGUGAAUAAGUAUCACCAUCACUCACUAACAGAAUAUGCAAGGAGCAUAAGCCUCUGCAAGAAGCUUUUAGCCUCUCAGCAACUAAUUUGCAACGAUCUGAAGUACUUGGAAAAGUCUUGGUUGCCCACCUUAUACUUUGUAAAUAAUUGAUGCCAGAGAGAGUGUAGAAAAGUAGAAAGUAACACAAAUGAGAACUUAAAUGAAUAGGUCGCUUGCCACUCGUAGGAAUUCAUCUAAGAGACAAGAGCAAAACAACAAAUCUUUCUUGUUCUCAAGCCAAAGUCAAAAUAAGUUACGAAUCAAAACAAGUCUACCUCCUCAUUCAUCAUAGCAUGCUUAUAUAGAUGAGUUUGGAACAACCCUUCAAGCAUGAGUAAUUACCAAGACUCCUUGAAAAGACAAAAAGACUUAUAGGAAAGACAAAACAAGUCUUACUAGAAAAUAACUAUAAUUAAAUAAGGACGCUAGAAACUUAAAUGACAUUUACUAAACCUUGAAAAUAUAAGAAUCAAAUGUAGUUGGUUGUAAGUCUCCUAAUUUUACUAGUUCUGAAUUAAUGGAAUGCUCCGUCAUCAAUAAUCAUGCCAGCAAUAUUUUUCUUCAAAUUUUAGCGUAAAUGUUCAAUUUCACAUCAUAAAAGUAUAUUAUGUGCGCACGCAAAGUAUAUUUAAAUGUGAGCGCAGAGUGAGCUAAGGCAUUGUUUUUGCCCAAGCCCAAAGUCUUCAAUAUAUUCUACAUGCCACUCCAUGUCAGUAAGAAGUAAGAACAGCACAUGAUGCUCGUAAAAUCAUUGUGAAGCAGUACAAGGACUCACUACUUCAGAGAGAAAUUGUAAGAGCAAGCAGUUGCCCCUCCAUUUAACUUGUGACUUCAAGUACUUAUUUUCCCUGUAAAUGAAGAAGAGGGAAUACUUACACGGUGGAGCAACUAUUGCAAACAUGUACAAUUUCAGUCAGUUUUGGACAGAAGUACUCUAUUUAUAAGAAAUCCAAGAGAUCAGAGUGUUGCGUCAUGUUCGCCUAAAUCUAUUAUACUAGUGAAUGCACUCGAUCCCAUAAAAUCACCCCUACACAAAUCUAGUCAAGCCCAUAAUCUUAUUGACCUUUCAAAGCCCCCUAUAAUUUGAAGAACCUGAAGUUGAAGAUGUCAGGACCUGUUUCACAGGCUUUUGCUUAGGGUUAAAGUACCAUUAAAAAAUCAACUUGAAAGUCUUUUGCAGGUUUUGUUUGAUUCAGAAAAGAGAUUAAUUAUGCUUUCAGUUUCGAUUCAAUGAACUGUGAUUGGUAAUGCUUCUUGAUUAUGGCGGUACAUAGGUAAUUCGUUAUUCAAUUGCCUGACUAAUAUAAUGCAUUUCAUAUGAAAUUUCUAGUUUUUGCCUUGAAACAGUGAUCUGUAUGGUUUGUAAGAUAACUAUUAUCACAUAGUAUACAUAAAAAAGUCUUAAUUCACAUCUAAAAGGUAUAAUUACAACGAACUAAAUCAAACAAGGUAUGGUUUGAAGGCUUCACCCUUUUCAACUUAAGCUUGGUUUUCUUCAACAAUUUUCCAAGCAAUCAAAUUUGUUUGGAAAAAUCUACUUCGAACAGAACAAUACCUAAUUGCAAAUACGCUUAAUCAUCAUGCCUCGAGAAUUAGUUACGGAGAUCAAUCCCUAGAAGCAGCCUUAAAACCUAUAACGGUUCAAAAAGGAACACUACACGGCGUUAUCAUUUCAUAUCAAUGUGGAAUUGGGGGGAAGGCUGAACUGUUACUUGUCAAAACCAGAAAGACCAAACAAUAUCAGUCCCUAGUUUCACUAACAUCAAAUUAUGUUUUCAUUCCCCAAGACAAAGUACUAACUAUCCUAACAUGUGAAGUAGCUGGAGGAGAUCAGUACUUGCAAGAUAUUCAACAAUUCGUUUCCUCAGAAGAACCAUUAAGAAAGAGGCAGUCCCAACUCCAACGCCACGGCGUACACAAUGAAUGCCUUUGAUCAGCUAAUCCCCCACAUCUAGCCAUUUGAUUAAGUACACCCCAGUGCAUUGACUAUUCAAAAAAAUGCGAAAGAGAAGAUUUUAUAGUUUCAAAACUUCCUUUCCUCAGCUAAUUUCAAGUAGGAUAAUUGAAUAAAAUUCAUUGUUUUUGAAAAUUGUCCCAAAAUGAGAACUAGAUUGGUCAUCAUGGCGGGUCAGUCCAUGAUCGAAGGGGAAUAGCACUGAACGCUUGACCAAAACCAAAAAUGGCAGGAAAAAAAAGGAGAAUGAGAAAGGAAAAAAAAAAGAAAAACAUGCCAUGAUGCUGUCUCAUAUGUGCACUACACAAACACACAGCGUAUAUAUGUGCAUAUGCCCUCAUUUUGGACAUAAUAAUGUUAACAUGGCUCGAUCACGUUCCCCAUCUAAAAUCAACUCGAGAAAUUAUAAAUCAGUAUGUGAACGUACUCGGAAUUGCUUGAGAACUUGUAAAGCCUUCCUUUCUGUGAAAAGAUUAUCACGGCAACUUCAGCAUCACAGAGGACUGAGAGCUCAUAAGCUUUCUUCAGUAGCCCAUUCCGGCGCUUUGAGAAGGUGACUUGCCGGCUCAUCGCGUUCUCAAAAUUCGCCUCAUCUGAACUUUGCCUCUCACCAUGAUUAAAUUCUUCCUACAUACAUGAUGGUUAUCAACCCUAGAAUGAGAAGUACUCAAACAUAGCGAUGAACAUAACAAAUAUACCUCAACGAUCAAAAAUAACAACUCACCAGGGACUUUGGCAGCUUCAACCAGCUGAAGAUUUAUCUUUAUAUCCUCCUCCUAUAGUCUAGACUUUAGACGGAAGUUCUUGAGAAGCUAAAAACACUGCAAGACAAAUCACACUUUCUUUUUUUUUCAAACAGACAUGAAGUAUACCAUCAUUCGAACACGAGCAAAAACCACAGGAUAAAGAUUUCACAAUCAAAGGUCGGAGAAUUAUAGAUUUGCCCAGCGUAUUCAAGGGGGAAGCUUCUCUGCUCUACGUCAGAAAACGGAACCACAAUAAACUCAGAAACCCUAAAGAGGGAUGAGAGGGCGAAGACAAAAGCAAAAGAACUGGAUGAACGCAGAGGAUAUUUGGCAGUUGAUGGAUCUCUCUCUUUAUUUUUUGGCCACAAACAUAAAAAGAAAAAACAAAUCUGAUUAUUCAAAAUUCAACGAUCUUCUAAUCAGGGAAAAUAUGGUGUGAGCUACUCAUAAAAAGGAAACACAAACAAAAAAGGAAAGAAAUAAGGAGGAAAGCAAAGCAUUCAAGUUCAACCGAAACGGCAUGGUCGAUAUGGCAAUGAAGAUUCAAAGAAGCAGAAGGAUAAUCUUGUUUCGACAAAAUUAAGAAAAAGAGAGUAAAGAUAGAUACGGAGAGAGAGAGAGAGAGAGAGAAAAGAUAUUUUGUAUUUUUUCGGAAAAAAAACGUAUAUUUUGCCGGUGGGUUUGAGCUUCGGCUGCUGUGGCCUGUGGGACAUUCGAAAGAGAGAGCAGUAAGAAACGAAACGGGUGAAAAGAAAGAGAAAAAGGUCGUACGCUAAACUAUAAAUUGUGGACAUCAUCGUACCAUGGCGUGCGCAGCUAACCUAUGGGAACAACUGGGAAUACAUUAUCUAACUUAAACUCAGUGGGCCCCUACAUGACCAAUUGAAAGAGACUCUGUCCUUUUCCUGUCCUUUUCCUGAGCCAAAAGUCUUUAGGAAAAUGCAAAUACCUUUGACUUAAAAGGUGUUUUCCAAAAUGCAACCGUGUUUGGUAAAUUGUACUUUGAAAGCUCUUUGUAAAGUAUUUUGAGCAAAAUAGCGUUUGGGGAAUUACACUUACAAAAGAUCUUUGUGGUAAAAAAAAAAAUUAUCAAAAGAAAAAUUAAAAAAAAUUGACCAAAGGGCAGUGGCCGCCGGCGACCUCCGGCGACCUCCGGCGACCUCCGGCGACGCCGGAUCUGGGGCAGCGAGGUCGCGCGACGCCGUCGCGACCUCCGGCGACCUCCGGCGACGCCGGAUCUAGGGCAGCAAGGUCGCGGGAGGACCUCGCCGCCCCGGAUCUGGGGUCGCAGGAGGUCGCCGGAGGUUGCCGGAGGUCGCCGGGGGCAACUGCCCUUUGGUCAAUUUUUUUUGAUUUUUCUUUGGGAAAUUUUCGAGGGCCGCNNNNNNNNNNNNNNNNNNNNNNNNNNNNNNNNNNNNNNNNNNNNNNNNNNNNNNNNNNNNNNNNNNNNNNNNNNNNNNNNNNNNNNNNNNNNNNNNNNNNUGGGUCGCGGUGACCAGACCUUGCCGUGGGUCGCGGCGGUCGUGCCACCGCCUGGCGUCGCUCGUCUGGGCGACGGUCGCGGGCGACCGCUCGCGGAAGAAGAAGACCGUUGCCGCUCCAGAUCUGGGUUGCGGUGACCCAACCCUCGGUCGCGCCACCUCCGGUGUCGGUUGCGCCACCUCCGGCGUCGGUUGCGCCACCUCCGGCGUCGGUCGCGCCACCCCCCGACGAUCGCCGGCGUCCCUCUAGCAGUCGCCGGCCGCUCACAGUCAGCCGGAACCGAACCCCCCGGAGAAGAUGAACAGUAGCGACACAAGGGCAAGAACCGGAAAAACAAAACAUUCGUGAGGACAAUUUUGGAAAAAAAAAUUAUGAACAGUGCCCGCGUGGGCAUGCCGAAAAAGCCGAAAGCCCAAGGCAGGUCCCCCCCCGCCUUGGGCUUUCGGCUUCACACAUGCUGGCAUUUCCGAAAUGCGGGCUCAAAAAAUUUUCCCAAACGGGCUGGCAUUUGGCCAAGUACCUUUAGGCUUCAAAGGGGCUUUGGGAAGUGGUUCCCAAACGCACCCUCUGUCCUUUUCCUGUCAUUUUCCUGAGCCAAAUAGGAACAGCCUCGGGGCUCUUCUUCAAUCGAUUCUUCUCUUGGGUACAACGCCAAAGUCACUGAAUGAAAAGGUGAUCGGUUCCAGUUCGGUCCGGUUCCAAGGUGCGACCCAUAGCAGUGGGCNNNNNNNNNNNNNNNNNNNNNNNNNNNNNNNNNNNNNNNNNNNNNNNNNNNNNNNNNNNNNNNNNNNNNNNNNNNNNNNNNNNNNNNNNNNNNNNNNNNNNNNNNNNNNNNNNNNNNNNNNNNNNNUGUUCCGAACCAAUCAAUGAAAAUUCGCUUCCUCGGGGAUCUAAUAAAACUACUCACACAUGUUUUCACGUGCAAAAUAUUCAAACUUCACUUGCGUGAAUAUUAAUUAUAAUUUAUGUGUUUCACUCUUAAUUUUAAGCAUAAAAGCCAUGAACAAUUUGAGUAAAAUCUGUUAUUGGCUUAGGUUUUAUAGACAAUCUCUCUUCUAUGCUUUGAAUGUUUAGUCGAUGUUAGACUCUUUGAGGCCUGAAGUGCCUUGUUGUUUGCAAGUGAGGGGAGCAAGAGAGAGAGUGAGCAUGAGGAACUCCUAGAGCCUUAUCCCACAUCGAGGAGAAAAUAAAACUAACAAAUAAGUUUUCUAAGAGUUUUGGUGGUCUCUUGGCCACAUAAGAGAUUGUUACAUCAAUUGCAAUUACGAUUGCAACAAGUUUCAUAUAUAAUAUUCAUAUAUUAUAUGUGUUUAUAUAUUAUAUGUAUAUAAAUUAUAUAUAAAAAAAUUUGGUCCAGUCCAGUUGGUCCGGUUGGUUUGGUUCCCACCUUGAAACUGGGAACCGGACCGCCGACCGUGGGAACCGCCCAAAACCGGCCGGUUCAGUCCGGUCCGGUCCGGUCCCGGUUUGGGCGAUUUCUGUUGCACACCCCUAACUGAAUGGUAAGUCGUCCAUCUGAUUGACACGGACUAUCGGAAUAUACUUUAUUUGCUGAAUUACGUUAUAAGUGGGCAUUUUGCCAAAAGUUUAUAUUUGAUCAAUUUAUCCUUAUGUGAUUCCUAUUGAAUUAUAUAUUGAGAGAUUUGGUUCAGUAUUUCAAAAACUUAUUAAGAAAAUAUAAAGUAAUUUAAUUUAAAAUAUUUUGAGUAAAUGCAAAAGUUAUUUGGUAAACUAUACUUUAAAAAACAACUUUGAAAAAAAUAUUGUUUGGUAGAAAACUUAUUUAAAAAGUUUUUUGAGCAAGUAAUAUUAGUUUUUUAAUUUUUAUUUGUUUAAAAUUGAAAAAAAAUAAUCUAUGCAAAUUUUUAAAUAUAAAUUUUGAUAAUAUGCUAAAAGAAUCAAAUAUAUUCAACGGGUUUAUUCCUUUUUUUUAAAUUAUAUAUAUGUAUGAUUUUUAGCAUUAAAAAAAAAUAAUGAUGGCAAAAUCAAAAAUUUGAAGAAUGAGUUAUAGUAGUUUUAGAAGAAAAAAUGAGUUUCAGAAAGUUCAAUGGCAUUCAACCUUCUCAAUGUUGCUUUCCACUUGAAAGUUAAUUUAAAAUAAUUGUCAAAUGGUCCAGCAUUUCUCCAAAGGGUUUUGAAGGCCGAAAGCUCAUUGAAAAUGCUAACCUAAACGCACCAUAUGGGUUUACAAGCACAAGGAAUACUCAAAAUUAUUACAAUGAUAAAUUCAUGGAUAAAAUAAAUAUAGAUCCAUCGUUUAACUUAUCUUUUCUUUAUGUUCUUCUUAUAAUUCCUCAUUAUUUAGGGGUGUCAAAAAUAUCCGAAACUUUUCGGUUUGGGUAAAAGUAAAGGAAUUUGGGAAAUUUGACACUUCAGUUCAGGUUUCGUUUUUUUUUUUUUUUUUUAGGUUAUGCACACAAGAGAUCAAAGGCUAUUGACUAUGGUGCACUAAUCCCAAAUUACUUGAUUUUCUCAUUAGCAGAAAUGUGAUCUUCAAUCAACCCACCACCAAAAAGAAAUGUGACUUUCGAUAAGACUACUAUGUUUUGACAAAAAAUUAGUAGAGCAAACAUAUCAUAGUGUUAAAAGUAAGAUAACAAAUGUUAAGAUUGCAUAUGAGUCCGUAACUCCUAAAGUCAGUGAUAUUAAACAGCUAGCAAAAUCGUAGCACUCUCUAGUCAUAAGUAGAUAGAGAAGGCAAAUUAGGCCACCGAUACAUUAUGAUUAUACAUAUAUUACUUUUACAUUUAUUGUAGAGGGAUAAGGUAGAAACAAAUGAGCAUUUGUCUUACCAUGAGGCAAUAGUUAGUGCCGAUAAUUAUAGUGGAUAGAGGCUAUAGGUGAAUAGAUGGAAUCACUUCAUAGGAACUAGACAUGGGAGCUUGUUAGAUCGUCCAAGAGCCAAAACAUCAUUGAAAACAAGUGGAUUCACAAACGGAAGGAGGGCAUCGAGGUAUAUGGGGAGACUUGUUGUGAAAGGAUGUACACAAAGAGAGAGCAGCAUUGGUUACAACGAGGUGUUUUCUCCUAUCGCAAGACAUUAUUAUAUUUGAAUAUUACUCACCUUAAUUGCUAUACAAGAUCUUGAGCUAGAAGAGCUGGAAGUGAAAAUGGCAAUUUUUAAUGAUGAGUUGAAGGAGCGGAUUUACAUGAAGCAACCAAAAAGAUAUGUUAUUUCAGGUAAGGAAGAUCAUGUUUAUUUACUAAAAAAAUCAUUUUAUGGAUUAAAAAAGUCUCCUAAACAAUAGUAUAAUUGUUUUGAUGUUUUCAUAGCUAGUCAAAACUAUUCAAAAGUCAGUUGGAUAACUUACUUUAGGAGAUUGGAGAAUAGAUUUAUGUAUUAUUAUUUGUUGAUGACAUAUUAAUAACAAUUAAGAUUUUGUAUAAAAAUUAAUGUGUUGAAGAGGUAGUGGAAUAUGAGGUUUCAUAUGAAAGAGUUGGGUACUAAAUAGAAGAAAAAAUGUCAAAAACGCUUAUUGGAUCAAUUGUAUGAAGAGCUUUUGUUUUAUAUUAUGUUGGCUUAUUGGAUCAAUUGUAUGAAGAGCUUUUGUUUUAUAUUAUGUUGUAAGUUUUACGUACAAUUGAAUUGUUUAUUCAUAAUACUGUGGGUUUACGUGAAACAAUCAAGCAUGUAAGUAAUAAUUAACUCUAUGAUUCUCCAAUUAUUAGUAGAUAAUUUGCUGCUAACUCUUUUCUUUGAGGAGUUACCAACAUAUAGAACAAAUUGCAUAAAUUCCUAAUGCUUUUUUGUCCUGACUUAUUACUAUGGUGAUUUUGUAUUGAAUUAAUUUGCAAGAUUCGAUAUUUAACAUUUUAAUUUUACAAAAUUUAGAUGGACAAGUCACCAUAUCAAUUAUAAAAUACAAAUGAUGAGGACAACAUAACUAAUGCAACGUGUAUUCAUGAGGACACCAAAAUAGCACAGGCCUUUGAUUAAAGCACAUAUUGAUAACACAUGCCUUUGAAAUGCAUACCUUUACUAUUAUAUUAAGCCAAAGUGCGCACCUUGCGCAUACGACCAACAUGAACCAUUUAUCAUGCUUCUACAUCACAACAAUCUUGACCCUCUUGACUAUUCCACAUUUAAUUUUCAAUAAUUAAGUACAUUUUAUAGCGCAAACAUCAACAUACUUGGAGAGCAUCUUGUCUUUACCUACUCAAUAUGGAGGCGUGUCUUCAAAAUAAAAAUGCAAUCCAACUUCCACAGUUGCUAAUACUAAUUGAGUUCCUCGGACAAAAGGCAACCAUAACAUUCUCAAAGACUCUUAUACAAAGCUAAAAGGCUCCUAAACCAAAUUCGGAAAUCUAAAUACCCUAGGAAUCACACAAAUAAUUAUUAGUUGAGAUGACAGAUAUUUUUUCUCCUUCAACAAACCAACAACCUUGAGUUGGGUUCACAAGUAGAGUGUGUUUAGAAACUUGAUUAUACAUUUGUAGUUAUCUCUCCACUAUUUACAGUAUCUACAUGUAAUGGUUGAUACAAAGAGAAGUAUGUAUGUGUUUGUCUAAAUUAAGUAAUGGAUAAGUAUUGGAGAAGUAAUACUAAAUCAUGCAUUGGCAUAAUAUACACAUCUUUGAUUGAUCAAAGAUUUUAGCCCGUGGAUCAUUAUUUGGACAUGUAUAAAAGAGUAUUGUGGAAAGUCAUCAUUUAGUUUAUUGGUAAUUUGGUUAAAAUGAUUGAAAAAGAACCACUCAUUACAAAUAACAUUUUGUGUAAACAAAUGAUCCAAUUUUACUUUUAAGAAAAUUCAAAAGGGAUUCUUGUCAUUUUGAUCAAUAGGAUUCAUCCUAACAAAUUUUACAAUUAAUAGUAUUCUCACUUGAUAUUAAUUUGCUACCCCACAUCACUUUCACAAGAAAAGCGUUAAAAAAUUCUAAACAUUUUAUAUGUGUGCCAAUUUAGUCCUAAAUUUUUUUACUUGGUGCUAAUUCAAUCAUUCCCGGCUAAUUUUGGCCAAAUUUUGCCGAUUGGGUAUCGGCCAGUCGACAUUGACAAUUUUUAAUAAUAUUUUAAUAUUUAUGAAUUUUUUGUCUUUUAUUUUCUUUUUUCCUUCUCCUCUUCCUUCCUCCAGCCAAUCCUCGUACCUCGACGACUGGCCAGAGGUGAUGGCUGGUAAAGCUCAAGCCCUCGCCAUUUGCUACGAGGGCAAGCCUCACAGCCCAAGCCAUGAUGGCGGCCUUGCGCCAAGUUGGCAAGGCUUGCCCUCGUUGAAUCUGGCGAGGUUCAAGCCUCGCAGCCAUGGUUGGCGAGGCUUGAACCUCGUCGCCCAGCGCAAGGCCGCCCUCGUGGCCACUAGCGAGGGCUUGAGCCUCGUCGGCCAUCGCCUCUGGCUGGUUGUCGAGGACUGGCGACUGACUGGAGGAAGGAGGAAGAUAAGGAAAAAGGAAAAAAUAAAAAGAAAAUAAAAAAUAAAAAUAUAUAUUAAAAUAUUAUUAGAAAUUGUCCAUGUUAGCGUUAUGACUAAGUUAACAUAAAUGAAAAAAGUUUAGGACUUUUUAAACACUUUUCUUUCACUUUCACAUGUUUGUUUGAUGCACAAAAUCCUUUUUUUCUUAAUUAUGAGGACACUAAGGUACUUUUCGUGACAUAAGAUUGACUCAUCCAAGACAAUGUUCUUAUUUUAAGAAAAGGAAUUAUUGUAGUAUGAUGUUUUAUAAAAAUAACACUAGUAUUGGAUUAUAGCUGACAAGCUAGCCAUAGAUCUUUAUGUAGUGUGACAUCCCGAUUUUCCAAUUAUAUUUUCAAUAAAUUGAGACGGUCAUUUCGUUGGCACACAUAUAGUUCUUUUCCCUGAACUGAUCACUCAUGGGAUAACUAGUGUCACGCCCCGAACCUCGAGCGCGCCAACAUCCCACCAUGGUCAUGUAAAUGUGACAUUCUCAAGUAGUGUCGCCGACCCCAUUCAUUUAUUAUUGCGCAAGCGGAACGUAUUAUAAAAUCCCUGACAAUGAAAUACCGGAUAGAAAAGCAGGAAGCAAAUUCACAACCAAUCACUUACAUAAACCAACGGAGUUACAAACGAAGGCCUACAGCCAAAAGUCUACAAAAAACCGGCUCUUAAAAAUGAAUUGUCUUACGACCUAUAAGUCAGACACGUUCUCCAAUCCUCAUGACUUCACCUCUGCAACUCCUUAAGGUCAACCAAAGCUAUCUAGCCGCUCCGUCCACUAGGGACCUGAAAUUGCAAUCCCCCAACCGGGAUGAGAUAAUGUCUCAGCAAGUUCAACCCCCUAAACCCCUAUUAGAAAGAAAAUACGCCUAAGGGUGGCAUAGCCACACAACAUAGAGGACUUACCUCGCAUCGGUUCCUUCCUGCAGGUUAGCACAGUUCAUAUCACUCAAUCAUAUGCAGUAAUAAGAACUUAAACAACCGGAACGCAUUCACUUUCAUAUAACCAACAAUCGCGGGGGUCCUGAUUAUAAGACUAAAUCGUUAUAACACGUCACAUUCCAUGCCACACAAUUCCGUCCCAUAAUCCGGCACAUCAACAACACUCAACAUGCAUUCUAACUGUUAUUCACUGCCACACAAGGGCAUAGCCUACUCGUAGUUCGGCUAUCUACUGGCAUAUAGCCAGGCAUCGCCUCCCCACCUUGGAGCGCGGCUUCGUCAGUACGUCGAUGGCGUUCCCGAAGGAGCAUGGGCCCCAGAAUCAACUGCGACCCGCAACCAAUACGUGGGCAUCCCAUAUAGGGGCAAAUCUGGUUCAACAGCCUAGGACGAUCUCCUCUUAAUUGUCACACAACAAUUCAUAUUCAACCUGGGACACUUUGCAUUUCACUCAAUGCUUCCACUUAAAAUAGUGAUCCCGACCAUUUUUCUUCAUAUUAAAAAUAAUCCAAAAAUUAACCACGUGUGUGGGGGCACGUUAAUUUCGAUCCAGAAAACCAAUAUCUCACUUUUUCAAACCCCACUAUUUAAUAUAAUAUUGAAAAUCCAAUUUUUGCAUCAAAACCCGACACUUGAGUUUUUAUGAAUAAAAUCUCUAUUUAUCACAAUCAACACUCAAUUUGCCACAUCCAUUCAUCAAAUUCAAAUUCUAAAUGCACAGCAGCGAUCAAUACGAAAUUCUGAGAAAAUAAGGUCCCAAAAUAAUUUUCGAAAUUUAUUAAAUAAUUAAAUUUAUUCCGAAAAUUAAUUAAAUAAUAUCCAUAUUUUUCACGAUCCACACUCAAUUUAUAAUAUCCAAUCAUCAAUUUCAAAAUAUGACUACACAGCAGCGACCAGCGCGAAAUUAUGAGAAUUUAGGGUCCUAACAAAAUUUUCGGAAUUUAAUAAAUAAUUAAAUUUAUUCCGAAAAUAAUUAAAUAAUAAUAUUUUAAUAAUUUCGAAUAAUAAUAUAUUAUUAAAUUAUUUAAUAAUUUCGAAAUAUUGAAAUAAAUCAAAAGUAAAUUCCUUUAUGUCAAAUCACAAUUAUACUAAUAUAAACAUCAUUUUAACAUGAACUAAACAUACUUUAAAUUAAACCAACCUCUUAAUCUAAUUCACAAUUAAAUAAACUAAACUAGCCACCUAAGCUUACUUAACUUAGACUAAGCAUACUUAUGGCAUUAUUAACCCUCUAAUCAAGAUUUAGUGAGUUAAACUCACUCAAAUAAUGAGCCGAGCAGACCAAAACGACAGGGACGCCGAGGGGAACAACUUUCUUCAAAGCGGGCCAAGCGUCCGGGGUUGGGAAGCCGGCCAAAACAGCCCAAAACCAGGCUGAGAUAUCCACUAAAACCAUCUGUUGUUUGAGGCAAACGGAGGGCUGCAUGGCGGCGGUUUGGGCGCGAAACCGGCGAGGAUGGGCAACAGCAACUCCAGCAGUGGUUGGCGACAACGAACAGUGGCGAUGGAGGCUCCGGCAGAUGGCGACAAGCAGCAGACGAAGAUUGGAAACUCGGGCUACGGACGACCGAACGGCGGGCUAGCCGGCGAGGCGAGCGCGGGUGAUGCGUGCGGUCGAACGGCGGCGAUGGCGACAAGCGAGCAGGCGGAGGGUGGCCGGUUAGGAGUGCAUCGCGCAAGGGGGUUUGGACGGCUGGUUUCUUCAGCUUUUUCCUCCCCUCUCUCUCUCUCUUCCCAAGCUUGAAGAUGAUGGAGACAAGGGGGAAGUGACAUCCCACCUUUUUGGGAUUAAAUCUCCACCCUCCAUGUGUCACCACCCUAGCCAAUCUUGCCCCACCUCAUGACAUCACUUGUGAUGUCACAAUCCACUAACUCCAAUCUCCCACAACCUUAUUCCAAUAGGUUCAAUUUCAUUUUCCGCCGGGCAUGAAAUCUUGUACAACAAUUCCAAUCAAUUCUCUUCUAAUUAAAGCCCAUAAAUUAAUCCAAUAUUCCUAAUAAGAUUUGUGACACACCAGGACUUCCAAUUUCAGAAUUCAAUCUCAAUUUCACGGUUAAUUUCACUUUGGCACGAUACUAACCCGUCCUGAUCUACCGGGCAGCUUUUAGAAAUUUUCAUGCAUUUGACCUGUGAUUGAUCAAUUCAAGCCACAAUGUACAUGGCAGCUUUUAGAAAUUUUCAUGCAUUUGACCUGUGAUUGAUCAAUUCAAGCCACAAUGUACAUCUUUGAUACAAUGGCGACUUAAACGUCGGUCCAAUGCCGAUUGAUCAGAAUUGUGCGAUCUGGUGGAAUCACCCACACUUGAUCACAUGCCUCCGUCGAGUCAACCUAUCUCCGGUCUCUAAUCGAUUUUUAAUUGUAUCAUAAUGACCCUUGCAGAUUAGCUCGAUCGAAAGGUUGCUUCCUGGUCAAAUUCUCGAGUCUGAUGCAUUAGAAUCUCUUAACGGCUUCACCUGAUAGACUAUUUUUCACAUGAGUGGCCAAUUCAAGGAAAAGAACUAUAUGCGUGCCAACGAAAUGCCCGUCUCAAUUUAUUGAAAAUAGAAUUGGAAAAUCGGGAUGUCACAACUAGUCUAUCAGGUGAAGCCGUUAAGAAAUUCUAAUGCAUCGGACUCGAGAAUUUGACUAGGAAACGACCUUUCGACCGAGUUAAUCUGCAAGGGUCAUUACGGCACAAUUAAAAACCGAUUAAAGACCGGAGAUAGGUCGACUCGACAGAGGCAUGUGAUCGAGUGUGGGUGAUUCCACCAGAUCACACGAUUCUUGUCGAUCGACACUAGACCGACUUUUCUGUCGAUUAGGUACCUUAUGUCCGUAUUUGAAACCUUGAGAUUACCCCGACAACCGAAAGUCAUCAAUGUGUCAAAGACGUACAUUGUGGCUUGAAUUGAUCAACCACAAGUCAAAUGCAUGAAAAUUUCUAAAAACUGCCCGGUAGAUCAGGACGCACUAGUAUCGUGCCAAAGUGAAAUUAACCGUGAAAUUGAGAUCGAAUUCAGAAAUUGAAAGUCAUUGUGUGUCACAAAUCAUUUUAGGAACAUUGACUCAUCUUCGGAAGAUUUUUCAUGUAAGCCGAACUUUUCAGCAAUUAAAUCAGAGAAUGGCUAAUUUGGCUCGAGAAAUUAGUAGGCCCGCUUUUGGUCGUGCUUUUGGGACUCAAGUUGGUUAUAUGGUCAAGUGAUUACGUAAAUUGAAAUGUGGUGAUAUUAGAUUAAUUUUAUGGACUUCAAUUUAAUUCAAUUGGAAGGAAAUUGAAUGAAUUGUGUUGUACAAGAUUUUGGAGAAUUCAUGUCACGGCGGAAAUUGAAAUUGGACCUAUUGAGAAGAUUGUGGUGGAAGAUUUGGGUGAGUGGGAAGUGAUGUCACAGGAGGUCAUGGUGGGCCAUUUUUGUUGGAUUAAAGAAAAAGAAAAGGAAAAAGAAAUGGUUUCAUCUCUCUCUCUCUCCUUCCUCUCUCCCUUCCGUCGAUUUCCCUUUCUCCAUCUCUCUUCUUGCUGCUCGACGGAACCGAGCAGACCAGCGAAGCCGGAGAAGUCGCACACCUCCGCCGGAGCCAGACUCGCCGCCGCACACCGUCGCUUCUCCGCCUUGCUCGCACGCCCUCCACCUUUCUCUUUCCUCCUACAACCGUCGACUUCUUCUUCUUCUUUGUGCUAUUUGAAACCCAACAGCAAGCCAGUAGCUCAGCUCAUCGCCGUCGCACGCCGCUGGACCGCCACUGCCGCCGUUCGUCCCCGCGCAGGCCGUCGCUACUCGCCGCUGCUCCGCACGACUCUGCCCGCCUCUCGUCUACCCCUGCAUCGCAGCUUCUGCCUCAUCUCGUGCUAGAGCUAUUCAGCCACUUCCGGCCACUGUGAGACCCCACCGUUGGCCGCACGGCACCGCCACAGCUCCUCCACCCGUUUCUGACUCAAGCCGGCACCGAAUCGACCCUUUCCCAGCCCCAACCAACAACGCAUAGAGUGGAGAAAAAGUGGGUAUUGCUGUCCGGUUUUGGCCUGUUUUGGCUGGCUUCCUGACCCUCGAAUGCUCGGCCCACCUUGGGGAAAUCCGAUCCUCAUGUCGAUCCCGUCAUUUUGGUCCGCUCGGCUCGCUAAUCCGGUGAAUUUAGUUCACUAAACCUCGAUUAGAGGGUUAAUUAUGUUUAUGGAGGUUUAGUUUAUGUUAAGUGUUAUUAGGUGGUUAGUUUAAUUUAUUUAAGUAUAGAUUAGACUAAUGUGUUUAAUUAACUUAAAGUGUGUUUAAUUUAGUACUAAGUGGAUGUUUAUAUUAAUAUAAGCCUUAAUGUGACUUAAAUGAAUUUAAUUUUGAUUUAAAUAAAUGUUUCGAAAUUAUUGGAUUAUUUAAUAAUAUAUUAUAUUACGAAAAUUAUUAUAAUAUUAUUAUAUAAUUAAUUUUCGGAAUAAAUUUAAUUAUUUAUUAAAUUCCGAAAAUUUUGUCGGGACCCUAUAUUCUCAUAAUUUCGCGCUAAUCACUGUUGUGUAUUCAGAUUUUGAAAUUGAUGGUUGUAUAUUAUGAAUUGAGUGUGGAUUAUGAAAAAUAUGGAUAUUAUUUUAUUUAAUUUUCGGAAUAAAUUUAAUUAAUUAAUUAUUUUCCGGAAAUUAGGCGAUGAUGGCCAAUGACCAGAAUUUUAUGCUGAUCAUCGUGGUGCAAUCCAUUUAUUUAUUUGAGCUUUAUUUUGUACUAACUUGAUUUAUGAGUGAUUUUAAGAUUUAUUCCUAAAUUGAAUAAUCUUUGGUUAUUAAUUGAAAAAUAAUCGGGCAUCGGUUGAUAAUGCCAAAAAUGUUUUGGUAGAUUACAAAAAAUGAUGGGAUAUAUGGAAAGGGUCGAGUGGGACCGUAAAGCCAUUGAAUCUUGAAAUGGUCGAUUGGGACCAUAAAGCCAUUGAAUCUUGAAAGGGUCGAGUGGGACCGUAAAGCCACUAAAUAUAGAAAGUGUCGAGUGUGAUCGUAAAGCCACUAAAUAUUGAAAGUUGCUGAGUGUAGCCGUGAUUACCACUAAAUUUAGAUUUGCCUGGAGGGCCGUGUUUGAGGGUCGAGAAUGAAUAGUCAGAAUGACCGUGCGAUGACCUCGAUGACAUGUAAUCGACUGAGUUGAUUGAUCGCUGAGUCGAUCCGAGCAAGUGAAUUGUUUGAAUUCUAUCACCGUAUAUGCCUGAGUGAUAUGAACAUGAUUGAGUGAUUUGAAUUGUGCUAACCUGCAGAAAGGAACGGAGGCGAGGUAAGUCCUUUAUGUGGUGUGGCUAGGCCACUCUUGGAUGUAUUUUCUUUCUAAUAAGGGUUUAGGGGGUUGAAUUUGCUAAGACAAUGUCUCAUCCCGGUUGUGGGAUUACAAUUUCAGGUCCCUAGAUGGCGGGCGGUCGUGGAGAACCCGAAGCCCUAAGUCUGGAAAGGUGGAAACUGAAUAAUCGGUGAACGUGUCCUGCUAAUUGGUCUUAGGAUAGUUCCCCUUUUGUCGAACUGGUCUAUUUUGUAGACAGUCCAGUGUUGUAUUUAAACCUAUGUUUUUAUAAAUGAGUGUUUGGUAUUGUGAUUAAUUGCAUACUUUUCUAUCCCAAGUUAAAUGUUGUCAGGGGAUUUUUUUCGCUUCCGCAUGCGUAAUAAAAUGAAUGGGUAGACGACGUAUCCAGGGAUGUCGCAUAUUUGAUCGACCGCAGUGGGAUGUGCGCGCACUCGGGGUUCGGGGCGUGACAUGUAGACUAACCCAAACUCAUUCCUAACAAAUGACUAAGGAGAGGGGCCCAUUCUCUUUCUAAUCCAAGCUUGUACACAAACUUUUCUGUCACGAAAAAGGAAAACAAAGGGAAAAAUAGAAAGCUUAUACAUAAAUUUUAUUUCCUUUUUCUUAUUUAUUUGUGUAUCUUCUUAUUAAUUGCUAAGUUGGAUGCACUGUCCAUCUUAGUCAUCUCAUGUGUCAUAGGAGAAUUACCUGAAAGAUCUUAAAUUUAUUGCAAUUGUGACAAUUUAAUUCUAAACUUUUUUUACCAAUUUAGCCCCAAAUCUUUUUAAUUCAAUCCAUCUAAUCAAAUUUGAUUGAUUGGCGCUGAUAUAAAUGUAGGCUGGUGUCAGUCGUUCGGUGAAUGUUAACGUGAAAUAUUUUUUCGAAUUUUCAAAUUUUUUUCCCAUCUUCCCCCUUCCUUUGGCCAAUCAAAGGCGAGGGCCAACAAGGUCACCUCGCAGACCAAUGAUGAGGCUCACCCCCGCUAACCACUAACAAGAGUGAGCCUCACCCAACCAUGGUGAGGCCCUGCUACAUCUAGCGAGGCUCGACCUCACCCAACCAUGACGAGGGCGAGCUUCAACAACCACAAGGUUGACCCUCGCCAAACCUAACCAUGGUGAGCCUAGUGAUAGCGAGGCUGACCUCACCAUGGCUAGGCGAGGCCUCACUAGUGGCCGAGGUGACCAACGUUGAGCCUCGCCCUCGCUACUAACCAACGAGAGUGAGUCUCGCCAUUGGCCAACAAGACUAAUCUAUGGCUGAUGACGAUCAUCUAGAGAAAGGAGGAAGGGAAAAAAAUAAAAAAAGAAAGAAAAAAAGGAAUAAAUAAAAAUUAUUUAAAAAUUCUAAAAAAAAUAAAAAAUUAUCUCGUCACUAAACGGUCUAGCUGAUCAAAUUUGAUCAAAUAGAUUGAAUUGACACAAUUAAAAUGAGUUUAAGGCUUUUUCGAUAAUUUUUCCCAUGUGUCACUCAUUAUCCUUAAAUGUCUGUCCCUCCAAUCCCCUGCCAAUUAAGGCAUCACUCACGAGCUCAAAUGGAAGCUAGCUUCUGUCAGAUGGAAAAAAGUUGGACCUCUUUGUUUGGAAUGAGUUACAAGUCUACUGAGUAGCCUCAUAUUGCGACAUGACAAUUAUGAUUCCAUAAAAUUUCAAAUGCCCAUGACCCUCACGUCUACAUAUGUCUACGCUGAUGAAAAUUAUAGAGGUGAUGGAUGAACAUUUUUCGGCUUAGCCAACCUUUAGGGGUGUCCGACAAAAAACAAAAACCUUAAAGAGGUGUCCUUAGACCGAAAAACAAAAUAAAUUAAAAACCUCAAUGAGGUGUCCAAUGAUGUUGUUGAAAUGCAUGCAAGCAGUUCGAAAAUAUGUUCAAUAGAGACAUUUCUUUCUUGGAAUCAACCGAUGUUGUAAUUCAAAUUUGAAGUCCAAGGUGUAGGCAAGUUAUUUCCUUUGUUUCGCUGAGUCUUCCUUGUAUAUGUCCUUGUCGUUGUUCAUUUCUAAUAUGAUCUUUCUUUGCCUUCGCUAUUCUUACUCGUGGAUUUUUGAAAUGACUACCGUGAAUCCCAUGCACAUGUUGUCUUGGCAAUGCUAAGGGAAUCCGGCUGAGUAAAGAUAUCACCAAGUGAUAUUGCUAUAGUUUUUAUUUUAUUCUAUUGAACAUGUAUUAUUAGGGUGAUGGCGAACCAGUUUAACUCUCUGGUAAUCCGAUGAACAACCCAGUCUCAACAUCUGUACUCCAGCUGCUCCGGCUAUGUAUUGCUGCUGCUCUUGGAUGAGCUGUUGAUUGCCCAGGAUUUGCAAGACACUGAAAUUGGAAGAAAGAAAAAAAAGGACCCAAAAUGCUUUUAAAUUUAAUGAAAUAACAAAUGCAAUUGAAUGGUGAUGAAGACUCUGGAAACCUUCACUGAAUUAAAAUGGGAAAAAGCUUCAACGCAAUUUGAGAUUUACAAGCAGUGAACAAGCCUUUCACUGGAUCAAAUUAGGUGGCGAAGCAUCUGUCUAUGUGCUCAGAUCUAUUAAUUGUCACUGGGAAAUUUCAAUUUUUCCCAACAUCUGACUCUAGAAGAGGUUCUCUCCUCCAUGGUCGGAAAAAAAAAAAAAAACCCUAAAAGUGGUUAGCAACACCAACCAUGCCUACGAACUUCGGUUCCACCUAUAGUCAAUGUCUAAAGUACAGACUAGUAUCUCAUGAAAGUAAUAUCCUCUAUGUUAUUGUAAUUUUAUAAGAAGUGGUCAUAUUAAAAGGCUAUUAGUUUUUGUUAUCGAGUUAGUGUUUUCUACACAGAUCGUCUAAUGUUUACAACAUCAUAGAAAGACACAAACUUUCAUACCUUCUACAAUCCCAUGUUAGAAGCAUAGAAUUGUACCUGAUGAUAGCAAGUUGGGUAGUAGUUUUCUUAACAUUAAUUACUCAGAAACAUCGUGCUACUAAUUUUUAUUACCGUAUUGGUAAUUACUAACUUUUUGAUAUUUUCACUAGGAAAGUUGAAUUUAUCCCAACAACUAACUCUAGAAGUGAUUCUCUCUUCCAUUCUAAUAAAAGACAAGGAUAAAAAAUAAAAAAGCUUGAAAAGUGAUUAGGUACGCCAAAUGUGAUCACUAAAAGUUUUGGCUGCAUCUAUAGUCCCUAGUUGGAAAACCCAAUACGUUCUUCUUGAAAUAAAUAUUCUCAAAAUUGUGAUAUCCACAAUGCGGGUCACUACUCAGUGUUAGUAACCUUUUUCUUUUCAAGUCAGUAACUUCUAAGCAGAUCAAGUAAUGGUCAGCACAGAAAGACACAGAUUUGGGUCCAUCUACAAUCCUACAGUCUUACAGUCUAAUAUACAUAGUUGUAUCUCUUGAUCGUAAUUCCCCUAAAAUUUGUUUUCCCAACAUGAGUUCGUAACUCUGUAUUAGUAACUUCUAUCAUGGAGUCAAUCACUUUCUUAAUAGAUCAAGUGUGGGACCAUAGAAGCACACAGAGAUCUGAGUUUGUCUACAGUUCCAUGCAAAAGAGAUAAGUAGUAUUGUAUCUCGUGACAGUAAAUUUAUCAAUGUGACAGUAAUUUUCUCAACUUGGAUUAGAGGCUUAGUGCUUGAAAUAAGUUUCAAGCAGAUCAUACGGUCUCAAGAUCAUAGAAUUCUUCGGUGAUGUUCAACCUAUCUGCUCUUUUGAACUUAUGCUAUCAAAAACAAAACUUCUCACAGAUGGAGAAAGGUCCAACAUAAAUACAGGUACAUAACCCUGAAAUUAAGUACCUCUCAUUAUGCAUUGUCCUUUUCAUAAAAACUGGUCAUGUAGCAGUACUCUUUAAAGGUUUUAGCACCAGGACCAAUAGAGAGCAAGACAAACUGAUGACCAGCAAAUUUAACCAGGACAACAAACUGUACAGCACACAAUCUACUAAUAUUAAUUUGAUGGACAAAAGCAACAAGCUUCUUCACUACACAAGCGUGUUAGAACAUUAGGGCAAAAACCAUUAUUAAUCAUUAAAGACCUCUCUCGGGUCUUAGCAGAUCAUAGAACUACACUGUUAGAUCAUACAUGAAAAUGAUUGAGAGGUUCUAUUUCAGGUUUCACAAGUUUGUGGAUAGUGGUUAAUAUAUGCACAGAAACGUGAUGAUGCAUGACAAGUGACAGGAAGGAAACAAAAGCACAGAUGGGAAAGAGGGUGACACCUUUGCAAGAAGCUUUUCAUUCUCUUCUUUCAGAGACCUCUCCUGAAGUACACCAAAUAAAGUUGCUAGAUUAAUAUAACCAGGAAUUUAACAAUGCCUGAUGAGAUCGGAUAUGCAUUCAUCAUAUUUGUCCACUUACCUUUGCUUGUAACUGCUGUAUCUGAUCAUUGAAUAAUUGAGCCUGUAAAAGAGUUCCAUAGAAAUAUUUUAACUUUCGUGUGUGUGCAUAUCUUCCCCAUACGUUUCUUAGCACAAGGUGGUAAAAAAAGAGAGAAAAUAAGUUGAAAUGAUGGACGAUAGAAAUGAAAGGACAAUGCUUCGCAAAUUGUCCAGAAACAUAGUUCAAGUGAUAAGUAGUACAUGGAAAUCGGUGAGGUUAAUAUAAUAAAAAAACUCACGAUAUUCUAUUAUUUCGUGCCAAAGAAUGCAGGGUAUUUUUUUUUUUUUUUUGUUUCAUGUUGAUAAGUAUUAAUUUGUGUCAAUAAGUGCCAAGAAACCAUUGAUAAGAAAUGAUCGAUGAAUUUUUUUUUCUUUUUUGGGUCAGAGAAGAAAAGCCAGUCAUUUAACCAAACCAAAUAAACUCGUUAAAUAAUCAAAUAAGAGUUGGUGACACGGAAUUAGUUGGUUACUUAAUCAGAGAAAAGUUAGUAACUCCUAUAAUUAAGAUUGGUAAUUUCUAGUUGGGUUCCUAAGUAAGGCAAACAUUUAUGUGUGUACGAGUCUUAUAAGUGAAGAUGAAGAGGAGUGAAACUAUUUUUAUCAACAGAAUUUAUUUUAUAACUAAGAAAGUGAUAAAGAGAAGAACUAUCUGCUGAAGUUGUUGGCACGUAAGGCAGAUGAGAAACAGUAGACCUCACUCUCCACCAAAGAAAGGGCUAGAGUAGGAAAAAUUGCACUAAGAAACACCAAAUAGGAGAUGGUAAGUUAGUCACACGAAAGUUGGUAACCCAAAUAGAGUUAGUAAUUUAAGUGAAAUAUAAGUUUGUCUUGGUAAAUAUAUAUAAUAGCUAUCACAAUUAAAGAAAUGGUAAAAAAAGAAAAAAAAUUAAAAGUUGAUAAAAAGAAAGAGAUGUUGAUAAUUGCACAUUGUUAAAAGGAGUUGGUGAUUUCAUAAAAGUGUUGGUAAAUUAUUAAUAAAUUAGUUAGAAAUCAGGUAACUGCAAAUUUUUUUAUUACAAUUUUUUGUCACAUACAACUCUUUCAAAAGUUUACCAGCCUUUAAAAAUAUUCAAUCUUUUUUCUGUCGAAAAAGGAACAAUAGAGUCGUCCAAAUAACUCUAGGAAAAAUAAUGAUAGAAGAAUAACCAUGACAUUUUCCUCCUUUAUUGGAAAAAGAGAACGGGUCAGUAACGAUGAAGAAAAAGGGUGAUUUGUGAAUGUGCUUUCAUUCUUUUAUAUUAGGUAGAAAAUGCCACGUAUGCUUGGAGAAAAAUUGAUUCUCUCCUUUCAGACGCCAAGUUUAAUGUGUUUAGUCUACAUGCAACUGCAGUCUUUAUUGAAACUGGUGUUUCCGCUCCUGAAUGCAAUUGCAGUCUCUAUUGAAAUUGGUCAGUCUUGUUAGUCGUUCAAGGGAAAUUGUUUCUCAUUGUUUUCUUUCCCUUCUCACCAUAUCCAUGCCUCCAAAAACAGCAGCUACUCGAUGAAAGUUCUCAAAACACUUUAGGCUCAGAGAAAAGGACAAAUAUGCCAAAGACGCGUGUACCUUUCUUUCCCUAAUGCUGCUCAAACUUCGCUCGAGCUGAUCCCCUAUCUCUUGGAUUUCGUCAAUCGAGCAAGAUCCGAGACAUUGUCCUGAUAGCUUGCUGAUGUAAAAAAGAAAAAGGAGUACCAUAGUUUAGGGAAUUAGAUAUCAAGAAUCCAUUUCGAUCCACAAUUUAUAAGAGAGAAGUCUCAAAAUUUGUGGACCGUAGAGAAACUUCAAGAAGCUCAAUCUUCCUCUCCAUAUCCGUGGUUUCUUGCUUCAGAUGCUGCACAUAUAUGGAGAUUGUGAUAUUUAUGAAUCCAGUGAACGGAAUAAUACAAACUGAACAAAUGUGAAAUUAGUAAAGGAUAAAACCAAUCAUAGUAAACAAAUCUGUCACACCACAGGAUCCUGCAAAACUACGACUGCUACUACAAGAAUCCUAAUGUUCUUGCAAAAUUUGUAGCUGGACACAAACCAUGGUCGCUUCUAUGGCUUAGCGCCUCAGUAAUUCUUGACAUCAAAAGUAGGGUUCUUAUCAAGAACGUGGUUCGAUAUUAUUACGAUCUGCAAAUACUUACGUAUGGGCUCACACCAACUGCCAAUUUCAAAACUUCCUUCCAGAAAACAAUAAGAUGUAGAUGCCCAAGGAGGUGAUGUUUUCGAGGUAUCACGUGGAGGGUGAUGAGUGGGAUUUCAGAAGCUGAAAGCAUUUUAGACGACCAGUUAAUGUCCUGAGGACAUGUACAAAGACCAAAAUAGCACUUUUAAUGUUUCGAUUAACUUGAAACCUAUUUGUCUCUAUACAUAUCAGCAGUUUCUCCUCUCUGCUUCCCAGUCAUUGCCAAACCAGAAAGUAAGUUCAUCCGCAACUUAUCUCGGAUAUAUACACCUUCUCAUUAAGAAAAAACUUACCACAUUAAAGAUACAUUCGGAAAUUGAAUGUCACUUGACUCUAUCCCUCUUUUUACAAGUAUAUCAUCAUCAUUAGUAUGAUCCCUACCUUGUGGUUCUAGUGAUUCAUUUAAAUCAUGUAUGCGGGUAGAUUUCUCAUGUGAUCUUUGCAUAUGAGGCGACUAUUUAUGUAUACACAAGCACAUAUUAUAAGGUUGCUGGGGAAAUAGGAUUUCUCGCCAUCUGUGUUCGUGUAUAGACUUCUUUGUAAGCCCUAUCCUGAAAAAAGUUAUGUUUGAUGUUAUAUGUUAAUCCACCAGGAAAAAAAAAAAAACAGCAGGAAGUUGCUUUCUUACAUACAGCAAAAUGAAUGAAAUCGAACUGCUCAACUUGCUUAACCUCUAAAAAAUGUGCUUGAAUAGUUCAAAUAUGACUAGUCCGACACUAUUGACUUCUAUUGACUAACAAACAUGGCAACUUGUAUAAUUAAACUGAGAAUCUCACUGAACUCCUUAUGAAUGCACCAAAUGUAUUAUCAUGGAAAGGUUAGAGCACUGACCAGAAUAUAUUGUUCCAUAUUAGCCUGGUAUGUAUCCGCACCAUUUGUAGAUCUACGAUAUCGAUCAAUUGUCUUUCGGAUUCUGAAAAAUUUGCAAAAAAAGCAUAUGAGCUCAGCCACUAGGAAUACAUUCUCCAAAUUAAUCAGGUAUCAUCAAAACUAAAGUAAUCAAACAUUAAACAUUAAACAUUAUUAUUUUUGUGAAUCAUGCAUGACUUCCAGUGAAUAUGUAUCACUACCACUCACGAACAGAAUAUGCAAGGACCAUAAGCCUCCGCAAGAAGCUUUUAGCGUCUCAGCAACUUAUUUGCAACUAUGUGAAUUACUUGGAAAAGUCUUGGUUGUCCUCCUUAUACUUUGUAAAUAAUCGACGCCGGAGGGAGUAUAGAGAAUUAGGAGGUAACACAAAUGAGAACUUAAAUGGAAAGCUCGCUCACCAUUCAGAAUUCAUUUAAGAGAUAAAAGCAAAACAAGAAAUCCUUCUUGUUCUGAAGCCAAAGCUAAAUAAGUUAUGAAUCAAGACAAGUCUAUCUUCUCACUCAUCAUAGCAUAUGCUUAUGUAGAUGAGUUUGGAAUGACCCCUUAAGCAUGAGUAAUUGCCAAGACUCAUUCGAAAAUAUGAGACCAUGCCAGCAAGGACUCCGGAAACUUAAACGACAUUUACUAGACCUUGAAAAUAUGAGAAUCAAAUGUAGUUGGUUGUAAGUCUCCUAGUUUUACUAGUUCUGAAUUAAUAAAAUGCUCUAACAUCAAUAACCAUGCCAGCAAUAUUUUCCUUAAAAUUUUAGCGUGAAAAUGUUCAACUUCACAUUAUAAAAGUAUAUUAUGUGCGCACGUGAAGUAUAUUUAAAUAUGAGUGAAUUAAUGCAAUGUUUUUUGCUCAAGCCCAAAGUCUCCAAUAUUCCACACACCACUCUUUGUCAGUAAGAAGUAAGAACAGCACAUGAUGCUUGUAAAAUCAUCAGUUGCAUUGUGAAGCAGUACAAGGACUCACUACUUCUGAGAGAAAUUAUAAGAGCAGAGUUGCACCUACAUUUAACUUGUGACUUCAAGCACUUUUUUUCCCGUAAAUGAAGAACAGGGGGUACUUACAUGGUGGAGCAACUAAAAUGGCAAACUUGUACAAUUGCAGUACUCUAUGAGUAAGAAGUCCAAGAGAUCAACGUGUUGUGUCAUGUUAGCCUUAAUCUAUUAUACUAGUGAAUGUACUCGAUCCCAUAAAAUCACCAUUACACAAAUCUAGUCAAGCCCAUGACCUUAUUCACCUUUCAAAGCAUCGUAUAAUUAAAAGUACCUAAAAUAGAAGAUGUCAGGACUUGUUUCACACUUUUUUGUUUAGGGUUAAAGUACCAUUAAAAAAUCAACUUGAAAUCUUUUGCAUGUUUUGUUUGGUUCAGAAAAGAGAUUAAUAAUGUCUAAGUUUCAAUUCAAUGAACCACGAUUUGAAUUGCUUAUUGAUUAUGGUGGUAGAUAGGUAACACAUUAUUCAAUUUCCCGACUAAUAAAUGUCAUAUAAAAUUCUAGUUUUUGCCUUGUGGUAUGAUCAUAAACUUGAAAGAUGGAUUUGCAUGAUUAACCAUUAUCAGAUAGGGUACAUAAAAUAGUCUUAAUUCAUGUCUAAGUAGUAUAAUUACAACAAACUGAAUUAAACAAGGUAUGGUUUGAAGGCUUCACACUUUUCAACUUAAGUUUGGUUUUCAACUUCCAAGCUAUCAAAUUUGUUUGGGAAAGAUCUACUUCAAAUAGAUUAAUACCUUACUGCAAAUACGUUUAUCAUCAUCAUGCCCCAAGAAUUAGUUAUGGAAAUCAAUCCCUAGAAGCAGCCUUAAAACCUAUAACACUUCAAAAAGGAACACUAUACGGCAUGUUCAUUUCAUAUCAACGUGGAAUUGGGGCAAAGGCUGACGAAAUAAUAUCAGUCCCCAGUGUCACUAACAUUAAAUUAUGUUUUCAUCCCCCAAGAAGUACUAAGUAUUCUAACAUGUGAAGAAGCUGGAAUAGAUCAGUACUUGCAAGAUAUUCAACAAUUAGUUUCCUCGGAAGAACCAUUAAGAAAGAGGGAGUCCAACUCCAACGCUACAGCGUACACAAUGAAUGCCUUUGAUCAUCAAAUCCCCCGCAUCUAGCCAUUUGAUUAGGGUACACCCCAGUGCAAUGACUAUCAAAAAGAAAAGCGAAAAAGAAGAUUUAAUAGUUUCGUACUUCCUUUUCUCAGCUAAUUUCGACUAGGAUAUCUGAAUAAAAGCCAUGUUUUUAAAAAUUGUCCGAAAAUGAGAACCAAAUUGGUCAUCAUGGUGGGUUAGUCCGUGAUCGAAGGGGAAAGACACUAAACGCUUGACCAAAACCAAAAAUGGUAGAAAAGAAAAGGCGAACAAGAAAAAAAACCCAUGCCAUGAUGCUGUCUCUUUUUUACACCUGACAAACACACAGCAUAUAUGUGUGUAUAUGCCCUCCUUUUGGACAUAAUAAUGUUAACAAGGCUCAAUCAUGUUCCUUAUCUAAAACCAUUUCGAGAAAUUAAAAAAUCAGUAUGCAAACGUACUCAGAAUUGCUUGAGAACUCGUAAAGCCUUCCUUUCUGUGAAAAGAUUAUCACAGCGACUUCGGCAUCACAGAGGACCGAGAGCUCGAAAGCUUUCUUCAGUAGCCCAUUACGGCGCUUCAAGAAGGUGACUUGCCGGCUCGUCACAUUCUCAAUUCGCCUCAUCUGAAUUUUGCCUCUUGCCAUGAUCGAAUUGUCCCUACAUACAUGACGGUUAUCAACCCUAAAAUGACAAGUAUUUAAACAUAGCGAUGAACUUAACAAAUAUACCUCAACAAUCAAAAACCACAACUCACCAGUGACUUUGUGCAGCUUCAACCAGCUGAAGAUUUAUCUAGACUUUAGACUGAAGUACUUGAGAAGCUAAAAACACUGCAAGAGAAAUAACUCUCUUUUUUUCAAAUAGAGAUAGACUAUUUCAUCAUUCAAACACAAGUCCAAAAGCACAGGAUAAAGAUUUCACAAAAGCAAUGGUCGGAGAAAUAUGGAUUUGCCCAGCGUAACAAAAGGGGAAGCUUCUCCACUCUAUGUCAGAAAAAUGAACCACAAAAAAUUCAGAAACCCUAAAGAGGGACGAGAGGGCGAAGACGAAAACCAAAAAACUGGGAUGAACGCAAAGGAUACAUUAGCAGUUGAUGGAUCUCUCUUUAUUUUGUGGCCACAAACAUGAAAAGAAGAAAAAAGUUAUUAUUCAAAAUUCAAUGAUCUUCUACUCAGGGCAAAUAUGGCGUGAACCAUGAAAAGGAAAUACAAACAAAAAAGGAAAGAAACAGGGAGGAAAGCAAAGCAUUCAAGGUCAACCAAAACGGCAUGGUUAAUUUGGUACCGAAGAUUCAAAGAAGCAGAUGGAUUCUCUUGUUUUGGUAAAAUUAAUAAAGAGUGUAGAGAGAGAGACAGAGAGACAGAGAAAGAGAGGAAGAGAGAGAAGACAUUUUGUUUUUUCCGAAAAAACGUAUAUUUUUAUUAGAAAGAGCGUAGAGAGAGAGAGACAGAACGACAUGCGAAAGAGAGAGCAGCGAGAAACGAAACAGGUGAAAAGAAAGAGAAAAGGUAGUACGAUAAAUAUGAGAAUUGUCGACGUCAUCGUACCAUGACGUGCGCAGUUAACCAAUGGGACGUUGACCAGUGGGAAAACAUUAUCUCUCGCUCAAAUUCAGUGGGCCUCCACUAGACCCAUGGAAAGAGACCCUGUCUUUUUCUUGGGCCAAGUAGGAACAGCCUCGGCGCUCUUCUUCAAUCGAUUCCCCUCUUAGUGGGUUUGCGAGCACUAGGAGUACUCGAAAUUAUUACCACGAUAAAUUCAUGGGUAAAAUAGAUACCAGAACAAUCCUUUAGCUUAUCUUUCCUUUAUGUUCUUCUUAUAAUUCCUCAUUAUAUAGGAGAGUAAAAAAUACCUGAAACUUUUUGAUUUGGGUAAUAAGUAUGGGAAUUUGGGAAGUUUUAUGCUUUGAUUCGAUUUUUUGUUUUGUUUUGUUUUUUUUUUUUUUGCUUACACACAUGAGAGUUCAAAGGUUACUGAUUAUGAUACACUAAUCCCAUAUCACUUAAUUUUCUAAUUAGCAGAAAUGUGAUCUUCUACGAGACUACUAUGUUUUGAUAGAAGACUAGCAGAGCAAACAUAUCAUAGUGUCAUUGGAACAAAAAUAAGAAAAAAAAAUAACUUAUUAUUUUCAGGAACAAUUUCUAGAAAUAAGUCAUUUUUUUUUCUUUUCUAAUUUUCUUUUGUUCAUCUUCCUUGCCGCAGCCAUCGCCCGUAGCUCGCCACCGUCGCCUAACUACCGGCAACCAUUGUCGUUGCCGCUCGACCGUCGACUGUUGUCACCGCCCACUACCCAUAACCCACCAGUUGUUGUCAGCUGUCGAUGUUUGGCAGUUCAUAAGUAAGAAGAAAAAACAAAUAAAUGCAAAAAAUUAUGAUUUGUACCAAACUCAUUUAUAUUCUUUUUCUAUUUCGAAAAUAUAAAUUUUGUAUAUUAUUUUACUUAGAAAUUAUUCCAAUGAGUAGAAAAAAACUAUUUCUAAAAAGAAAUUAUUCAUCAAAGUUGAAACGUUACCAUGCACAAUCUAAAUAAGUAGCAAAAUUGUAGCACUUUAUAGUUAUGAGUAGACAAAUAAGGCAAAUUGGGCCACUUAUACAUUAUAAUUCUACAUUUAUUACUUAUGCAUUGACAAUAAAGUAAUAAAGUAGAAACAUAUGAGCUUUCGUCUUGCUUCGAGAGAAUAUCUAGUGCUGAAUCUUUAUAGUGGGUAAAGGCUAUGAAUGAAGAGAUGAAAUCACUCCAUUAGAACUAAAAAUGGGAUCUUGCUAAAGUAUCGAAGACCAACAAUAUCAUUGGAAACAAGUGGGUCUACAAAUGGAAGGAAGGCAUCGAGGUAUAAGGUAAAACUUAUUGUGAAGGGUUAUACAAAACAAAAGAGCAUUGAUUACAACAAGGUCUUUUAUCCUAUUAUAAUACAUACUUAUAUUUGAAUAUUACUUGUCUUAAUUGCUACACAUGAUCUCAAGCUAGAACAACUGGAUGUGAAAAUGGCAAUUUUUCACAAUGAGUUCAAGGAAUGGAUUUACAUGAGGCAGUUAAAAGGAUUUGUUAUUUCGGGUAAAGAAAACCAUGUUUAUUUAUUAAAUAAAUCUUUCUACGGGUUGAAACAAUCUCCUAAAUAAUGGUAUAAUUAUUUUGAUGCUUUUAUGGCUGAAGCUAUUCGAAAGUUAGUUGGACAGCUUACUUUAGGAGAUUGGAGGAUGGAUCUUUGAUAAAUCUAAUAUUAUUUGUUGAUGACAUAUUGAUAACAAUUAAGAUUAUGUGGGAAAUUGAUGUGUUAAAGAAGCGGCUAAAUGCUGAAUUUUAGAUGAAAAAUUUGGGUGCUACAUAGAAGAAUAAGAGAUGUCAAAAACACUUAUCGGAUCAACCAUAUGAAGAGAUUUUGUUUUAAAUUAUGGUGUAAAUUUUGCUUGCAAUUGGGUUGAUUAUUUGUAAAUACUAUGGGUUUAGGUAUACUUUAAUUGUAGGAAAUAAUUGAACAUGUAAACGAUUAUUAAUUCUAUGAUUCUCCAAUUAUUAAUAGAUUAUUUGCUGCUAGUCCUUCUUGUUGAAGAGUUACCGACACAGAGACCAAACCACGUAAAUUCCUAAAGUUUUCUCUUGGUCCUGACUUAUUUCUAUGGUAAUUUUGCAUUGAUUUAAUUUGCAAGAUCCAAUGUUUUCCACAUUAAUUUUACAAAGUUUAGAAGGACAAGUCACCAUAUCAAUUAUAAAAUACAAAAGAUGAGGACAACAUAGCUAAUGCAAUGUGGAUUCAUGAGGACACCAAAAUAGCACAGGCCUUUGAUUAAAUAACAUAUCGAUAACAUAGGCCUUUAAUUAAAUCGCAUAUCUUUACUAAUAUAUUAAGCCAAAGCAUGCACCUUAUGCAUACGACCAACAUGCGCCAUUUGUCAUGUUUCUACAUCACAAUAAUCUUGAACCUCUCAACUAUUCCACAUUUUUUUUUCAAUAAUUAUGUACAUUUUAUAGUGCAAACAUCAACAUAGUUGGAGAGCAUCUUCUCUCUACCAACUCAAUACGGAGGCACGUCUUCAAAACGAAGAUGCAAUACAGCUUCCACAGCUGCUAAUACUAAUUUAGUAUCUUGGACAAAAGGCAAUAGUAACAUUCUCAAUGAACCUUAUACCAAGCUAAAAGGGUGCUAAGCCAGAUUCAAAAAUCUAAAUACCCAAGGAAUCACACAAAUAUUUGUUAGGGGAUGGCGGAUAUUUUCUCCUUUAGCAAACCAACAACCUUAAGUCAAGUUGACAAAUAGAGUGUGUUUAGAAACUCUAUCUUACAUUUGUAGUUAUCUCCCUGCCAUUCACAGUAUCUACAUGUAAUAGUUGACACUGAGAAAAUUAUGUAUGUGUAUGUCUAAAUUAAGUAAUGGUUAAGUAUUGGAGAAGUAAUGCUAAAUCAUGCAUUGGCAUAAUAUACACAUCAUUGAUUCAUUAAAUAUUUCAACACGUGGUUCAUUAUUUCGACACAUAUAAAAUGGGUAUUGUGGAAAGUAAUCAUUUGGUUUAUUGGUAGUUUAAUUAAAAUGAUUGGAAAAGAACUACUCAUUACAAAUAGUAUUUUACAUAAACAGAUAAUUCAAUUUUACUUUUAAAAAAAUUUCAAAGAGAUUAUUGUCAUUCUGAUGAAUGGGAUUCAUUCAAAUAAAUUUUACAUUUAAAAGUACUCUUACUUGAUAAUGAUUUACUUCUUCACGUCACUUUCUUAGGUUUAUUUGAUGCACACAAUCCCUUUUUCUUAUUUAUGAGGACACUAAGGUACUUUUCUUGGCAUGGGAUUGACUCAUUCAAGACAAUAUCCUUGUUUUAACAAAAGGAAUUAUUGUAGUAUGAUGUUUUAUAAAUAAAUAAAAAAAUCACAUUACUUGUGAUCUCCUGAAUUUUCAAUUCUAUUUUCAAUUGAAUGAAUCGGAAUUUUUAUCGAUGCACCUACAAUUCUAUUCUCUAAGCUAAUCACUCACGAGAUAACUAAUCCAUCUGGUGAAGCCAUUAAGGGAUUUUAACGUAAUAGAUUUGAGAAUUCGACCAAAAAUAUGCUAAUAUUCAAGGGUCAUUACGGUAUAGUUAAAAAUCGAUUAGAGACCGGAAAUAGAUCGACUCGACCGAGCCAUGUGAUUAAGUGUGGGUGAUUCUACUUAAUUUCAAAAUUCUCGUCGAUCAGCACUAGACCGAUUUUUCUUUCGUUUAAAUACCUUGUGUCUGUAUUUGAAAUCUCGAGAUUUCCACGACAAUCGAGAGUCGCCAAUGUGUCAAAUAUAUACAAUGUAGCUCGAAAAUAAUCGACCACAGGUCAAUUGCACUAAAAAUUCCUAAAAUUUAUGUCAUGUCAUGAUUUAAUUUAAGACCAUCGACUCACCCUUCGAAAAAUUUUCUGCAAACCAAGAUUUUUGGCAAAAUUUCAAAAUAUGGCCAUUUUUGUCCAGGAAAAUCAUAUGACCGUUUUUUGUCGCAUUUUUGGGAUUCAAGUUGGUUCAAAUGGUGAGGAAAAAUGUUGUAUUUGACGAGGACACCUUGGUUGAAUUUAUAGACGUCAAAUUGGAUUCAAUUGGGGGGGGGAAUGAUUCAAUUUGGGGGAAAUUGGUACAAAAUUCGUUGGUCCCUUCGUGUGCAACAUUUGAGGCAUCAAUGAAGCUUCCAAGGGAAGAUUGAGGGCUACAAAUUGGCUUGGAUGACAGCCAAGACAAGUGGGGGCCAAGCAAUGAUCAACUAAGGGAUAUUUAGGCAUUUUUUCGCCCCUCCAAGUGCAACUAUCUUCUUCUUCUUCUUCAGUAGCUUGCUUUAUCCAUUUUUAGACCACUCUUGAAGCUUGGAGAAACCAGAGAAAAACCGACAACCAUCCCCCUAGCUCGUCGCACGCCCGCCGAGCCACCGGAGCCACCGCUCACAUCGCACGAGCCCAUUGCGCGUCGCCCUGCCAGUCCGUGCCUCCUACUUGUCGUCCCGCCUGUCCCGAGCCACCUCGCCGUCCCCCAAGUUGCCCAGGCCACCGUCGAAGCCCCCUGGCUAUCGUCCAGUCGCCGUUCACCUCCACCUAGCCCGCUGCAGCCGCCCGCCAGCCCUCCUUACCGUUUCAACCCAGCCAGCAGCCCCGCACCAGCUCCUUCGGCCCAAGGUCAGUGGCCGAAGCCAACAAGGGCUUUGAGACUUCAAGACCCGUUUUCAAGCCCAUCUGGUCGCCGCUUGGUGUCGUCACAUGAUUGUUUUGUGCCCGUCUUUAUGUCGUCGUCGUCGUUGUGAAUCACCGGAAUGCUAAACUGGUGAGUUUACUUGCUAAACUCUACUUAUGGAAUUAAUGACCAUUAAUGGGUGAUUAAUUUAGGAUAAAAUAUGAGUUAGGUUGUUAGUUAGCAUGGAUUAGUGAUUUAAUUAUUAAUUGUAUAUGUUAGGUGGUUAGAAUAGCCUAAUUAAAGACUAGAUAAGUUGUAUUAUUUAUCUAGACAGGUUCGAAAAUUUUUCAGGCCUGUUCGAGUGGUUAAUUAGCAUUUCCAGCCUAAAUUUGCAUUUUUGGUAAUUAAUUGUAUUUAUUUAAUUAUUUUUUGUAUUUAUUUAUUAUUUAUUAUUUAUUACUUUCUGGAAAUUAUACUAGGAUAGCCGGUGACUGGAAUUUUGCGCUGAUUACAGUGGUAUGCUUAGUUUCUGCAAUUGAAUGCUAUUUUGUGCAAAUUGAGUGGUGAUUGUAAUUUUUGGUAUUUAUUCCAAAAUUGUGUAAUUUCGGUAUUUAAUCAAAAAAUACCGAGCCGUCGGUUUUUUAUGCCAAAAAUAUUUUUAGGCACUAUAUUAAAUGGUGGGAUUUUGAAAAAAAAUAUAUAGCAUUUUGGCUCAGACCGACUGUGUACUCACACACGAUUAUUUUUAUCGAGUGUUUUUAACACGAUUAAAUUAGACCAAGUUCAUUAUUUUUAUUGAGAAAUUGGUUUACAAAGCACAAGGUCCUUGGCCGAGAUUGAUUUAUUGUGUAUCAGCUUGUGUGAGCAUUGAUUGUCAGCUUGUGUGAGCAUUAUUGAAUCGUCACCUUGUGUGAGUAAUGAUCAUCAGUGUUACGCCUCGAUUCUCGAGCGCACGCCUAUCCCUCACCUGGUUGAUUAAUCUUGAUGUCCCAGGAUGCAUCGCCGACCCUUUUGUUUUAAUACGCAUGCGGAAGCAGAUAUAAAAUUCAUAAACAACAAAACAAUAGGAUAAAAAAGUAGGACUAAAAACUCGAACCUGAAAAUCAAUACACUUAUAUACAUAUAUAACAACUCAAUCAUAUAUGUACAUAUACAAGCCACACUGAAAAGUCAGUUCCUACACAAAUAGGUUCAACACCAACAAGUCAUCAAACAGGAGUGGGGGUCUCAAUCUUCAUCUAGGUCAUACUCUGGAUCAUCCUCGGGGUCUUCCUUCAAGUCAUCCUCUAGUUCCUCUUUAGGUUCUUCUUCAGGUUCCUCCUCCUCCUCCUGUUCAACGAUCUCUCCUUCUUCUUCACUCCAAUUAGCGUCCUCAGCUGAGUACACUGGAGAGUCAGAUUCGUCCUUAAGCUUAGGAUCAUUUGCAUUCACCACCGAUCCAUCUUUAGGGUCUAUUGUACCCUUACCAAAAAUAGUUUCCAGAACGAACCAAAGUACAUUAGAUUCUAGCAUAGGGCUCUCCCUUCGCCCAUCAUGAAAGUGGCGAUACCAUGACCAGUACUUAUAAGGCACCUUAUCGAGUACAUUCACGUCAACCCAAACAGUGGACUUCACUAGUACAUAUUCUAAUCUUUUAGGGUGGAGGUGUAUCGGAAAAUGAUAACCUAUUUCUGUAAUCUCCUCCGAUAUACCAAAAUGUGCGAGAGGGGGCGGGGGUGCUGCCAAUAUGGACCUGAAAUGUUAUCCCACAACGGAGUGAGACGACGUCUCAGCAAGUUCUGCCCCCUAAGACCCGAUUAGGAAGCCAAUAUGCCCUAAAGGCUACCUAAGCACAACAUGAGUUAGAGGAUUUACUUUGGCCUCAGUUCCAUCCUGCAAAUCAAUAACAUUUACAGAUGCCUCAAAUCACAUCAAUCACUCAAUUCGUAACAUCAGAUCAAAUCAUUAAGCAAUCGACCUAAUCGAUUACAUAUCACUACGACCUCUCCCUGAUCGAUACAUUCAAUACCAUCUAUUCUCCAAGAUGGUAUAUCUAGUCACCGAGCCAAUGUGCAUUUUCCAAGAUGACAUACCUAGCCACUGAGCUCACGUGCAUUCUCCAAGAUGACAUACCUAAUCACCGAGCCCACGUGCAUUCUCCAAGGUGAUAUAUUGAAUCACUGAGCCAACAAAUAUAAUGUCUUUCUCUGAGAUGACAUUCUUAAUCAUCGAGCCAACAUAGUAUGGCAUUCUUUCUCACAUUUUAUCAUAACCGAUAAAAUAGUCGUGUGUGGGUAUACGAUUGGCCUUAACCAAAAUAUAAUAAUUUCACUUUCACAAAUCCCAUAAUUUCAUAUGGUCCACCAAAAUAUUUUUGACGUUGUAAACCGAUACUCAAUUAUUUUCCAAUCAAUUACCAGAAUUAAUUAAUUUAGGAAUAAAAUGCUAAAAUCACAAUUAAAUCAAUUCAACACAAAUUAAAGCUCAAAUAAGUAAACAUACUACACCAUAAUAAUCAGCAUAAAAUUCCGGUCAUCGACUAUCCAGUCUAAUUUUCGAAAAAAUAAAUAAUUAGUUAAAUAAUUACGAAAAUAUUAAAUAAAUAGCAAUAAAUCUAAUUUAUGCCCGUAAUACCUAAUUGGAAGUCGAAACAGACCCAAAAAAAUUUCAAAGUUCGUUGAAUAAAUAAUAAAUCAUGUUACUCGCUAAAUGCACUAACCAUUUGCCUAACAUGCAUUGAUAAGGCACUAAUUUAAUUGUUCUACUUUAAUCUAUCCACCUAAUUAUACUUAAUUAAUUCUAAUCAACCCUUAAGCAUCAUGUGACCUCCCGAUUUUUCAAUUCUAUUUUCAAUAAAUUGAGACGGACAUUUCUUUGGCACGCAUAUAGUGUUUUUCCUUGAGUCGGCCACUCAUGUGAAAACUAGUCUAUCAAGUGAAGCCGUUAAGAAAUUCUAAUGCAUCAGACCCGAGAAUUUGACCAGGAAGCGACCUUUCGACCGAGCUAAUCUGCAAGGGUCAUUACGGCACAAUUAAAAAUUGAUUAGAGACCGGAGAUAGGUCGACUCGAUGGAGGCAUGUGAUCAAGUGUGGGUGAUUCCACCAGAUCGCACAAUUCUGGUCGAUCGGCACUAGAUUGACGUUUCUGUCAAUUUGGUACCCUGUGUCCGUAUUUGAAACCUUGAGAUUACCCUGACAACCGAAAGUCGUCAAUGUGUCAAAGAUGUACAUUGUGGCUUGACUUGAUCAACCACAGGUCAAAUGCAUGAAAAUUUCUAAAAGCUACCCGGUAGAUUAGGACGCGCUAGUAUCAUGCCAAAGUGAAAUUAACCGUGAGAUUGAGAUCGAAUUCUGAAAUUGGAAGUCAUGGUGUGUCACAAAUCUUAUUAAGAACAUUGGAUUAAUUUAUGGACUUUAAUUGAACUCAAUUGAAAGAGAAUCGAGUGGAAUUGAAGAAGUUGUUGUACAAGAUUUUAUACCCCAUCGAAAAAUGAAAUUGAACCUAUUGGACUAAGAUUAUGGAAGAUUGGAGUUAGUGGAAGAUGACAUCACCUUAUGUCAUGAUGGUUGGGCCAUAUUGAAGGAGAUCUUGACAAGUGAAUGGUGGGGAUUGGCUCUUGUAAAAGUGGGCUAUCAACAUCAUCUUCAAGCUUGGGAAGAGAGAGAAAGAGGGGAGAGAGAGCUUCGACCGGUUACAGCAAGCUUCGUUCGCCCCUUCGCCGUCCGCUCGUUCGUCACAAUUGUUGCCGUUGCUGCUGCGGUCACCGCUCGUCCGCUCGCCAGCUCACGCCGCUGCCUCGGCCACGCCUUCGUCCGCUCGAGCCUCCAACUCGUCAUCCGGCGUCCUAGCUGCUACUCAACGCCGUUGCACUUCGCCGGAGUCUCCAUCGCGGCCGCACGUCCUCGCCAGCCACCGCCCGAGCUACCACCCCUCUCCUCCGCCGUUCCUCCGCCUGAACCAGCACUGGAUCAACCCCUUCUCGGCCUCAACCAGCAGCUCGCCGAGUGGGUAUUGCAGCCUGAUCUUGGCCCAUUUUGGCCGACUUCCCGACCCCGAAAGCUUGACCCGCUUUGAGAAAAGUUGUUCCCCUCGGUGUCCUCGGCGUUUUGGUCCGCUCGGUUCGUUAAUCAGGUGAGUUUAACUCACUAAAUCUUGAUUAGACGGUUAAUGAUGCCCUAAGUGUACUUAGUCUAAGUUAAGUAAGUUUAGGUGAUUAGAUUAAUUAAUUUGGUUAAGGAUUAGAUUAGGGUUUUUAAUUAAGUUAAAGUGUGUUUAGUUUAAAGUUAAAUAGGUUUAUUUUAAUAUAAGCUUUGAUGUGACAUAAAGGAAUUUACUUUCGAUUUAUUUAAAUGUCUCGAAUUUAUUAAAUAAUUUAAUAAUAUAUUAUUAUUCAAAAUUAUUAAAAUAUUAUUAUUUAAUUAUUUUCGGAAUAAAUUUAAUUAUUUAUUAAAUUUCGAAAAUUUUGUCAGAAUCCUAAAUUCUUAGAAUUUCGUGCCGAUCGCUGUUGUGUAGUCAGAUUUUGAAAUUAAUGAUUGGAUAUUAUAAAUUGAGUGUGGAUCGUGAAAAAUAUGGAUAUUAUUAUUUAAUUAAUUUUCGGAAUAAAUUUAAUUAUUUAAUAAAUUUUGAAAAUUAUUUAAUAAAUUUUGAAAAUUAUUUAAUAAAUUUUGAAAAUUAUUUUGGGACCUUAGUUUCUUAGAAUUUCGUGUUGAUCGCUGCUGUGCAUUUAGAAUUUGAAUUUGAUGAAUGGAUGUGGCAAAUUGAGUGUUGAUUGUGAUAAAUAGAGAUUUUAUUCAUAAAAACUCAAGUGUCGGGUUUUAAUGCAAAAAUUGGAUUUUCAAUAUUAUAUUAAAUAGUGGGGUUUGAAAAAGUGACCUAUUGGUUUUCUGGAUCGAAAUUAACUUGCCCCCACACACGUGGUUAAUUUCUGGACUAUUUUUAAUAUGAAAAAAAAAUGGUCGGGAUCACUAUUUUAAGUGGAAACAUCGAGUGAAAUGCAAAGUGUCUCGACCGAAUAUGAAUUGUUGUGUGAUAAUUGAGAGGAGAUCGUCUCUAGGCUGUUGAGCCAGACUUACCCCUAUAUGGGAUGCCCACGCAGUGGUUGCAGGUCGCAGUUGAUUCUGGGCCUAUACUCCUUCGGGAAUGCCGUCAACGUACUGACGAAGCCGUGCUCCAAGGUGGGGAGGCGAUGCCUGGCUAUAUGCCAGUAGAUAGCCGAACUGCAAGUAGGCUAUGCUCUUGUGUGGUAGUCAAUAACAAUUGGAAUGCAUGUUGAGUGUUGAUGUGUCGAAUUAUGGGACGGAAUUGUGUGGCAUGGAAUGUGACGUGUCAUAACGAUUUAGUCUUAUAAUCAGGACCCUCGCGGUUGUUGGUUAUAUGAAAGUGAAUGCGUUCCGGUUGUUUAAGUUCUUAUUACUGCAUAUGAUUGAGUGAUAUGAAUUGUGCUAACCUGCAGGAAGGAACCAAGGCGAGGUAAGUUCUCUAUGUUGUGUGGCUAGGCCAUCCUUAGGCGUAUUUUCUUUCUAAUAGGGGUUUAGGGGGUUGAACUUGCUGAGACAUUGUCUCAUCUCGGUUGGGGGAUUACAAUUCCAGGUCCCUGGUGGACAGAACGGCUAGAUAGCUUUGGUUGACCUUGAGGAGUUGUAGAGGUGAAGUCAUGAGUAUUAGAGAACGUGUCCGACUUGUAGGUCGUAGGGCAGUUCAUUUUUAAAAGCCGGUCUUUUGUAGACUUUUGGGUGUAGGCCUUCGUUUGUAACUCCAUUGGUUUAUGUAAGUGAUUGGUUGUGAAUUUGCUUCCUGUUUUUCUAUCCCGUAUUUCAUUGUGAGGGGUUUUAUAAUACGUUCCGCUUGCGCAAUAAUAAAUGAAUGGGGCCGGCGACACUACUUGGGAAUGUCACAUUUACAUGACCAUGGUGGGAUGGUGGCGCGCUCGAGGUUCAGGGCGUGACACAUCAUUAGUUUACUAAGCGGGGUUUAGUGAGUAAAACUCACUUGUUUAACAAGCAGUUCAGUGCAAAAUGACGAGAACGUCGCGGGACUCAACUUUCCUCAAGAUGGGCCUAGCAACCGAGGCUCAGGACUAUCUCUAAACGAGCAUAGAGCUUGCUGGAAAACCCUCUAGUUUAUCCUCUGUUCUUGGCUGCAAGCAAAGAGAACAAGGGCUAAACAAGGCAAGCAAGACCGGUGAAGGCUCAAGGAAGGCUGCACGAUACUUGGUGGGCUUAAUGGCAGCUUCGGCGGGCUUCCAUAGCCACUCAUGGCGGCUGGACAGCCACCUGGGUGCAUGGACAAAGGUAAACGACAGCUGGGACACACGGACAAGGCUGUUGGACGUCGAGCUAGGCAGUGGCGCAGCAAGGUAGCGGCAUGAGCGGACGGCUAUGAUAGCGAGGGCGUGCGACGGCGGGGUUCCUCCAACAGGUGGCUGGCCUUGGUUGGUCUUUUUGUUGGCUGCUAGUGUGCGAAAAUGAAGGACAUGGAGAGGCAAAGCCAGCUGGUUGCCUUAGUGAGGAAGAGAGGGGGAUAAAGGCUCCACCAAUGGCCAAAUUUUCCAUUCCCUUAUCUCCUUGACUAUCCACCACCACCCAUGUCUUCCUUGGCUGCAAUUCAGCCACCCAUACACUCUCCACAACUCUUGAAAUGGUCCAAAAUGGGCUAGGCAAGGAGGCAUACGAAUUUGACAAGCUUUGGCUUCAAUUGGACUUGAUUUCCUUUACAAUCCAAUCUCAUUUGGCCAUUACAAAUUCAAUUGACACAUCAAUUAUUAAAUUGGUAUUUUUCCUUACCAAUUGAUCCAUCUUACAUCUCAAUUGCGCAAUAAAAAAUGAUCCCGGCCUUUUUCUGAACAAAAAUGGCUUUAGGACGACUUUUUCCCAAAAAGUCUCUAGUUGCAAAAAAAAAAUCUUUUGAGAUUGAGUCAAUGCUCUUCGUAUUUAUUGCGACAUGACAAAAUCUUCAAUUUUUGAAAUCAGACUCAAAUUCGCAGUUAAUUUCCAUUCGGAGCGUUUUUAGCGUGACUUAGACUACCGGAUAACUUUUAGAAAUUUUCCAAUGCAAAUAACCUGUGGUCGAUUUUCUUUGAGCCACAAUGAACCCACUCGACACAUUGGCGACUCUUAAUUGUCGUGAAAAUAUCGAAAAUUCAAAUAUGGACACAAGAUACCAAAACGAUAGAAAAAUUAGUUUAGUGCCGGCCGACAAGAAUUUUCCAAUUUAGUGGUGUCACUCACAAUUAGCCACACAUCACUAUUGAACCGACCUAUUUUUUAUUUCAAAUCAAUUUUUAACUGUACCAUAAUGACCUCUAAAGAUGGACACGGUCGAGAAGCCGAUUUGUAGUCGAAUUCUCAAGUCUAUUGCAUUAAAAUUCCUUAAUGACUUCCCCAGAUAGUCUAGUUAUCUCAAGAGUGAUCAACUCUAAGAACAGCCUUAUAGACGCGUCAAUAAAAUGCCCAAUUUAUUCAAUAGAAAACAGGAUUAAAAAUCUAGGAUGUCACAAUCAGCUUAUGUAUCAGCUUGGGUGAGCUUUAAUAUGUAUAAGCUUGGGUGAGCUAUGAUAAAUAUCAGCUUGUGCAAGCAACCAUCUAUAUCAGCCUGCGCGAGCAUAAAUAUACUUUAACUUGUGUGAGUAGUGAUCGAAUUGAUUGAAUAGGUAAAUGGUAUCGAUUGGAUUGAAUUGAUUGGUUGAAAUUAUGAACUGUAUUGACAUGCGAAAGGGAAUUGAGGUAAGGUAAGUCUUCUAACUUGUGUGUAUAGCUGCCUCUAGGCAUAUUUCCUUCAUAGUCGGAAUUUAGGGGGUGAAUUUGCUGAGACAUUAUCUCACCCCGUCGUGGGCUCAACUUUUUCAAGUUCUUAGAUGGCGAUUCCUAUGGAAUGUUUUGGCCAACUCAAGAGGAUUACCGAGUAGGUCAUUGAUAUUCCUAUUCCCGGGGGCCAUGGAGUCUAGGUCUAUGAAUUCGUGACGACCACCGUCUGGGUCGAUGGUCUAGGUCGAUGCGGGCCUACCUCAAAGGGUACCCCAUCGAUUCAGAGCGUGAUAUCGUCACAGGCUCAAUAGACACAGAGAGGGUCCCCUACAGGAUUUUGAGGUCCUAGUUUCAACGUUAGAAAUCAAUUUUAGCAAGGGUACAACUGACCCUCCUAGUGGUGCAGUAGCGGACCAAAAUUCCCAAGAGACCUCGGAAUUUUCAGUUGGGGAUUCGAGUGCCUAGAGGACUUGUAGGCUUUUCUGCUUUGCUAGACUUUUGUCUUUAGACUAGUCUUGUAUAUAAACCGAGGUAUUUAUAAAAGUGUUUUUGGUUGUGAAUAUGUUUCUUGCUUUUCUAUCUCUUGUUGGUUGUUGUUAGGGAUACUUAUUUUGCUUCCGUAUGUGCAUUAAAAUUGAAUGGAUCAACGACGCAUCUUGGGACAUCACAAAUUUAUCAACCACCGAGGAAUGGGCACGCGUUCGAAAAUCGAGGUGUUACAUUAGUAUUGCAGUAUAGUUGACAAGCUGGCCAUGGAUCUUGGUGUAGACCAACCCAAAUUUAAUCUUGACAAGUGGCUAGAGAGAGGAUCCCACUAUCUUUCCAAUCCAAGCUCGUCCAUAGAUUUUUCUAUCACGAAAAAGGAAAACAAAGUGAAAAAUAGAAAGCAUAUACAUAAAUUUUAUUUCCUUUUUCUUAUUUAUUUGUAUAUCUUCUUACUAAUUGCUAAGCUGGAUGCACUAUAUAUCUUAGUCAUCUCAUGUGUCACUUAUUAUCCUUAAAUGUCUAUCCCUCCAAUCCCUUCCAAUUAAGGCAUCGCCUUGGGAACAUUCAUCAUUCACGAGCUUAAAUGGAAGCUAGCUUCUGUUAGAUGGAAAAAGUUCGACCUCGUCGUUCGGGAUGAGUUACAAGUCUACUGAAUAGCCUCAUGUUGCAACAUGACAAUUUUGAUUCAAGAAUAUUUCAGAUGCCCAUGACCCUUAUGUUUGCAUACGUCGACAUGAGGAAAAUCAUAAGAGGCAAUGGAUGAACAAUUUUUCGCUUUGCCAACCUUUAAAAGGUGUCCGACCAAAAACAAAAACCUUAAAGAGGUGUCCUCAAACCAAAAAAUAAAAUAGAUUAAAAACCUCAAAGAGGUGUCCAAUGAUGUUGAAAUUUACGCAAGCAGUUCGAAAAUAUGCUCAACGGAGACGUUUCUUUCUUGGAAUCAAUCGAUGUGUAACUCAAAUGUGAAGCCCAAGGUGCAGGCAAGUUAUUUCAUUCAUUUCGCUAAAUCUUCCCCGUAUAUGUCUUUGUCAUUGUUCAUUUCUAAUAUGAUCUUUCUUUGCCUUCGCUAUUCUUACUCGUGGAUCUUGGAAAUGACUACUAUGAAUCCGGUGCAUAUGUUGCCGUGUCAGUGCUAAGGAGAAUCUAGCUGAGUAAAGAUAUCACCAAGUUAUAUAGCCAUCAUUCUUAUUUUAUUCUAUUGAACAUGUAUUAUUAGGGUGAUGGUGAACCAGCUUAACUCUCUGCUAAUCCGAUGAACAACCCGGUCUCACCAUCUGUACUCCGGCUGCUCCGGCUAUGUAUUGCUAUUGCUCUCGGAUGAGCUAUUGAUUGCCCCGGAUUUGCAAGACGCUGAAAUUGGAAGAAAGAACGAAAGGACCCAAAAUGCUUUUAAAUUUAAAAAAUAAAAAAUGCAAUUGAAUGGUGAUGGAGAACCUGGAAACUGUCACUCAAUUAAAAUGGGAAAAAGCUUCAACGCAAUUUGAGAUUUACAAGCAGAGAACAAGCCUUUCAUGGGAUCUAAUUAGGUGACGAAGCAUCUGUCUAUGCACUCAGAUCUAUUAAUGGUCACUGGGAGAUUUCAACUUUCCCAACAUCUUACUCUAGAAGAGGAUCUCUCCUCCAUGGUCAAAAGAAAAAAAGAAAAAGAAAAAAACUCUAACAGUGGCUAGCUACGCCAGACAUGACUACAAGCUUUGGUUCCACCUAUAGUCAAUGUCUAAAGUACAGACUAUCUCAUGAAAGUAACAUACUCUAUGUUGUAAUUUUUUUUAACAGUAGUCAUAUUAAAAGGCUAUUAGUUUUUGUUAUCAAGUUAGAAUUUUCUAAACAAUCCACUAAUGGUUACAGAAUCAUAGAAAGACAUAGGAACUUUCAGUCCUUCAACAAUCCCACGUUAGAAGUAUAGAAUUGUACAUGAUGAUGGUAAGUUGGGUAGUACUUUCCUCAACAUUAAUUACUCAAAACAUUGUGCUACUAAUUUUUAUUGCCACAUUGGCAAUUACUAACUUCGUGAUAUUUUCACCGGGAAAGUUGAAUUUAUCCCAACAACUCUAGAAGUGAUUCUCUUCCGUUCUCAAAAAAGACAAGAAUAAAAAAGCUCGAAAAGUGACUAUGUAUGCCAAAUGUGCUCACUAAGAACUUUUGCUGCAUCUAUAGUCCACAGUUGGAAAACCCAAUAUAUUCAUCCGUGAAAUAAACAUUCUCAAAAUUGUGAUAUUCACAACGUAGGUCACUAACUUAGUGCUAGUGAUUUUUUUCUUUUCAAGUCAAUAACUUUCCAAGCACAUCAAGUAAUGGUCAUGGGAGCACAAAAAGACAGAUUUAGGUCCGUCUACAGUCCUAUAGUCCAAUACACAGUUGUGUCUCUGUUGGAGAAAUCUUUCCAGAAUAUUUUGAAGCUGACAAAACAUUUCUAUCAGUCUAAGUCUGGAUAUCGAUAGUUAAAGUCUCAAGAUUUUAUAGUCUCAAGACUCUGUUAUCUCAAGACUCAAGACUCAAGACUCAAGACUCAAGACUCAAAGUUAUUCUCACUGACAGUCUUUCUAAUCCAGUGUUGAAGGAAAUCCAAAGUCGAGGUUUAUGAUUGAGGAUUUGAUCCUAUCCUCUGGGAUAGAUUCUUUGGUUGGAUAAUCAUUUCGGAUUCUUUAUAUCUUAUCUAAGAACGAUUGAAGAUCCGAUGGUCGACGAAAUAAUCUUGGAUUAUUCUAUUCUUGGAAACCGAGAUCCUGAUUGUAUGGGCGAACAGGAUUGAUGGGCUAUCAUCAGAUUCCUUAUAUAGCUCGGAUGAUCUUCUUGAUUGAUUCCGUCCAACGGGUAGAUUGGAGGAAUUCCUUUGGUAAGUGCCAACGGCUAUGAUGGCAUGAAGGAGUAUAAAAGGAAGACGUUCUAGUUGUUUUAAGUGUGUGAUCGAUAGAAAAAUUCCAGAGUCUGAAGAUCCUUUGAUUGUUAGUUGAGACUGAGCGAAAUUGUAUACUGAGAGUGUUUAUACUUGGUGACGUCUUGAGCAAGUGUGGUAGAUCAUCUACACCUAGAAAUCAAGGAAGAUCAACACUGUAACAUCUCUUUGAUCAUAGUGGAAUCCAGCCAAUCGGCUGUCAGUGCAGAAGAGUGGACGUAGGCUUGAAUCAAGCCGAACCACUAUAAACUGAGUGUUCAAUUCUCUCUUUCCCUUACUCAGUCUUGCGAUUGAAUUUUCAACUGUUGCAAAGUCUCUAAUUGUUUAAGUAUCGUGCAAACAUCGAGAAAUUUUUUGUGUAUACCUAUUCACCCCCCUCUAGGUACUCGUACUAGCUAUCUCAGUCUCUUGAUCACAAUUCCCAUAUAAUUUGUUUUCCCAGCAUGAGUUCGUAACUCUGUACUAGUAACUUCCAUUAUGGAGUCAAUCACUUUCUUAACAGAUCAAGUGCGGGAUCAUAGAAGGACACAGAGAUUUGAGUUUGUCUACAAUUCCAUGUAAAAAAGAAAAAUAGAAUUGUAUCUUGUGACAGUAAAUUUAUCAGUGUGGUGAUAAUUUUCUCAACUUGGAUUAGUAGCUUAGAAGUAGUAUUAAGUUUCAAGCAGGUCAUAUGGUCUCAAGAUCAUAGAAUUCUUCGGUGAUGUUCAACCUAUCUGCUCAUUCUAAAUUACCCUAUCAAAAACAAAACUCCUCACUGAUAGAGAAAGGUUCAAUAUAAAUACCAGUACAUAACCCUGAAAUUAAGUAUCUCUCAUUGUGUAUUGUCCUUUUCAUAAAAAUUGAUAACGUUGCAGCACUCUUUAAAUGUUUUAACACCGGGACUAAUAGAAAGCAGGACAAAUUGAUGACCAGCAAAUUUAACCAGCACAACAAACUGUACAGCACACAAUCUACUAAUAUUGGUUUGAUGGACAAAAGCAACAAGCUUCUUCACUACACAAGCCUCUUAGAACAUUAGGGCAAAAAACAUUAUUAAUCAUUAAAGACCUCUCUUUCUGGUCUUAGCAGCUCAUAAAACUGCAUUGUUAGAUCAUACAUAAAAAUUAUUGAGAGAUUCUAUUGCAGGUUUCGCAAGUUUUUGGAUAGUGGUUAAUAGAUGCACAGAAGAGUGAUGAUGCACGGCAAGUAAUAGGAAGGAAACUAAAGCACCGAUGGGAAAGAGGGCGACACCUUUGCAAGAAGCUUUGCAUUCUCUUCUUUCAAAGACCUCUCCUGAGGUAAACCAAAUAAAGUUGCUAGAUUAAUAUAACCAGGAAAUUAACAACGCCUGAUGAGAUCGGAUAUGCAAUCAUCAUAUUUGUCCACUUACCUUUGCUUGCAACUGCUGUAUUUGAUCGUUCAAUAAUUGAGCCUGUAAAAGAGUUCCGUAGAAAUAUUUUAACUUUCGUGUGUGCAUGUUGUCCCCAUACCUUUCUUAUUACAAAGUAAGAAUAAAAGAAAAGAGAGAAAAUAAGUUGAAAUGAUGAACGAUAGUAAUGAAAGGACGAUGCUUUGCAACUUAUCCAGAAACAUAGUUCAAGUGAGAAGUAGUACAUGGAAAUCAGCAAGGUUAACAUAAUAAAAAACUCAUGGUAUUCUAUUAUUUCGUGUUAUAAGUAUCAAUUUUUGUGAAUAAGUGUCAAGAAAUCAUUUAUAAAAAAUGAUCGAUGACUUUUUUUUGUCAGAGAAGAAAAGCCAGUUAUCUAACCAAACCAAAUAAACUUGUUAACUAAUCAAAGAAGAGUUGGUAACACCGAAUUAGUUAGUUACUUAAUCAGAGAAAAGUUAGUAACUCCUAUAAUUAUAAUUGGUAAUUUCUAGUUGGGUUCAUAAGUAAGGCAAAUAUUUAUGUGUGCACGAGUCUCAUAAGUGAAGGGUGAAGACGAGUGAGAGUAUUUUUUUCAACAGAACCUAUUUUAUAACUAAGAAAGUGAUAAAGAGAAGAAAGAUCUGCUGAAGUUGUUGGCAAGUAAAACAGAAGAGAGAGAGUAGACGUCACUCUCCACCAUAAGACAAUGUUUCCACUAUCUCAAGAGUAGUCAAAGGAAGGGUUAGAGCAGGAAAAAGUGCACUAAGAAAGACCAUAUGAGCGUUGGCAAGUUAGUCCCAAAAAAAUAAGUCUAUAAGUCUAUAAAGUUAGUCAAAUAGAGUUAGUAACCAAAAAGAGUUAGUGAUUUAAGCAAAACAUAGGUCUAUAAGUCAUACAAAGAAAUAUCUGAAAAUAUAUAUAUAAGAGCUAAUAAAUUUAAAGGAAUGGCAAGAAAAAAUAAAUAAAAUUUACUAAAAAAAUAAGAGAGAUUGAUAAUUGCACAUUAUUGAAAAGAGUUGGUGAUUUCAUAAAAGUGUAAGUUACCAAUAAGUCACCUAGAAAUCAGGUAAUUGAAAAAUUUUAUUUUUUAUCAUGGUUUUUUGUCACUUACAACUCUUUCAUAGGUUUAUCAAAAACUAUCCAAUUUAUUUUGGAAAGAUGAACAAUAGAGUCGUCCAAAUAACUCUAGGAAAAAUAAUGAUAGAAGAAUAAUCGUGAUAUUUUCCUUGUUUAUUGGCAAAAAAAGAACAGGUCAAUAACUAUGAAGAAAAAGGGUGAUUUGUAAAUGUGCUUUCAUUCUUUCUUAUAAGGUAGAAAACGCCAUGUAUGCUCGGAGAAAAUUGAUUCUCUCCUUUCAGAUGCCAAGUUUAACGUUUUUAGUCUAUUCAGUUCCAAUCUUACAAUGCGAUUAGAGUCUCUAUCGAAAUUGGUAUUUUGGCUCCUGUAUGCAUAUGGUCAGUCUUGUUAGUUAUUUGAGAGAAAUUGUUUCUCAUUGUUUUUUUUCCCUUCUCACCAUAUCCAUGCCUCCAAACACAACGGCUACUCGAUGAAAGUUCUCAAGACAUCUACUUCGCUCAGAGAAAAGGACAAAUAUGCCAAAGACACAUGUACCUUUCUUUCCCUAAUGCUGCUCAAACUUCGCUCGAGCUGAUCCCCUAUCUCUUGGAUUUCGUCCAUCGAGCAAGAUCCAAGACAUUGUCCUGAUAGCUUCCUGAUGUAAAAAAGAAAAGGAGUACCAUAGUUUAGUGAAUUAGAUAUCAAGAAUCCAUUUCGAUCCACAAUAUAUAAGAGAGAAGUCUCAAAAUUUGUGGACCGUAGAGAAACUUCAAGAAGCUCAAUCUUCCUCUCCAUAUCUGUGGUUUCUUGCUUCAGACGCUGCACAUAUAUGGAGAUUGUGAUAUUUAUGAAUCUAGUGAACGGAACCAUACAAACUGAACAAAUUUGAAAUUAGUGAUGGAUAAAACCAAUCAUAGUGAACAAAUCUGUACCACCACGGGAUCCUUCAAAACUAAGAUUGCUACUAUAAGAACCCUAACGUUCUUGCAAAAUUUGUAGCUGUCAUAGUGAAUUCUAUGGCUUACCACCUCAGUAAUUCUUGAGAUCAAAAGUAGGGUUCUUAUCAAGAACGCGAUUCAGUAUUAUUACAAUCUGUAAAUACAUAAAUAUACGUUCACACCAACAAUCAAUUUUAUGACUUCCUUCAAGAAAACAAUAAGAUGUAAAUGCCCAAGUGGUGGAUGAUGAGUGGGAAUUCAGAAGCUGAAAGAAUUUUAGAGGACCAGUCAAUGUCUUCAGGACAUGUACAAAGACCAAAAUAGCUCUUUUAAUGUUAUAUUUAACUUGACCUAUUUUUCUCUCUAUACAUAUCUGCAGUUUCUCCUAUUUGCUUCCCAGUCAUUGCCAAACCACAUGAAUAACAGUGGUAAGGCUGCAAUAAUAUUAUAGGUCCUUUAUCUAACCAUAACAGUGUAAGAGUUUUCCUAAUGUGGGCUAUAUUAAUUGAUAUUGUAAUUUACCGUUUUAUGGGGUUUGGUCUACGGUGAAAGAGAAGGUUUCUUAAUUAGUCUAAUAUGGGGUUGGUUAGUGUGGGCCGAGUUGAGCCUAACCGUAAUGAGAAGACCUAGUUGGAAACUCUAUAAAUAGUGCUCAAAUCUCUCCUCUAACCCUAAUUCUCAUAAAUAUCCUCACAUAAGGAGCAUUUACCUAGAAAGGGUGAGGGGGCCGUCUCAUUGAGCCAGUAAUACAGAGGGCAAUAGAGGAAAAAAACUUGAAUUGAUUUAAAAGAAAUUCAACAAUUGACUUAGCAUAAAGUACGUUUAUCCGCAACUUAUUGUGGAUAUAUACACCCUCUCAUUAAUAGAAAACUUAACACAUUAAAGAUGUAUUCGGAAGUUGAAUGUCACUUGACUCUAUCCCUCUUUGUACAAUGAUACCAUCAUCAUAAGUAUGAUCCCUACUUUGUGGUUCUAGUGAUCCAUUAGAUCAUGUAUGCAAGUAGAUUGUUGCGUAAUUCUUUGCAUACGAGGUGACUAUUUAUGUAUACACAAGUAUAUAUUACUAGAUUGUAGGGGAAAUAGGAUUUCUUGCCAUUUGUGUUCAUAUAUAGACUUCUUUGUAAGUCCCAUCCUGAAAUAAGUUAUGUAAUGUGAUGUUCUAUGUUAAUCCACACACACACGGGAGAAAAAAAAAGAAAAAAAAAACAGAGGAAGUUGCUUUCUUACAUACAGCAAAAUGAAUAAAAAUUGAACUGCUCAGCUUGCUUAACCUCUACAUAAUGUGCUUACGAAUGCAACUAAUGUAUCAUCAUGGAAAGGUUAGAGAACUGACCAGAAUAUAUUGUUCCAUACAAGCCUGGUAUACAGCCGCAUCAUUUGUAGAUCUACAAUAUCGAUCAAUUGUCUUUCGGAUUCUGAAAAAUUUGCAAAGAUAACAUAUGAGCUCAGCCACUGGGAAUACAUUCUCCAAAUUAAUCAGGUAUCGUCAAAACUAAAGUAAUCAAACACUAAACAAAUUAAUAAUCAUUUUUGUGAAUCAUGCAUGACUUCCAGUGAAUAUGUAUCACCAUCACUCACUAACAGAAUAUGCAGGGAGCAUAAGCCUCUGCAAGAAGCUUUUAGCCUCUCAGCAACUAAUUUGCAACGAUCUGAAGUACUUGGAAAAGUCUUGGUUGCCCACCUUAUACUUUGUAAAUAAUUGAUGCUAGAGAGAGUGUAGAAAAGUAGAAAGUAACACAAAUGAGAACUUAAAUGAAUAGGUCGCUUGCCACUCGUAGGAAUUCAUCUAAGAGAUAAGAGCAAAACAAAAAAUCCUUAUUGUUCUCAAGCCAAAGUCUAAAUAAGUUACAAAUCAAAACAAGUCUACCUCCUCAUUCAUCAUAGCAUGCUUAUAUAGAUGAGUUUGGAAUAACUCUUCAAGCAUGAGUAAUUACCAAGACUCCUUGAAAAGACAAAAAGACUUAUAGGAAAGACAAAACAAGUCUUACUAGAAAAUAACUAUAAUUAAAUAAGGACGCCAUAAACUUAAAUGACAUUUACUAAACCUUGAAAAUAUGAGAAUUAAAUGUAGUUGGUUGUAAGUAUCCUAAUUUUACUAGUUCUGAAUUAAUGGAAUGCUCCAGCAUCAAUAAUCAUGCCAGCAAUAUUUUUCUUCAAAUUUUAGCGUAAAUGUUCAAUUUCACAUCAUAAAAGUAUAUUAUGUGCGCACGCAAAGUAUAUUUAAAUAUGAGCGUAGAGUGAGCUAAUGCACUGUUUUUGCCCAAGCCCAAAUACUUCAAUAUAUUCUACAUGCCACUCCAUGUCAGUAAGAAGUAAGAACAGCACAUGAUGCUCGUAAAAUCAUUGUGAAGCAGUACAAGGACUCACUACUUCAGAGAGAGAUUGUAAGAGCAAGCAGUUGCACCUACAUUUAACUUGUGACUUCAAGUACUUUUUUUCCCGGUAAAUGAAGAAGAGGGAAUACUUACAUGGUGAGCAACUAAAAUGGCAAGCAUGUACAAUUGCAGUCACUUUUGGACAUAAAUACUCUAUUUAUAAGAAAUCCAAGAGAUCAGUGUGUCGUGUCAUAUUAGCCUUAAUCUAUUAUACUGGUGAAUGCACUCGAUCCCAUAAAAGCACCACUACACAAAUCUAGUCAAGCCCAUAAUCUUAUUCACCUUUCAGAGCACCCUAUAAUUAAAAGAACCUGAAGUUGGAGAUGUCAGGACUAGUUUCACAGGCUUUUGCUUAGGGUUAAAAGUACCACUAAAAAAUCAACUUGAAAAUCUUUUGCAGGUUUUGUUUGAUUCAGAAGAGAGAUUAAUUAUGCUUUAAGUUUCGAUUCAAUGAACCCUGAUUUGAAAUGCUUCUUGAUUAUGGUGGUAGAUAGGUAACACAUUAUUUGAUUUCCUGACUAAUAUAAUGCAUUUCAUAUGAAAUUUCUAGUUUUUUUUUUUUUUGUGGUCACCCAAGAUCUACCGGGUUCGACUUUCCCUUACGAUAAGCCAACUCAUGGCCCGUACAGUAUGCGAUGCACCUCAGACCAAGCAUCAAUACCUGAGGGGAAGCUAGCACAGGACCCCAUCACCAUGACCCUCCACUUAAGUUGUGUUAGAAGCUGCAAAAUUUCGACCUUGGAACCUCUACGAUAAAGUGCCCAAAGCCGAACCAACAUUGCUGCCCACCAGUGGGUUGAAAUUUAUAGUUUUUGCCUUGUGUUAUGGUCAUAAACUUGAAGCAUGGAUCUUUAUGAUUUGUAAGAUAGCU
This 123169-nucleotide long non-coding RNA is filed under the name Eucalyptus grandis. Its description in RNAcentral is "long non-coding RNA (EGRA_LNC006218)". The record is from RNAcentral. Lineage: Eukaryota; Viridiplantae; Streptophyta; Magnoliopsida; Myrtales; Myrtaceae.